RNAcentral lists this long non-coding RNA (102211 nucleotides) under Triticum aestivum (bread wheat). RNAcentral describes it as "long non-coding RNA (TAES_LNC008968)". The stretch from base 8201 to 8335 matches the Rfam family "MIR1120/MIR1122 microRNA precursor family". The record is from RNAcentral. Lineage: Eukaryota; Viridiplantae; Streptophyta; Magnoliopsida; Poales; Poaceae.
UUUUUUUUCUGUCAUACUUAUGACACUUAUAUGACAAUAAUUGUGACAAAACACGGUAUCAUCAUAGAUGUGGUGGGGUCCUACUUCUAUGACAAAAAUCAUGACAGAAAAUGGGCUUUUCGUCCUGGGCGGGCCGGAGACGCUGCUGCAUGACAUUUUUUGGGCCGUCCAUGACGGAAAAAACCAUGGUAGAAGCGAGGGCAAGGAAAAUAUCGGGGUGUUCCCGGUAACGGUGGGUGGCCGGGGCCGAGCGAUGCACAUUUCUCUCGUACAUGCACGCGCGUGGGUGCGAGGCGUUGGGCUCUAACUGAACCUGAGCGAGGCGUUGGGCUCUAACUGAACCCGAGCGAUUGCAGUGCAGGCUACGUGUUACUGAACCCGAGCGAUCGAUCGAUGGCUGUUAACUGAACCCAAUCGAGCGAUUCCAUCGCUACUGCUGCUAACUGAAGCCGAUCGAUGCUGCCUCUGGAUGAAUAGUGAGCGUUGCUGGGGGGGUUUGGAUGAACAGUUCCCGGUGGGGGUGGAUGAACAGGACCCCGUGGUGUUGCCUCUGGAUGAACAAUACCCCUAUCAAUCGAGCCGGUUGGGGCUGGAUGAACAGGACCCCGUGGAGGGCUGGAUGAACAGGACCACCCCGUGGAGGGCAGGAUGAACGGUAGACGAUGGAGGGCUGGAUGAACAGUAGCCCAUGGAGGGGUGGUUGAACAGGAGCCCGUGGAGAGGGCUGGUUGAACAGUAGCCAGUGGAGUAGCGCACAGUGGAGCUGGAUGAAUAUGAGCCCGUGGAUGAACAGUCGCAGGUGGAGGCUGGAGGAGGUCGACGGUGGAUGAACAGUAGCCCGUGGAGGCUGGAGGGGGGCGAUGGUGGAGAUGAACAGUAUCCCGUGGAGUCCCGUUUUGCGGUACGCCACACCCCUCCCGAUGAACAGGACCCCCGUUUCGACCGUAGCGCUCCAACACAAGUCUGUUUCCUCCGUUUUGCGGUACGCCACACCCCUCCCGAUCAACAGGACCCCCGUUUCGACCGUAGGAGGUCCGUUUCCUCCGUUUUGCGGUACACUAGACCCCUCCCGAUGAACAUGAUCCCGUUUCGAAUGUGGCCGGUCGAACACAAGGCCGUUUCCUCCGUUCUGCGGUACGCCAGGCCUCGUUUCCAUCGGCUGUUCCGUCCAAGCCCUCCCGAUGAACACGACGACGCAUUCUGUUCCGACCCAGCCGGUUGGUUCCCCAUGAACACGAGACGACGUUGUUUCCAUUCCGACCUAGCCAUGUACACGAGCCCUGGCCGUACGUAUGUGCGAGUAGGCGUUCGAGACACUGCCCGUAUGUACGUACGUGGCCGUAUUUUCUUUCUUGCACACUGGUUGUUGUACGUACGUGUACAUGCUACGUCCGUGCCUCUACUAUGACACGUGCGCGCCUCUACAUCGACCAGUAUGUACGUACACGUUUGCGACCAGAAUGACAAUGCUACGCACGGUUCGACUAGGUGGGUCCCAACUGUCAGGCACUUCCUUGCGUGCGAAGAUGUAGCUGGUGGGUCCCAGCAGUCAGGGGGGCGAAUCGUUUUUUUUUGCCCGGACGCACUUCCUUGCGUGCGAAGAUGUAGCUGGUGGGUCCCAGCAGUCAGGGGGAAAUGUUUUUUCACGAAAUACGGUGGCCCGUCCGGUGGGUCCCCGCUGUCAGGUGGAGGAAUAAUUAUUUUGCGCGUAAUAAGGAGGCACUUCCUUGCUGCGGUCGUGGACCCAGCUGUCAGCCUCUCCACAUACAGUCCACGUCCGAUGGAAGCCGUUCCUUGACCACGUUGACCACGCCGCGGCGAGAGCACCAGGACGGUGGACGACGGUGAGGCCUAGGAAGGGGACGACGCGGAGCCGGGGAAGACGCGGCAAUGGAAGCCCGCGCGGAGAGGAGUACGAGGGUUCACUGGUUCGGCUGCGGUGUGAGGCUGCCGUCGCCGCAAGGCCUGGCCAGCGGUGGGAAUAGUAGGGGGCGGUGAGGCCUCCGCAGCAGGACAGCCGGCCAUGGGAGGCAGGAGCAUGCGGCACGACCGGCGCUGCUUUGGGCGGCUGGAGCAAGAAGACCAGAGGUUGAAGAAGCACUACUGCCGUUGGACGAACAUCGUACGGUCACUGGAGCUAGAAUCGUUCAUAUUGACUAAGUUGACAAAGCACUCCGUCCCCGUCAAUUUAGUAGGCCCACAAGUCAGCCACCCACCAAGGUGGGUCCCAACUAGCAGGGGGAGUAUUCAUUUUUUUGUGCGUAAUAAGGAGGCACUUCCGGUGGGUCCGAGCUGACAGCGGGGGGAAUGUUUUUUUUCACGAAAUAUGGUGGCCCGUCCGGUGGGUCCCAGCAGUCAGGGGGGAAACGAUUUUUUCGCCAAAUACGGUGGCCCGUCUGGUGGGUCCCUGCUGUCAGGUGGAGGAAUAAUUAUUUUCCACGUAAUAAGGAGGCCCAUAAGUUAGACCAUUCCCUCUUUUUUUAAUAAUUUAUAUAUAGCUCAUUGCGACUUCUUAUGCAAUUUAUUGCAGUCCGUUUUUUUGGUUGGCCAGGGCCAAUUUCACAUAUUUCUAUGGGUUCCAAACUAUUUUUAAUACCGAAAUGGCGAGCCAGAUUGAAAGUACUUUGAAUAUAUAUUUAAAUUAGGUUAAUGCCCGGUGAAAUAGGAAUCUGAAAAUGUGAAAAAAAUCUGAAAUUAUAAAGUAAUUGCUAAUUUGUCAAGCGUCUUGAAAGAGUUGCAGCCCAUCAGGGCAUAGAAAAAUAAAUAGGCCUGGAUUGGGUAUUCUUCAAAAAAAAUAAACUGGGCUCAUUUUCACAAAGAAAAAAUAGUUGGGCUGGUCACAUGGUGAACAUAAAAUAUAAGCCUGGGCUAGACGGGCCACAGCCCAGUUCAAACCCUGCUCCGUCUUAACAAUAACAAAAAAAAUACUGCUCGAGCAGCUACGUCCCAGGUGCCAGCCGAGCUUGUGCUAUUCUCUUGUCUAUUGACUAUAUACGCUCACAAUGUUGUGGGUCCCAGAUGUCAGGAGAACACUAGGAGGAAGCAUUUUAUUUUUCCAUACGCUGACAUGGUGGGCCCGUACUGUCAUCCUCUCCACGUACUUCUGCCGAUUCCUGUUGUUUGUUGACCAUGUUGACAACGCGACAGGGCGGCGCCGCGGCGAGUGCACCAAAGCGCGUGGAGGACGACGACGAGGCCUUGGACGUCGGCGUUAAUGAUUUAGGAGACGGUGGGGUGGCGAUGCGUGCGCUGAGGCCCAGCCAGCCGUGGGAGGCGGAAGUAGGCGGCCCCGCCGGCGCUGGUUUGGUUUUGGCGGCUCGAGGAAGACAGGACUGAAGAAACACGACAGACUAUAAAAGCAGCAGGAGUACUUAACAACCUUAACUGAAACCAGCAGGGGCACUUAACAACCAUAGCUGAAAGCAGUAUGAGUACUUAUAUAGGUUCAACUGUACAAAGCACGCCUUGAACAAUGCUACUUUUCCUACAGUUAACCAAGGGUGAGGUCUCCAAGCCCCGGGACAAGGCCCAGGCGCCACCCCGUGCAUCCACAACCUUCUGAAAGCGGCUUCAUCUCGCAAUGUGGUCAAUAAAUAGGAUAUUCGCUUUAGAGCCAUGGAAAAGCAGGAACAUAAUCUUCUGUCCUAUUCUCCAAGAUGGACGGGCCUUCAUUAUUUGAGACCACCCAUGAAUAAGUAUCUUUUCACCUCCAAGGGGAAUGGAGUAGGUCGACAUAAAGUUCAUGUUGUGACCAAGCGCAAGUCUGACCCGACCAUGGUCAGGCAUCUGUAUAGGAACAAUAGAACUGGGAAGUUUCUGUUUCAAGAAGAUCACAACUGUUAAACUGUGUAUAAGCAUAGUUUAUGAACAACAUAUAUAACAGAAAACAGCUCGUACCAUAAGUUUCUCGACACAGUUGGACCUGUUCAACGAGUGCAGCAGUGGCACACAUAUCCCACGUGGCCUUCCACCAUUGAAACGCCCCACAAGGACCUCAAGACGAUCAAUAAAGUGUAGGAACUUGUGGAUGUCGUCCCAGUCAACUUCAGUGCCAUCAGUAACAGCCGAGUUGUUACAGAAUAACAAACGAGCAGCCUGCUUUACUCUGAAAAAACCUACACGUGCCACCAAUUAUAAGAAAAUAUUAGUUAGAAGUAGCAUCUUCGUGAGAGAUUCGUUGCUACUUCUAAAGUUAAAUUGUGAUUAGUUAGACAGAAUAGGUGGAUUAAGAAGUAAUCGAGGCAACAAGCAAGAACCAGAUACAAAACUAACAUGGAUGAACAAUUGGAACGACGUCGGGGUGGAAGAUCGCAGUGAAGAUGAGACCAGGUUCUACUAUUUCCAUCAACAUUCGUACGCCAACUUUCAGUCUGUAACACUUGAGAAAGUUUAUCCAAGUUCGGCCAUAAAAAAAGCAGCGAUCUUAUUGGUUCAUGAACCCAACUCGAAACUUAUAUCCAUGGCUUGUCUUCACUGUGACCAUUAAACUGGUGUAUUUUGUUAUGGCAAGGCCAAGCAUCUUGAGUACAUGUGUUCUGGCAGAGCAAAUAAUGCACUGCAGGAAAAAUAAUAUGAGAACACAAUGUAUUCCCUAUCCAAAUCUAGAAAUAACUUCCUCCUUCACGUCAGUGUUGACCAUCGUACUGGUACUACCUUUUAUCCAAAUAUAGCAAUCCAAAUUUCCAAAUUAGUCGAUAGCAUGUUCAAAAAAACCCCACCCUCCCGGAUAGAAAAGAGAAUUCUAGGAAUAUACUGUGCGCGUUUUAAAAUCUUGUGUUAGGAUGAGAAGGAACAAGUGUGGCGUCUCACCGAGGGCGCAGAAACCUGUAGGGUCCUCGCACUUUGGGCGCUGCAAAUGAAACACACUAGAUUCAGUAGGAAGAAAAAUGCAUCAACGGCGGCGGCUGCCAUCCUAGGAUUACCCGCGACCAAGGGACUUGGAUUUAUCGGGGAUGGAUGAAGAAUUCGUACCUGGUUCUCCAUGAGAAAACCCUAUGCAAUCGCUGAGAGGGGGUUUUCUCUGAACAAGCAGACGAGGGAGAAGGGGAUUCAGACCCAGUGAAAUAUUGCCGCUUCGUCCGUCCAGCUUACUGCUAAAGCUGGAAAGGGGGGGUUUGUGAUUUGACGGCUCAUUGGGCAUUACUGCGGCGCUACGACCGGGGUGUGUCUACUGGGGCACUCUAAUUUGUGCAUAUGGCAUGUGGACCCCGUUGCCGGAUGCCCCACAUAUCAUCGAAAGCAAGUAGAAAGACAGGAGUAACUAGUUACACAAAAUAUAUUUUUGACAGAGAGAUACUCCCUCUGUAAAGAAAUAUACAAAUCUUUUAUAUCACAACUUAAUACAUAAGAAAAAUCAAGGAAAUAUAUAUAACAUAUAUAAUUAUAGAAAACAGAGUUGUUUUUAACACAGUAUAGACGAGUUGGUGAUGAUGGUGUGCCUGCCAUCCUGCAAUAUAGGCCGUCCGAUUUAUAUCUGACGGAUAGGAAGGAAACUAUGGCAAUUUUGCAAAAAGGUACCGACACACCUCUCCACAUUUGAAAAUGAGGCCUUCCCUCAUUCAUCCUUUUCUCUCACAAGAUAAAAUACUCAUACAAAUGCAUCUUGAUGUUACAUGCAACGCACGAGCAUUAUGGGGGUUCAGCUGAGAAUAUAAUACUCAGAUAGGCUCACGGUUCUGGACUUUGGGCCGCAGGCCCACCCUGCAUGUUUGGGGGGCCAUGUGUUCUACCUCAGCGCUUUUCAUAUUGCAAGCGAUCGGUACGGCGCUGGUUUUAGAUGCUGUCGCAAGGCGAAUACAUAAAAUUGAAUAAAGCACGGCAGCUGUUGGAAUGAAAUCGAACGACAGUUCCUAACUAGCAAUGAGAGUUGCAAUUCUAUCAAUGAUAUACCAUGUGAUAAAUAACACUGUCGUAUUACUUAUACACACAGGACACUUGUUUCACCAUGCCAGAUUAUUACAUCAAAAUCUCUCGUAGGACAGAUCAGUUCGGCAGUUGCGUGCUGCUACUGGAGAAUUUCAAAGUUGAUUUGGACCAGCUCUCCUUGCCGAGAAAGUUCGAUUUUGAGAUCAUCCCCUACCGCAAGAUAUGAUUUAGAUUUGAACCUUGACCAUCCUUUAGCAUCAAUCAUCAUGCGACCAUCCUUUGUACUUACGAUAUAUUGAGCAGGUUCAUUCACACCAAAGCUGUGCAUGGUAAGAGAAACUUGGCCGCUGUCGCCCGGAUUGUUGAACGACUCCCUCGUUGCUCUAGGAAUUCUCUGUUUGCAAACAAGAAGACAUGCCCAAACAGUUAGAUCAACACAGUGAAUCAUGCGAAACAACAUGGAAAGAAAAAAGAAGGAAACACUUGGGCGGCCAAUGCUUACCAAGAAGGUGGACAUGUCGGUUUUUGUAAGGACUUUGGUAUAUGAAGAGCAAACUGCAGCCCAGUCUGUUGCCGGUGCAACUGCUCGUUCGGUUGCCGCUGCACGGGCCGAAGCAGAUGCAAGUGCAAGUGUUGGUGCAGGUGUCGAAGCCGCCGCUGCUGCCGGAGAUGGUGAUCCUUGUAGAGCUGGUGCCGGUGUCGGAGCAGGUGCCGGUGUCGAUGCCUGAUCCUCCGGUAGAUCAGCCUGAUCCGCUGACGCGGUCGGUGCCCAAUCCUCAGCUGGAUCAGACUGAGCUGCUGCUGCUGUCAGUGCUAGAGCAAUUGCCGGUGCUCGAUCCAUUGCUGAAGGUGGUACCGAUGUGCGAGACAGCGGCGAUCGUGUCUGGUCUGCUAUGAUCAGCUUUCUAACUUGACUAGGCUUCGUGACCGUGAUCCAUUUAUUUUCUUCAUUUCUUUUUAACGCGAGAAGGGCUAAUUGUGGCGUUUUUGUUAAACCAAACUGCAGCUCAUCAUAGGGAUUCAGCUUGUACUCAGACAACAGACUGAUCCAAUUUUUUCCAGUAAUAUAAGUGAUGGACAGUGCCUUUGUUACUGACACGACAUAAGAAGUGAAACCUGCAAAAAUAGCCAUCGUAGAGCAAACCAAACGGUUUAUACUGUGAUGAAUGUCACAUGGCAAAACCUGCAUCGUAAAAUUGCAGGAAAAGAAAGAAAACAUGACAUUAAAUCAAUAAGAUUUGGACAGUAAAUCAAUAAGAUUUACUUGAUGUGACACAAGUGAAUCCUUACCAGGAAAUCACUAUGUUGAAGUACUAAACAUAAGAUUGAUCGUCCAACUACGGGUGCCAUGCAGGGGCCCCGCCUACUCCCACAAGCAGGACAGUCCAAAGGUCGUGACAAAUCGUAUGGACCGAAUAUCCAUGGGACUGGAAAUACUGGUGGGUGCGAUAAACCCUGCAAUGCAUACAGAUAUUGGAGUGUAACCAUAAUUGAUAAACCGUCCUCACAAAAAAGAUGAUCUGGAUACUUCAAAAUAUACAGACUGAAUUGAGUGGACAGACAUUAACAUAGACCAUUCUCAGGACUGACCACACACCAAAAGCGGCAGUACUAAUAAACAAUACAGGGUUCACAAACACAAAUCAAGUACUGAACAAUAGUACUUACUACAGACAAGCAAAGUUGCACUAAUUAAACUCUGCAGACUAUUUCUUGCCACCAACCUACGGGAUGAACCCUGCAUAACUGACUAGGCCAUGGACUUCGUGAGAGAUGUCUAUAUGCACCAUCACCAUCACGUCAACCUUGGAGAACCUAACAGAGUGGUCUUUCCACUCAUAAACAUGAUCAUGAAGAUAGGCCACAUCAGAUUUGUUGGGAAGCUUUACAAGAACCACACCCUUCGUAAUCGAAGGCACAGCCAGGAAAUUGUUGUGGUCAAGUACAGCUUCGAGAACACGCCUGACAACAAUGCUACAGGAAAACACUAGUUCAGGACACAUGGCGACAAGGACAUAGCAGCUGGAUAGUUUAGCAGUAGAACUCAUCCUCAGGUUUUCCAGUUCACACGAAAUGACUUUGAGAACUUCAUCUCCACCGCGGACCUGGUUCUAAUUCAAACAGAAACCAUAUUUUAUUACUACCUCCGUUCAGAAAUAUAAGAUGAUUUUCGAUAUUAUACUCCAUAUAUGACUACAUAUACGCACAGAAAUGAGUGAACAAAGACACUAGAACAUGUCUUCAACGGCAUGAGAGCAGAGGGAUUACUUGCAAUAUCCAUAACACAAGUUACUGAGGAAAAUAUACCCUCUUCAAAGGUAGCAUUGAUGUUCAUAAAGUACUCCCUCCGUUCCAAAAUUCUUGUCUUAGGUUUGUCUAGAUACGAAUGUAUCAAGUCACAUUUUAGUAUUAGAUACAUCCGUAUCUAGACAAAUCUAAGACAAGAAAUUUGGGACAGAGGGAGUAGUUGAAAGUAAUCUAUAAGAAAUCAGUGUCAACCUCUCGCAUGUUUUGGUCAAAAGAGGAAUUUAGAACCGUCAUUUGGCACACAAAAAUCACAUGCAAUAUCACCCAGAAAGUUGUACUACUAGUACUAGUACUACGUGUUAGAUGAAAAAACAUGAUCAAGAUCGAGAAAAAGAUCAUCAAGAAGAGAUAUUACCUGGACUUGCUUAAUGAGGGAUCCCGGAGAGGGGGGCUUGGACAGGGCAAUGGCUUUGAGCUUGUCUGCGGUAGUCUCGGUGGGGAGCUUGCGCUUCUUCGUACCAUGAGCCUCGACAGUUUUGGCCAGAGCCAUAGACAUCACUUCGGCCGGUGCUCUAGCGUCCAUCAAGAAACUGUCAAAUAGAAAUAAAAGAAAAGAAACCAUAAUCACAAACCCAAAAGAAGAAAAGAGGGGGAGUUAUAGGAUCAGUCUCGGGGUUGCAAGACCGGGCCUUGGCCAGAAUCAACACCAUUGAUGCGCUCACCUUUCCUUAUUUGGGAGAGAAGAACAAUGGCAGAAGCAGCUCGGGGUUUUCUUGAAGAAAUGAGGAACAAGAUGAGGGAGAAGCGAGUUGGGUAGAGAGGAAGCUGAGAGAGAAGAGUGAAAUGAUGGUUGCUUCGUCCGUCCAACUUACUGCUGGAAAGGAGGGGGUUUUGUGAUUUGACAGGUCAUUGGGCAUUACUGCGGCGCUUCGAUCGGGGUAGUCUACCGUCACUCUACUACGGAGUAAUUUAGUGCAUGGCUGGUGGACCCCGAUGCUGGCUAUCCCACACGUCGGCGAAAGUGAGUAAUUUAGUGCAUGGCUGGAGGAGGAUCCGCACGGUAGAGCGUAUCCACUGUUUUUAUGAAGAAGAAAAAUGAUUACAGCAAGCGUUUCCACUCUUACAACGGAGGAGUGCGAAACACGGCAGCCACUUGAACAUACACAGUGCUCCUACUACUAGGCAUGUGCAGUGGUUCAUACGUCAGUACUACAUAAUCUUGUUGCUAGUGUAGUAAGAUAUGACGACAACAAAUGAUGUUAUGCGCAUGUCAACUAUAUGAACAGUAAUGUAGUAACAUAGUACCGCUUUCUCGACUGUCCGGUCGAGAAUGAACAGUGAGAUCAAUGUUAACAGAACUAGGUCUACAGCGCACGGAGAGUACGGUGCUACAGUACUGCACGAAACAUGAACCAUAUGAAGCACGAAUAGUGUUAGGCAGGGUGUAUGAAGGGUGCACGGGAUGGGAGCAAAAGUUCCCUUCUCGGCCCACUAUUGGGUGUUUGGCAGAGUGCAUGAAGGGUGCAUGAGUCCACACUAGUAGGUUAACACAAAUACACGAAGAGGAAACAACUAUAUUGAGAUGAGAAUGCAACCAAACACACCCACACGCUUUGUGCUACAGUGACCGAUCUGCACCGUCUGAGUUUGAUCCAACGGUCAUGUUGUGCACUGCGGCCAAGGCGGAGAGGAAAACGAGAACACUUAAUCUUUUUGCUAAUUAAUAGCAUUGCAUGCAAUGAACUAACCACCGCAUGUCAUGUUUAUUAGUCUCAAGUCAUUGAAAGCAUGCACGGCUCACGUCUCUUAUUGGUUGAUAUGUCACAAAACAAGAAACGGGGAGGGAGUUAAUGUACCGUGCCUAAGUGUUUUGGGAUUAUUUGGUUUUCGUAAGGUGACUUACACACCUAGACAGAGGAGUAUAUUGAGAUGAGAAUGCAACCAAACACACCCACACGCUUUGUGCUACAGUGACUGAUCUGCAUCGUGUGAGUUUGAUCCAACGGUCAUGUUGCGCCGAGACAUGGACAUGCCCAUGCAGAGGGCGCCUAAACACCACCGAAGUCCCUCUGCUUCUCGAGGCGCACGACGUUGGUGAUGCAGGGGGCGAAACGGCUGAAAGGCAAUGCAAUCUACGAAGGCGGAGGGAGCCAGCCGAGGAGCGGGGAAUCUUUUGGUUUUCACCAUCGUAAAACACCAGUCGACGACUUCUCACAUCAGGGAGCAGUGGGUUUUACAGGCGGAGUCAUCAUGACUAAUUGCUGCCGCGUCUGCUCCCGUCAAUCAAAAAAUUAAAAAUCCUGCUGCGCCUGCUCCCGUCAAUCAAAAAAUUAAAAAUCCUGCCGCACUCAAACACCAGAGCAACGUCGCGGUGGAUAUUUAAAUUUACCUACCGGCAAGUAGAUAAAAAAGGGGUGAAAAAACAAAUGUGGCGGCGGCCUCGCUAAUCGACCGAACUAGCCCAACUAGCUAGCCACCGUGCUUCACUAAUGUACUCGGCGGGAAAAGUGGUCUUUCAUGAUUUGACGACUCAUUUACUUGCUUCGGCGAAAACACGCGGUAGGGCGUCCCACGUCAGGAAGAAUAUAAGCGUGCACCACCCGGGAGGACCCCGAACCGCGCAGUAGGGUGUGCCAUGUCUCGGCACGGAGGAAAAAUGUGCGUGUAAAAAUUUACUGUAUCAGACGUAGUACCUAUGGUUCGACCUCGGGACCCAGCCAGUCGGUCGAAAACACCCCACUAGCCACACAGCUUCAUCAUGCUAACAUGGCACGGAGGAUAGGUGUGGUUAGCUCCGUCUCGACCAGCCACAACGUCUCUUGUUCUAGGCGAUCUUUCUAUUUUCCAAGCUUUUUUUAGUUGUAAUAACACAAAGGCAAGCUAGCGCCGCUCUUCGUGUGUGCCCGUGCAAAGGUUAGACAAUGGAGAGAAGAGAGAGAUCGCAGACCUGGGACCCACCAGUAAGUGAGUCAACGGUCAUGCACGUGUUGACGAGGCACUCCCUCUACUCUACUCAACGCAAUACUGUAUAAAAUCAAGUUAUGGGACAAAGCCAACAACUGUUGUUGUUUCAGGCUAUCGACUUAUGCUUUGUAGUCCAGGUUGCCAGUUCGAAUCUCGUCUUUUAGAUUUGUUAGUUUUAGGUCCAAAUUUGAUUAAUGACAAGUGGGACCCCCGUGUGUUGUUCUGAUAUUUCAGUGUAGGAUGGUUUUUUGAACAAACACUUUCCGCGGUUAGACAAGUAACGGCACAAGUUACACGUAUUUUGCAAGUUUACGAACAAAAAUGACAUCGGCAUAGAAUAUCACAUCCACCCCGCAGCUCAGAUGCUAUGGUGAUACGAGUUUUUACACCGUUGGAAGUGAGAUCCAAUGGCUUGGGAGUAGUCUUUGUAAGUAUGCGCAAUUUCCAAACUCUCCAAAGGUAUUUUUGCAAAUAAAACAUUCAGGCCUCGUGUGUGCUGCUGCAUCUAGGAUCCAACGGUUGCCCGUUGCUCAUAUUAGGUGCUCCCCGUAGCUUAAUUACCCGCUAUGGUGAUAUGAGCAUCUAGGUCGUAUGAUCAGUGAUCAGAUGGCACAUGCGUAGUACUUGUACUUUCUGCGCAAUUCCCAAACUCUCUCAGCCGUAUAUUGCAAAAACAUUCAAACCUCCUACUGUGGGCCGUUAGAUCUCCGCGAACUCGUAUCACCAUAGAAUCUACGGUGCAGGAGCACCUCAUAUUCUUCCGUGCGAGAAAACAUAAGGUGCUCUCGCAGCUUGGAUGCUACGAUGAUACGAGCUUCGAGGUCGUUUGGUCUGAGAUCCAAUGGCAUCUGAGCAGUCUUUGUGCUUAUAAGCAGUGGCCGAACUCUUUGGGGGCUUUUCUGAAAAAAAAACCAUUCGAACCAUGGAGGAGGUGUUGGGUCACAAAUCCAACGGCUCCGAAGAGCUUGUAUCACCAAAGCAUCUAAGGUGUGGUAGCACAUGAUAUUCUUACAUACAGGAGAAUAUGAUGUCCUCCUUCAUCUUAGAUGCUACGGUGAUACGAGCUUUGAGGUCGUUGAGUAUUUUUUGUACAAAUUGUGUGCAAUUCUCAAACUCAUCAUGGUUUCCUGUAAAAAUAUUAAGACAUCAUGUGAGCUGCUAUAUCUCAGAUCUACAAGCUCCAAGCAACUCGUAUCGGCAUAUAACAUCUAAGGUAUGGGGGCACAUGAUAUUCUCCCGGGGAGGAGGGGUGAGGGGUGCACAAUCGAUGGUAGGAGGGUGGGGACAAAUAUAAUCUAAACAACCCUAAACAGAGCUUCACAAUUUUAUCUAAGGUCGAGGGGGUGACCCCCGACAAUCAUAGCUCCGCCUAAUUAAACACAACAUUUGCAUGUACUGUAGUACUAGACUUAAUAUUCAUGUUUCAGUUUCAUGUUCGUUUUAAAUAUUGAAUUGAGGACCAUGCAUGUCUUACAUUUUACUCCCUUCGUUCCUAAAUAUUAGUCUUUUUAGAGAUUUCAAGUGGACUGGCACAUACGGAUGUAUAUAGACAUAUUUUAGAGUGUAGAUUCACUCAUUUUGCUCCGUAUGUAGUCGCUUGUUGAAAUCUCUAAAAGACUAAUAUUUAGGAACAGAAGGAGUAUUUUUGAAUUCGUGUCAUACAUGCAUGGUUUGGAAAAAUAGAUGCACUAUACUUAUUGGAUUGUUGUUGUGUUCGUGUGUGGGUGUCUGUGUGUGUGUGUGUGUGUGUGUGUGUGUGUGUGGUCAUAUGCUUGAUACAUACAAAGUUUUCUCACCUCCAUAUUGUUCAUCUUUUAAAUUUGAAUUUGCAUUGAAAAACUUACCAGGGAUACCAUGAAAUGUGAAAUCCACGUUGAGAUCACUAUAUCACAAACUCACUCUAAUUCAACAACUCGUCAUAAAUCAAUUACCAUGUUGAGAUUAGUAUUUGCAAGGAAAAUACGGGCAUUGUAAUACACAUAGAUUCGUUCGGCAAUUUAAAAGGUUCCAUUCAUAUUCUCGAAUGGUAGGACCCAACGGCGUACCAGCCAGACCUUGGCUCGUGUUGAUCCUAAAAAAUCCGGGCUCGUAUCCUUCUGGUGGCGUGCGUGGUACGCACAUUAGGCAACCCCAACCAGUCGAGCCUCCGCGUUUCGAGUCGAAAUAUCUGGCGGCCAGAAUUCCAGCCCUAGGAAAUUCCCCUCAUGUCCCCGGUCCAUAAUGACUAUCGAUGAACAACGGAGGGAUGCUUUACUAACUAGACAACGUUACCUACCGUGCCGAGCACGGUUCAAUUCCCAUGGUCGCUGCUCGCCAAGAUCACCUGUCAACUGCAUUGCCUAGUACUACUACUACAUCAGGAUGAGCACAGAAUUGAGCCCGUUUGUUUGUGCAUAGUACUUGAGUUAAUAUAUCAGGCAAUGCACUGGUACGGAGGGAUUAUCCUUUUGCUCUGCAUAUAUAACUUGUCUGAAGAGUAACUAAGCAAAAUGUUUGGCCAAAUCCUUUCUUAAGAAAUACAACAGGACAGAUGUAUGGCUUGAAAAUUUAUUGCAUGAUGCAAGUUUUGGUAUUGUUUCGAAUCCUGGAUCUUAAAUUAUAGAAAAUCCAAAAGUGACCAAAAAUUCUUGAAACUGAGCAUGGUCACGUGAUAUUGCACAAAUAUUACUUCGUAAUUUUUUCUUCAAUUUUGAGACAAGCUGCUUAUGACAAGUUGCACAAAUGAAGAGCCAAGGUAUUUUGGAACAAAGACCUGUCAUGUUAAGGCGAAUGCUUUCACUAUUGAAACCGUGGGCGUUUACGUGCCGCCACGAGUCCCGCUUCUCAUCGGCAGGUGCCGUCCGAGCAAGCGUGUGAGUCGACGGGAGGCGUGCGAGCAGACCGCUGCGCCGGCUGACAGGGAGGCGAGCGAGCAGACUGCUAUGCAGGCUCACCGGGAGGCGAGCCCUUUGACCAGGCUCCGCCGCCCACCUUCGUCCCAACUGCUCCCACUUUUAAUGUUGUCGGCGGCGUAGUUUAAAAUCAACACCGCACUUCCCGGUAUCGCUACAAUCUUCUCUCUUCCUCUCCGAUUCUCCUGUCGUCUACCUCCAACCAGCCUGACCUAAGCGUACGCCAUGCCGCAUCAUGAUGGUAUGCCCUUAGUCUUCCAGUUUCCUGAGGAAGACACCCAGCUGGAAUCUCGAGAACAUAAGGCACUUUGGGACGAGCUUGAACUGGCCUUGCGGGAAGACGUUGCGCCUGUCCCCGCUCCCGUUUCGGCUCUCGUCGCCCCGACUGCGCCAGCGCCAAUCCCCGUGGCAUUGAUGGGCUGGGAGCCGCACAUUGUCGCCGAGCUUGAUGCCACGGGGUUCCACGAGGUCCGCGCCGAAUUUCACGCGCCCGUGCACCUGCCAGCGCAUGCGCCUGUGCGUGCACUGACGCGCAUGCCCGUGCCGGUGCCCGUGAACCUACCAGCGCAUGCGCCUACGCGUGCACUGACGUGCGCGCCCGUGCCGGUGCCCGUGCACACGAAUGUCUACGUCGCGCCGUUGACAGCGCCUGUCCCCGCGCGGGUGCCAGUGCCCCCCUCAGCGGCAUGGUUGGCCGCCGUCGACCGAUUCCUUGCACCAACGCCAGUCGCCUCCUCCUGCCAGUUGACUUGCUCCGAAGUCCAGAACAUUUUGGCCUUCCUUGAAGCUAGGACAACGUCCAGGAGUACACCAACAACGACGCAAGGCGCCGCCAUCGUCGUCGGUUAGUGGCCCGACGACACACAGAGCACGGCAGAGGAGCCGCUUCCCACCGCAAGACGCCCCCGCCGCCGCUGCGUAAUCUAAAUUUUCCAUGAAAAGCGUUCGGAUUGCCAUGCUUAAAAUCCGAACGUUUAUCAUUUCCGUUUAUUUUAGAUCGAUCGUCGCAUAAUUUAAAGUCGGAGUCAGACUGAACGAAAUGUUUGGUUUGAUCGACUGAAUGUUCUGCUAGAGCCGUAUCAAAUUAAAUAUAAAACAUCAUCAAGCCACAUGUAUUCCUUGUCAUCCAACAACCUAGACUGGUUCAAUGUCGAGUGCUCAACACGUUUAGCGUGCAGUUAAUUUCAUGCCAAAAAUAGUGCUAAUCACAUAAUAACAUGCAAAUAAUAUCCUACUUAAUAUCCGCAUGCACUUAAUAUACUUCCAAAUUAACGUGCAUUGCACGUACACACUGACUAGUGCUGCUAGCACGUAAAACUGGUGCCGUAACUUGUGAACACGUCCAGAUAUGGUCAACGGCAACAUCGCCCGCGAGUUCUUCGUGUUUGCCCGUGCGUCUAAACGCAGAAGGGGAGGAGAGAGAGAGCACACAUGGAACCCACCAGUAAGUGAAGGUGAAUAGUACUAAAAAUAAUAUUACAUGUUAUCAAUUAAAUAGGCUGUGGUAAUAUAAAAAUAUUAUGUGAACAAAGGGAGGUACAACAAACAUUGUUUUUCUACGUAUGUUGCCUAUUGACGUGCGGCUUGAAGGCCCUGGUCGCAUGUUCGAUCCUCGUCCUUUAUUUUUUAAUUUUUAUAUGGGUCCAAAUUUGUUUCAUGACAUGUGGGCCCCUCGGUGUGUAGUUUGUAGCACUUUAAUUUGUGGGUCGAAAUUUGUUCCAUUCCAAGUGGACUAUCGGUGUGUAGUUUUGUAGCUUAUUUAUAAUAAUUAAAGAGAACAACAGAGUUUUUUGCAAUAAUACCAUGGUGCGACGUUGAAGGCGAGAAAGGACGUGCGAGAGAGCGAUGACCGAGCCAGAGGGAAAUCAACUAGGGGAGUUGCGGGGGUUGCAACGGUGUUUCGAGUAGUUGUGGGCCGAAUGCUACAAAAUAUAAUCUAAACCGACCGGAAUAAAUGCCUACACAAAUUAAUCCAAGGUUGGAGUGCCCCUCGCAAUGUAAAUAGUUCCGUCUUUGCGAGGGAUGGAGAGGUAGCUUCAAUGUGUGGAAGAUACGGCGUGAGAAAGCGAGGUCAAUCGAGAGACAUAUAGAUAGAGAGACAAAGUGAGUGUGGUCCGAUAUUCAUUGAACAAAUAUAUAUGCUCUGGAGAGAUAUUGUCCGAUUGAGCUUUUGGCAAGGGUGAGGGCUGUAAGAUAGAGCUUGAGAGAUGAUCCAAUCACAUACGUGUAGAUAUAUUUUGUGCGUGGGAGGAAGCAAGGUCAAUCGAUCACAUAGGGUCGUCGUGCGAUCGAAAGAGUGAGACGGGUUGGAGAGAGUGACCUAGAUAGACAAUGUGCAUGAGAGAGUAUACAAUGUGAAUAAGUCAAAUUGGGCUCAAACAUGGUGAUAUAUCGUUUUUCUCCGAGAAAGAGCGAGGUCAAUCGAGACAUACAAAGAGAGAGAGAGGGAGAGAGAGAGAGGGAGAGAGAGAGAGCGUGGCCCACCAUGAGGUCGAAAGAGUGGGGGCGGCUUCGAUGGACUGACCUAGAUAGACAUUCUGCGUGAGAGAGUAUAGAGUGUGUCGAUCGAUGCCCGAAUAGGGAGAUAUAUCAUUUGUGUGUGCAAGAAAACGAGGUUAAACGAGACUCAGAUAAAGAGAGCGAGAUUGAGCGAGUGUGGCCCGCCGUGCGGAAGAAAGAGUGAGACAGUCUCGAGGGAGUUACCUAGAUAGACAACGUGCGUGCGUGCGCACGAGAGGUUGGGGGGCUAGAUAGGCAAUGCAUGUAUUUAGCGCGAGAGGGUGAGAGGGAGAGGGAGAGAGAGCUCGGCAUGGGGUGCAAUGGCGGGUGUGUGAGGUAAAUACAUUUCGUAACAGAGUGGAAAAAGGGGGUUGUGUAGUUGAGAGAGUUAGAGAUCGAAACAUGGAGAGAAAGAAUGGAUGUGUGUUGGAAACCGAUAGCUUCCUAAGGUGGUUAGGAGAGGAAGAUUGACCGAUACAGGAAGUAUGUAGCGUGUGUGCGAGGGGGGCUAAAAACAACAUUUCAAUGUAGAUAGUACGAGACUUAAUAUCGAUGUUUCAAUUCGGUGUACAUUGUAAGAUUUGAACUGAGGACCAUGCAUAUGGGUAAUUAUUUCGAAUUCGUGCCAUACUAGGUUUCAAAAAGUUGACAUUGACUCGAUUUGUUGUGCUAUUUUGUAGGUCAUAUGUUUGAAUCCAUCCAAAAGUUUUCUCACUACCAUGGUGUUCAUCAUAUACAUAUGAAUUUGUAUUAAAAAGUAGCGUGGAUACAGUGAAAUGCGAAAUCCAUGUUAGAAUUGGAGAUCGCUAUGUGACACACACUCUAAUUCAAAUAACUAAUUAUGUGACACACACUCUAAUCCACGUUAGCGUGGAUACUGUUUUGAUUUUUUCAAAUAACUCCUCAUUAAUUAAUUUAUACUAUCUCGUUUCGAAUGACUAAUUAUUGGAAGGAAAACACGGGCAUGGUAAUACAUAUAGAUUCAUUUGCAAAUGAAAGAAGAUUCGUUUGCAUUCUCAAAUGUAGGCGCACCAGGCAGACAAGGGUCGUGUCGUGGUGGUUGCGUGUGUCGGACGGACGCUUAGCACCCAGCCACCACCCCCCUCCCUCCUCCCUCCCCCCCCAAAAAAAAGGAUGACGACAAAAUAAGUUCGUGCUUCCAUGUUUCGGAUUGAAAUAUCUGGCGGCCCCAAUUCCAGCCCUGCAAAAUCUCCCUUCUCCACCGUCCCCUUCCGCGCCCAGAUUGCUCAAAUCUCUAAUUCACCAUAAACCCAAGCAAAGGUCGAAUUGCCCCUCGUCUCGUCUCUUUCCCCACCUUUGUGCCGGACGACGAUGACGAAGACGACGGUCGCGCUUCAGCACCGCACCGGAGCUACCUCAUCUACGCCCUCGUCCACCGCACCGGGUGGUCCACCGACAAUGUUGGCUGCCGCAACCGACGUGCCUCACAGACACAGACUUCCACCACAUCAGGUGCGCUUCACCGAUGCCGUCUCCCAGCUCACCGGGGCUACUUCACCGAGCACAUCGUCACGCCUCCGCCCCCCGAGGCCACUGGGGCUUCACCAACGGUCUCGUCCACCACAUCAUAGCGCUCCACUUCCACUCAAGAUUUGCAUCCGUGCGUGGCCAGCCAACGCCAGCGCAUCACCCUCAACGGCUCUGAAGUGACUCGCACUCUAGUUAGGCGAGCAUGCCCAAACGCCGGCCCGAACUAGGUAUCCACACAUCACUCCCUUGUGCACUGUUCCGACGAUGUUUGCAUAUCCUUUCACUGCUUUCUUAGCUUACACGCCUAUCCAACUCUGACUUUAACUCUUAUUUCUUCAAGAGAUAUCAUCUGAAACAAGCAAAUCCAUUUUUUUGCGAAGCAUGACGGCGCUACGGGAUCUGGUACACAUCCUGCACACCUGUAUAACCUUGUAAGUAUCUGUCCUCCGGUAUAACAGCAAGGUCGAUUCCUCUUAUUAGAUCAGCCAUUCGCCGUGUCAAAAAUGCAGAGGGGGAUGCAAGGCCUGCACAUCCAAGCAAGUGGUAACAUGGACUUGUACAUGGAACAUCCCAAGCGCAAGCAGAGCUACAGUGAGCCUGUACAACGAGCUAGCGUAAGUCCCUGCAUUUCAUUUAAUUCGUACUGGCAUUCGUGUAUGAUUUGUGUGCAGUGGCGGGUCCACGAAUUCAAGUUACCAGGGGCGAAAUUUUAACUUAAAAAAUACGAAGGCACUUGCACUCCGGAAAUCAACAUAACUUGAGAAAUGUGAAGCUACAUGCACUUUGAAAACCAGCUAAUGAUCCAAAGUAGUUCAGAUUAUAAACACUAAAUGAUGCAAGCACCAAAAAAACAAAAUGCAACAUGGUGUACAAGGACUACAAACAUGGUCUGUACCUGCUUGAAUUAUUCGUUCUCUGGCUGAAAAUAUUUAAGUGUAAUUGCACCUAUAACCAGUGCGCAAACUGCAUAUCAAUAUAUCUAUCCUGCACAAGUAUGCCAAUAGUUUCAAACAAUAGAUUAGAAAAGUAUUUAUGCUACGUUGUCAUGAUACUGGGACUUUCUGGUACAUGGCCUCGACGUUUCCUCAAGCCAUGAAAAUGCACUAUAAUUUGCUUGUCAUGAAUGCCUGCAAAUCUCUAUGUCUCUCUCAACAUAGCAGAUCAUCAUUAGACACUAAAUCCUUCAAUGGGAGCUUGCAAAAUGCUUGCAUUAGAUGCCUCAUUAGACACUAUAUGUUCAUCACCAGGAGCAUGUAAAAUGUUUGCAUAAAAUCCUUCAUUACCAGUCUGUUCAUUAGACACUUCAGGCUCAAGAACAACAUGAGCUUGGAUGUUUGCACUGGAAACUUGAUUAGAUUCAUCAGAUUCAGUCAGUUCAGUAUUGAUUGGGGAGUUAUAAAAUAAGUAGAAAUUGGUUUCAUUUUCUCAUAGAUUCCCUACAUACAAGCAUUUUUACAACACCGUCAGGUUUAACUAUUGGCCAGAAAUUGAAGAGUUGAAUUAGAUAUAAUCAGGAAUGUGAUGUACCUACUCGUUGCGCAUGCUACUCUUGCAAGCUGCGACUGUCCGUUUGCGCAAGCUCGAUGCCAUGCCCGUGCUGCCGCCGCUGCUUCCCACGCAGGCUACACCCAGGGUUGGAUCUUCAUCUUCUUGUCCUUUCGUUCGCUUCAAGCCUGGCGACCGCCCUCCAACGAGGGCGUGAGGAAGUGAUGUGUCGGUCUGUCCAGCGGCGGCUAGGUUAGGAGCAAACCAUACUGGAGGCUGGAGUGGAUGAAUUGGGAUUUUUCCUGCUGUCGAUCGAUAUGGGAGGUGCUCGUUUGUGCCGCGAGCCUGCUAUAGGGCCUGCCUUGCACUUAUGUUAUUGGCCUAUCCAAAUUGAAACAUUUUUCUUCAUUUUUUACAUUGCCUACUCGUGCGUUGGGACGAACAAAACUAGCAUGGGCCAACCUGGACGACUCAAACUAGGUGGACACUUUCGAGCCACCCGAGGCGGCCGCCCAUACCAGCCCCUAUGGUGGCGUUGCCCCUUUUUGCGUGUAUGAUAGGGGUAGUGAAAAAUAUUCUAGUGGCACUUUUGAUUUACCCACAUAAUGGUUGAAUUGCUUGUUUCUAUGAACUGAGUUCGCCAAUAAUGUGAAGGAUGCCAGUCUUUUCAUCCUAUUGUAGAUUGCUUAGAUCUCGAUAUGCCAAAAGUAAUCGCAUGAAAUAUACAGUAAAAGCCAGUGUGAUGUGUGUGGCUACAACUAGUCUGACUACACGUCCUCAUAUAACAUAUCAAGGACGCACCAUCUUACCAGAUUAACCAUUCGACUUACCAAUGCAGUGUGGGAAGAAAGAAGUAUUGGGACUGCGUAUCCAACCAAUUGAUGCCAUGGACUCCUUCGUACAACCUUGUAAGCGAAAAAGAAGUUGCAGUGUGCCUGUAUAAAGAACUAGCGUAAGUUCAGUUACCUGCUUCUCAGAAUUUUAGUUAGCCACUUAUUGCAAAAUUGUUCAAUUACGUUGCUUGGCUUGAUUUAGUUUGCUACUGAUUACAUAAUGCCACAGCAUGUUAAUCCUAUUAUAGACUGCGCCUAUCUAUGUGUUUGAUACUUACUGUUAAGAAUUACCUGUUUGCCUGAACUUAAAUAGCUACUUGUUUGUUUAACUGCUUUGCUGCUGCAACAACGGGUUACAAUGAUGUUAAUAACUACUUUUCAGCAUCGAAUUGAAACUCUUUAAUUCCUUGUUUGUUUAACUGGUUUGCUGUUAUAACUCCCAGUUGAGAUGUUUUGCUAACUUCAACUUUUCUGAAUCCAAUCGGAACUUUAAUGGCAAAACUGGUUAGCCCAAGAUCAAAGAGCGAGGUCCCCAUGGACGUUGUAUCAUCCCACAGCAGUGGCACCGGCCCAAUCGUGCAUUAUGAAUUGCCAACUGCUGAUGCUCUAGUGGCUAAACUAGUGGUACAAAGAGAUUCUGCUUCUGCACUUAGAUAUGAAGUUGACAUGUUGACGAAGCAAACAACACAAUCAGUAGCAGUACUCAAGACAACCAUUGAAUAUUUGGUGGAUUUAAAAACUAAGCAAGUUGAGACUGACCACAUUGUUAAGGUCCUGAAGGAAAAAAGGAAAUUCAAUUCCCACUUGGUAAAUCAUAGGUGAAAUGUUCUUUCCAUCGUUGAAUAACCUUUGUGUUGUUUGUUCAUGUAAUCAAUCAAACCAUUUGUUUUAGAUAUCAUGUAAUAAUUGUUUUUUGUUUUUUGUUUUUUGGUUUGUAAUUUUAUUUGAGCACAAGUCUGUAUUAAUUGAUAAGACUUGGAGACAUUUCAUUUUCAUUGGUGUGCCAGACCUACAAAUAUGCCAAUCGGGCUGAAUGUGCAUUCAGCAAUAAUAGUAGUAUAGAUGGACCAUAAGUGGCACGCAUCGGAAAGGGCCAAGAUGCUGUAGUAGCUUGGCUAAAAAAAGGAUGCUGUUGUAGCAAAGAAAAGUACAGCGGCCUCGCUUAUGUAUGUUAGUUGAUAUUAUUGAUCCAUAUACUCUAUAAGUGUUUAUAUGUCUGUUAGUUCUGUACAUUCUUGGUUGAUUGACUCGGUAUUUGAAUCUUGAUACAUCGCUUGUGUACAUAUCUAAAUGGGAGUACACAUUAUGUUGCGUGUGACAUUUGAGUUGGACAUGAAGUGUUCCAAAUAUUCGAAUUCACCUUAAACUGGAUUCUAGCUUCUGAAUUUGAGUAUCGGCAUUUGUAAACCAUAUUCAUAUAUGACAGUGGAAUACAUAUUUGUCGUCCUUUUGAAGAUAUAUAAAAACACAUAGAAUGAUUUAUAAAGAUUCGUAUAGGAAUACAAAAUGGAUUUGAAUUUAGUUGCCAGGGUAAACGUGGAUGCUUAUUGUCCCAAAAUUCGAAAGAAGCGGCAAAAUGUCCACUCCCACGUCGGCUGCCCGAAGCCAAGUAUUUGGGAGAUGGAAAUUACUGUCUACCCAUUACACGGACAAUCCAUCGGCCCGAUUUCCAUUGCUCUAAAUAGGGGUAGGAUAGUAACUUCAAUUAGACGUGACACGACCGCCUCUGAGCCCAUUCCAACACGCUGGCCGCCAAACAUGGGCGGCAAAACACAUUUGAUUCAAGCCCGUCCGAAAGACCUCUGUUUCUCCCUCCAUUUCCCCAUUCAUACACGGUGGGCGGCAAAACAAACUCGACUCGUCCGAAAUCGAUGUAGGAAAAUAUUUGCAAUAGGGGCAGGUUUGUAACUUCACUCAGACGUGACACAACCGCCCUACCUGUCAGCCCCGUUCAUACACCGUGGGCGCCAACCACCCUCUCCUCGCCCGAAAUCGCUCUGGGCAAAUAUUGGCGAGAUGCAAGAUUACCGUCGUAUCCCCAACCGACGAGACGUCCAAAUUUUAAACGGGGGCUAAGUUCGUAACUUUCCCAUAUUUCAGACAGGCGUGUCCCAAAAACAUGGUUCCCCGUACCUCUCCCUCCAUUUUCCCGUUCAUACACCGUCCGCGCUAGAACACCAACCCCACACCAGCCUCCGUCCGCCACCCCAUCCAUCGCCGCCGUCCUCCACCACAAACAUCGCCACCGUCCUCCACCAUGCCGGAGCGCCUACCAAGACCGCGUCGUCCACUGCUAGAGAUGGACGUUUCUCAUCCAUGGCAACGGACCAAGAGCCUUGCAUCACGUCCUCUCGCUUCAUCAGCGUCGUCGUCCUCUUUGCCGGGGCCGCUCACACGACCUUCUCUUCCACCGCAACGGGACUUAUCCCCCGAUGCACCCAUCUACCGUCGCAUAUCUGCUUCAAUGCCACUGACAGCCAUCGCACCCCCGAUGCCUACACGGCGCCGCAAGAGAGGUGGUACUUCAUAUCUCCUCAACUUUUUGAUCUCAACCAGAAAAUAGAUCUUAACUUGGUUACUCUACUUUCUUUUCAGCUCUUAGAAUUUAGUUCUUAGUUUGAAGCAAACAAUGGCUGCUAAACAUCAUUUCUCCGGUUUCCCCCUUUCAUGAUCACUAUACGAUCAGAAUACGUGCUUCGUGUCAUAAUAGCACUGCUCGACCCAUCAAGCUAAACAAGCUUAGUUGUUCAAAUACGAAUCUGGUAUUAUUAAAACAGAUUCGUUUAAUUAGUCAGCUAAAUGUUCCUAAAUUAGUUUCGAAAAUGCAUGUUGGCCGCUCGGGUGUGUAUCUCUACAGGGUGCCCAAGGUGGGCCGGCCCACCCUGGGAUUUUGGGUCGUCCCAGGCCCCGAUUCCCCUCUGUUCUGCUGCGCGCUUCCGAUCUCUACUCGCCCCCAGCCGCCUGCCUCGCCGGCGACUUGCCGUCCCUGGAUGGCAUGACUCUAGGAGGAGACGCUUGACUAACAGGAGGUCAGGAGCUGCUCGCCCAACAGCGUCACCGCUGCCCGGGCGCGCCACCGUGCCUACCUUCCCAGUCCCUUCAGGGCUCAGGCGUGCAACACCCACUAAGCCAACCCGAUUUAUCCUGAGAUAAGUCCUCAACACUCAGUAGCCACUCCUCAUCACCCAUUUUCUAAUUGAUUCAUUACUCAUUAGGCAGGACUGUCAUUAGGGUUUGUUGUGUGCUCAGUGCUACCUACACUUAAUGGUUUAGAUGUAUUUCGGUAAUCUUUAGUACCUGUAAAGUUCAUAGGGUUUUCAAAAUUCCGGCCCUAGGAACAGACACUAGUCAUUUUGGAUUGUUGAUCAUAGUGACAUUGACCCAGAUUACUACAGCAAGCCAGGUUUGUUGACAAUUUUACUUGUCUUUCUUACUCAUUCGAUAUAAUAUCCAAUUAUUCACGUCGAUUAGUUGCAAAAAAUAAGUGCUAGACAAACUUCUUGAUUCAGAUUUUGGACGGUCUCUUACUGCAGUUACAAUUCUGCAUACUUGUCCUAGUAAGCUCACAAGUAAAUGAUUGAUUCACUACAUCUAUGCUUACCUUGUCAUAUUUGUUGUCAAUAUUCUUUUAGGGUGGACCACCCUGUUUCUAAAUACUGCAACCAUAGACAUGAGUGAAUAGUAUUUCUCUAUGUGAUGUCUUCCAUCAUGUGUGGGCAAUGAACACUGCAUUGUAUAGAAAGAAAGUGUCAUUUCCAGCUUUUACAUAGGUUUCGAUCUUUUACAUGGAAUACAAUCUGCCUACUUGCUUUGUGUCGCAAUACCAACACUCCACCCUUGAAGCUAAACAUUAUGCCACUCAUAAUUCCUUAGUUUAUUUGUUCAAAUACGAAUUUCAUAUGAUUCUAAUGUUCCUACUUCAGUUUUGAAAUGUGUGUCUGCCUGUUAUAGAGACAUAAGGGGUUUGUUUUUUGUGUGUGGUCUGGUCAGCACGGUUGGGGGUGAACUUUGCAUAUGCAGGGGUUUAUAGGGAGACACUCUUCGAGUUGAAUCCGCAAUGCAUUCCAUAGAUAAUCUGACUGCUUUUUAUGUUUUCAUGAAUCUCAGAUUCUGAACAGCAUCAUAAUGAUUAUGAGAUUGCGCGCAUGAAAAGAAUAAAGCAGAACAAUGCCAUGGCUCUCAAACUUGGCAUUAAGGGACUGAAAUCAAGUCUGGAUGCAAUGCAAUGCAAACGCUCUCCACCUACAGAUUCAUGCUCAGAAUAUGAUCCUAACAGUGAUUCUGAGCUAGAGGGAGACCUAAGUCAAUGUAGCUCCCUAGUGGAGGAGUCAGAGGAAGAUGCGCUAUCUUAUUCACCCAUCAAGGUGCUUGCUCUAACUCUAAGGUUAUAUUUGUCGCACAUAUCUUGCAACUGAUGCUUUGCAUUGCUUCUACUUUGUUGAACUGCCAUUAGCUUAGUUUACACAUCGUUUAUGUGAAUACGCCCUGCCUAUCCAUUUUCAGUACAUAUUCCAUCUGUCAUCAUACCAUAUUUAUCCAUUCAAAUGUUGUUCUUGUGUAUCAGACGUUCAAAAGGAAGAGGGCGAUUGCUGAUCGUGGAGGAGCACAAGCAAAGUAUUUGGAAAAGGUAGUGGCACCUGAUAAAUCAAAUAGCCCAUUAGGUGUAGUUGCAAUAUCACCUGACCCACAAAACACCCCAACUCUAGCAGACUCUAGCCCUACUACACUGGUCAUUUAUGAUGCCCCAACUUAGCAGACCCCAACUGCAGCAAACAUUAUGAUUAUGCCAGUUGACAUAGCACCAGCUCUACGACACAAAACCCCCAUUCCAGCAAAGAGUACACCAAAUCCAGUUGCCAAAUCCCUUUUCGAACCAGAUAGAGCCCCAAUUGCAGCAAAUAGGACCCCUGUUCCAUUUCUUCCCAGUUUAGAAGACAAAGCUUAUAUUGUUGUCAGGAACUUUGUGCGCAUCUUUCCUUCAUGGAAAGAUUAUACUGCAGACAUAGAACAAUUUCCAGUCUUCCUCCGCAACUUACGCAUAAGUAAUGUACUAAUGUUAUCCAUGGUCAUUGCUGCAUAUGUUUCUGCUGACAGAAGACACAAGAUUUCAUUCUUUUAAAUAGGCGAGGACCAAACUGGAUUGUGAAGACGAGCAAGGGUUGGUUGUGCUUUUCAAGCACUCGUUGAUGAAGUAUCGUUCUUACCUAAGGCAAGCGUACUUCGAUGGCAAGCCUCUAAACGAAAUUUCUAUAAAGUCUCCGGUGCUACAUUUAUCCAACGGUGACUGGAAUAAUCUUGUUACACAUUGGUCUCGGCUGCAGCGUAACGUACUAUCUAUGAUAUCACAUCACAAUUUGAACUACAUUUCUGCAUUUGCCUUAACGUCUCACUUGUACGAAAACUGUUAGCAGAAGAACAUUCAUUCUCAAGGGACCACAGAAUCUCGCAACUAUACUGCACACUGCAUUGCUCUUGUGAGUACCUCUUGCCCUGUAUGACCAUACUUACUUUCAUAGUUGUUUGAUUAUGUAGCAUCACUACACAUGUUAGCCUUGUUAUCGUCCAUCUGGUGGACAUUAUAAGAUCCGUAUGGACUCUUACAUAAAUUUAUAAUCAACCCAAUGCUUUUGAAGAGGUUUAGCUCUGCAGUCCUCUUGUAAGGACAGAACGUCGUCUAUCACUGUACUUACAUUAACAGCUAGUCCCUCCGUCCCAUAAUAUAAGAUGUAGUCGACCGGGCCGAAACAUUCGCCUCUAACGGGCCUGGUGUUUAGCGGGCCACAAUUGGGCCGGCCUGCAUCUUUCUUGGGCCCGAAUCAUUGGGGCCUUCACACUUUGCGCGAGGCCCACAACUUACACCGGCCUAUAUUUUAGUUGGGCCUUUUGUGGACCCAGCGCUUAGUUUGGCCCAGGUAGCGUUGGGCCAUUAACAUGCUGAAUAUUAUACUGGCUUGUUACGGCCUAGAUGAAACCAUGGGCCUUUAGCAGGCCGAAAUGCAUAUUGGGCCUCAAUUUUCACUAGUCGUCGACGGGCCUUCAGCAGGCUGAAAUGUAGACCGGGCCUUUUUGGGCCCAGUUACAUCACGGGCAGUUACCAGGCCGAAACAUAUCUCAGGCCUUAGUUGGCCCACUGAUAUCAUGGGCCUUUAAGAGGCCGAAAGCUUAGUACAGACAUCAACGGGCCGAAUUAUGCGGCAGGCCUUUAACAGGCCCAAAGUCACGUUGGGCUUAACUAUUGCCACCUUUAUCACGGGCCGUUAGUGGGCCCGAUGUCCUGUCGGAACAUAUAUGGCCCAUGGGCAGCACGGGCCAUUCCCAGGCCGAAAGCCACACCGGGCUGAAAUGGGCCCAUGUCUACAUCGGGCCUCUAACAGGCCGAAAGUCACUGGGCUGUAAUUGGGCCCAAAUACUCGGUGAACAAUUAACGGGUCAGAUCUGGCUUUGGGCCGUUAAUGGGCCCAAAUAUUCGGCGAACAAUUAACAGGCCAGAUUUGGCUUCGGGCCGUAAAUGGGCCUUUAUUAAGCAGGUCGUUAUUGGGCUGGCCCACUAGGACCUGAGUAAGUACUACGGGCCUUUGACUGGGCCGGCCUUUUUAACCUAUAUGGGCCUCUGUUGGGCCGUGCCACGUGUCGACGUAUCAUAGGCGCUUUGGGUCCAAUGAGUGGAUGACAUCUGUCCCAACAGUGAGCCGACACGUGUUUCCUCCAGCCAAUGAUGAUUUUACAUGUGGAAAAUCCCCAUUGGUCGGGGCUGUUAACGGGUUACCGGAUCCAAAACCGGACCCGAUAGAUUAACGGCGUUCUGUUACGGUGGAUGCCACAUGUCGGUCACCCUUGACGAAAGCACUUCUGUGACGCGCGAUUUAUCGUCAUGGAAGUGGACACUUCCGUCAUGAUAAUUUUGGUAAUGUCAUGGAACACUUCUACGACAGCACAUGUAUGACUAUCUUGAUUCUAUCAUAAUUUUGUCAUGGAUGUACAUGCAUGACAGAAAACGUGACCUACUGUGACAAACACGUAUCAUCACGGAAGUGUAUGUUUUUGUAGUGGUUAGAUUGUUGAAGAUAUACAACGAAAUGGUCUGCCAUUCUUCGAAAUCCAACGUUAAGGAAUUAGAAGCACCGGCUGGUGUGAGAUCCCCUUUGAAUAGGCUGAGGUUGGAUCCAGCCUUUUUAGGGUCGCCAGCAUUGUACCGAGGCUUCAGAUUAUGCAAAUGAUGAUUUUUGGCUUCGUAGUGUGCUGUCACGAAGUUUGCCGCCUCCUCGGUAAUGAAUGCCUCGGCCAUCGAUGCUUCAAUUCUACGUUUAUUUUUACAUUUUGCUCGAAGCGUCUUCUGCAUCCUCUCAGUUGUGUAGCACCAAUGAUUUUGCACGCCCCUCCCAAUCUAGCCUCGGUUGGGAGAUGCAAAAUCAAGUGCUGCAUUGCAUUAAAGAAGCCCGGCGGAAAGAUCUUCUCUAACUUGCCGAUCAACUCCGGCGCCAACUCUUCCAUUUCUUCUAGCAGGCCAGGCGAUAGUUCUUUCGCACAAAGCACACGAAGAAAUAUCUCAGCUCUGCCAGUACUAGCCAUUCAUCCUCAGGGAUGAAGCCAUGAGACAUCACCGGCAUUACCCGCUCAAUCCAUAUGUGCCAAUCAUGACUCUUGAGACCAAAUAUCUUCAAUUUAUCAAGACUCGUUCCCCUCUUUAGAUUCACUGCAUACCCAUCAGGGAAAAUCAACUGCUUUUGCACCCGCAAGAUAAUUUCCCUCAUAGCUGGCCUUCCAAGAUUUAACCAUGCCUUUGGCUUUGUCCAGUUCUGCUUUCCUUUCGGUGGUUGCAUGUUUUGUAAUGGUCUAUGACAUAGCGCCUCCUGAUCGACUCUAGCCUUAGUAUUAUCCUUUGACUUCCCAUCUAUGCCGAACAAUGUACCAAAAAGUGCCUCAGCGAUAUUCUUCUCAGUGUGCAUCACGUCGAUGUUUUGUGGGUAAAGGAGGUCUUUGAAGUAAGCAGAUCCGACAAGCAUGUCUUGUGAGUCCAGGCGUGUUCCGAAUUAUAUCCCUUGAAAUACCUUGGACGCUCUGGAUCUGGCUCGAGAGCGUUUAACUGAUCCAGGGUCUCCUGGACUGUCAACGGAGGUGGUGCAGAGUUUUUGCCAACUCUACCUUUGAUGAAGUUCUGCUUGUCUUUCCUGAACUUAUGGCGAGGAUCCAGGAACUGUCUAUGCAAGUCGAAGCAAGAAAACUUGCGACAGACCUGAAGCCAACAAAACUAAAGAGCUUCCUUGCAAGUGGGGCACGGGAAUCUUCCAUGCACACACCAGCCAACGAAUAGCGCAUACACCGGCAAGUCAUGCAUCGAGUACAUGUACCAUACACUGAUACGUCUCCAGCGUAUCUAUAAUUUUUUAUUGUUCCAUUCUAUUAUAUUAUCUAUCUUGGAUGUUUUAUAUGCUAUUUUAUAUGAUUUUUGGGACAAACCUAUUAACCUAGAGCCUAGUGCCAGUUUCUGUUUUUUCCUUGUUUUUGGCUUUCGCAGAAAAGGAAUAUCAAACCGAGUCCAAUUGACCUGAAAUUUUACGAGGAUCCUUUUUGUACCAAAAGAAGCCCAUGGAGUACUAAAGAUGCACCAGAGGAGUCCCGAGGCCACCACAAGGGUGGGGGCGCGUCCACCCCCUAGGGCGCGCCCUUCGACCUUGUGGGCCCCUCGUGGAUUCCCCUGACUUGUUCUCGAUGCCAACACCUCUUAUAUAUCUCCAAACCUCCGGAAAUAAACCUAGAUCGGGAGUUCCGUCGCCGCAAGCCUCUGUAGCCACCAAAAACCAAUCGGAACCCUGUUCUGGCAUCCUGCCGGAGGGGGGGAUCAACACCGGUGGCCAUCUUCAUCAUCCCGACACUCUGCAUGAUGAGGGAGUAGUUCACCCUCGGGACUGAGGGUAUGUACCAGUAGCUAUGUGUUUGACCUCUCUAUCUCUCGUGUUCUUUAUUUGGCAUGAUCUUGAUGUAUCGCGAGCUUUGCUAUUAUAGUUGGAUCUUAUGAUGUUUCACCCCCUCUACCUUCUCGUAACGGAUUGAGUUUUCCCUUUGAAGUUAUCUUAUCGGAUUGAGUCGUUAAUAAUUUGAGAACACUUGAUGUAUGUCUUGCAUGUGCUUAUCUGUGAUGACAAUGGGAUAUUCACGUGAUCCACUUGAUGUAUGUUUUGGUGAUCAACUUGCGGGUUCAGUGACCUUGUGAACUUAUGCAUAGGGGUUUGCACACGUCUUCGCCUUGACUCUCUGGUAGAAACUUUGGGGCACUCUUUGAAGUUCUUUGUGCUGGUUCGAAUAGAUGAAUUUGAGAUUGUGUGAUGCAUAUCGUAUAAUCAAACCCGCGUAUACUUGUGGUGACAUUGGAGUAUCUAGGUGACAUUAGGGUUUUGGUUGAUGUGUGUCUUAAGGUGUUAUUUUAGUACGAACUCUAGGGCUGUUUGUGACACUUAUAGGAAUAGCCCAAUAGAUCGAUCAGAAAGAAUAACUUUGAGGUGGUUUCGUACCCUACAACAAUCUCUUCGUUUGUUCUCCGCUAUUAGUGACUUCGGAGUGACUCUUUGUUGCACGUGGAGGGAUUGUUAUAUGAUCUAAUUAUGUUAUCAUUGUUGAGAGAACUUGCAAUAGUGAAAGUAGGCCUUGUUUCCAAGCAUUGCAAUACCGUUUUCGCUCACUUUUACUACUAGCUACCUUGCUAUUUUUAUAAUUUCAGAUUAUAAAAACCUAUAUCUACCAUCCAUAUUGCACUUGUAUCACCAUAUCUUCGCCGAACUACUGCACCUAUACAAUUUACCAUUGUAUUGGGUGUGUUGGGGACACAAGAGACUCUUUGUUAUUUGGUUGCAGGGUUGUUUGAGAGAGACCAUCUUCAUCCUACACCUCCCACAGAUUGAUAAACCUUAGGUCAUCCACUUGAGGGAAAUUUGCUACUGUCCUAAAAACCACUACACUUGGAGGCCCAACAACGUCUACAAGAAGAAGGUUGCAUAGUAGACAUCAAGCUCUUUUCUGGCACCGUUGCCGGGGAGGCUAGGUAAGCGGCACUAACACCCCAUCAACGAAGCUCUUUUCUACUGCCGUUGCCAGGGAGGUUAGUGCUUGAAGGUAUAUCUUUAGAUCUUACAAUCGAAUCUUUUAGUUUCUUGUUUUAUCACUAGUUUAGUUUAUAACAGAAAACUACAAAAAAAAUGGAAUUGAGGUUGCCUCAUAUGCUUCAUAUUUUCAAUGUCUUUCGUGAAAAUAAGGAUUCCGAUAAUUGUGCCAAAGUGCUAGAGGAAGAAUGCAAUAAAAUGUUUGGCAUGAAAUCUUUGAAUGAUGAGCAUGAUUGCAAUGUUCUUAGUAUGAAUUCCUUGAAUAUCCAUGAUGCUAAUGACAUGCAAAGCCACAAGCUUGGGGAUGCUAUGUUUGAUGAAUAUGAUCUUUUCAGUCCCCCAAGUUUUGAUGAGGAAAUUUAUUAUGAUGAAAGCAUGCCUCCUAUCUGUGAUGAUUAUAUUGAUGAAAGUGGAGUUGGAGAGGUCAUGACUUUAUUUAGUGAUGAAUCCACUAUUUCGGAAGAGGUUCCAAUUGAUUAUGAGAACAAAGUUUCUAUCUAUGAUGAUUAUUGUGAUGACAUGUAUGCUAUAAAGAAUAAUGAUAACCAUGAAACUUGUCAUCUUGAUUUUAAUUUUCAAUUGGAUUAUGCCUCACAUGAUAGUUAUUUUGUUGAGUUUGCUCCCACUAUUAUUCAUGAGAAGAAAAUUGCUUAUGUGGAGAGUAAUAAUUUUUUAUGAUUGUGGAUCAUGAAAAGAAUGCUUUAUGUGAUAUUUAUAUUGUUGAAUUCAUUCAUGAUGCUACUGAAAAUUAUUAUGAGGGAGGAAUAUAUGCUUGUAGGAAUUGCAAUAAUAUCAAGUUUCCUCUCUAUGUGUUGAAAGUUUUGAAGUUAUUCUUGUUUUGCCUUCCUAUGCUAGUUGAUUAUUGUUCCCAUAAGUUGUUUGAUCACAAAAUACCUAGGCACAGGAAGUGGGUUAGACUUAAAUGUGCUAGUCAUAUUCUUCAUGAUGCUCUCUUUUUGUUUCAAUUCUUAUCAUUUAUGUGAGCAUCAUUGAAAUCAUCAUGCCUAGCUAGAAAGGCAGUAAAGAAAAGCGCUUGUUGGGAGACAACUCAACAUUUACCCCUACUAUUUUUGUGUGUUCACAUGUUUAAGCUACAUUAGCAAUCAUGUUUUACAUCUUUUGUUUCAAUAAAGUGCCAAGUAAGACCUUUGGGAUGGCUUACGGUAAUAGUUUAUUUGAUCUUGCUGAAAAACAGAAAAUUUUGCGCUCACGAAAACAAUUUUCAUAAUUCAUAUAAGCGUGCUUGUAAGUUGAUUAUUUUUGCAUAGGAUUAAUAAAACUUCCUAUUUUUUCAGGAUUUUUGGAGUUAUAGAAGUAUUCGAGAAUUACAGAUUACUACAGACUGUCCUGUUUUUGACAUAUUCUGUUUUCUAUGUGUUGUUUGCUUUUUUUGAUGCAUCUAUGGCAAGUAUCGGGGGGUAUGAACCAUGGAAAAGUUGGAAUACAGUAGAUAUUACACCAAUAUAAAUAAAGAAUGAGUUCACAACAGUACCAAAAGUGGUGAUUUAUUUUCUUAUACUAACGGAGCUUAUGAGAUUUUCUGUUGAGUUUUGUGUUGUGAAGUUUUCAGUUUUGGGGGAAGUUUCGAUGGACUAGGGAAUAAGGAGUGGCAAGAGCCUAAGCUUGGGGAUGCCCAAGGCACCCCAAGGUAAUAUUCAAGGACAACCAAGAGCCUAAAAUUGGGGAUGCCCCGGAUGGCAUCCCCUCUUUCGUCUUCGUUCAUCGGUUACCUUACUUGGAGCUAUAUUUUUAUUCACCACAUGAUAUGUGUUUUGCUUGGAGAGUCAUUUUAUUUUAUUUUGUUUUGCUUGAUGUUUGAAUAAUAUCCCAAGAUCAGAAAUACUUAAAUGAGAGAGAGUCUUCACAUAGUCACAUAAUUAUUCGACUACUCAUUGAUCUUCACUUAUCUUUUGGAGUAGUUUGUCAUUUGCUCUAGUGCUUCACUUAUAUAUUUUUAGAGCACGACGGUAGUUUUAUUUUGAAGAAAUUGUUGAACUCUCAUGCUUCACUUAUAUCAUUUUGAGAAUCUCUAAACAGCAUGGUAAUUUGCUUAGGUUAUGAAUUUAGUCCUAAUAUGAUGGGCAUCCAAGAGGGAUAUAAUAAAAACUUUCAUAUAAAGUGCAUUGAAUACUAUGAGAAGUUUGAUUCCUUAUGAUUGUUUUGAGAUAUGAAGAUGGUGAUAUUAAAGUCAUGCUAGUGAGAAAUUUUGAAUUUGAGAAAUACUUGUGUUGAGGUUUGUGAGUCCCGUAGCAUGCACGUAUGGUGAACCGUUAUGUAACGAAGUUGGAGCAUGAGAUAUUUUUUUGAUUGUCUUCCUUAUGAGUGGCGGUCGGGGACGAGCGAUGGUCUUUUCCUACCAAUCUAUCCCUCUAGGAGCAUGCGUGUAGUACUUUGUUUCGAUGACUAAUAGAUAUUUGCAAUAAGUAUGUGAGUUCUUUAUGACUAAUGUUGAGUCCAUGGAUUAUGCGCACUCUCACCCUUCCACCAUUGCUAGCCUCUCUAGUAUCGCGUAACUUUCGCUGGUACUAUACACCCACCAUAUACCUUCCUCAAAACAGCCACCAUACCUACCUAUUAUGGCAUUUCCAUAGCCAUUCCAAGAUAUAUUGCCAUGAAACUUUCCAUCAUUCUGUUUAUUAUGACACGCUUCAUCAUUGUCAUAUUGCUUUGCAUGAUCAUGUGGUUGACAUCGUAUUUGUGGCAAAGCCACCGUUCAUAACUCUUUCAUACAUGUUACUCUUGAGUCAUUGCACAUCGUGGUACACCACCGGAGGCAUUCACAUAGAGUCAUAUUUUGUUCUAGUAUCGAGUUGUAAUUUUUUGAGUUGUAAGUAAAUAAAAGUGUGACGAUCUUCAUUAUUAGAGCAUUGUCCCAUGUGAGGAAAUAAAAAAAGAAGAGAAAAGGCCAAAUAAAAAAAGAGAAGGCCCAAAAAAAAGAAAGAAAAAAAAGAUAGAGAAAAAGAGAGAAGGGACAAUGUUACUAUCCUUUUACCACACUUGUGCUUCAAAGUAGCACCAUGAUCUUCAUGAUAGAGAGUCUCCUAUAUUGUCACUUUCAUAUACAAGUGGGAAUUUUUCAUUAUAGAAUUUGGCUUGUAUAUUCCAACAAUGGGCUUCCUCAAAUUUCCCUAGGUCUUCAUGAGCAAGCAAGUUGGAUGCACACCCACUUAGUUUUCCUUUUUGAGCUUUCAUAAACUUAUAGCUCUAGUGCAUCUGUUGCAUGGCAAUCCCUACUCACAGACACUGAUAUCUAUUUAUGGACAUCUCCAUAGCCCGUUGAUACGCCUAGUUGAUGUGAAACUAUCUCCUUCUUUUUGUCUUCUCCACAACCACCAUAUUCCAUUCCACCUAUCGUGCUAUGUCCUGUGCUCACGCUCAUGUAUUGCGUGAAAGUCGAAAAAGUUUGAGAACAUCAAAAGUAUGAAACAAUUGAUUGGCUUGUCAUUGCGGUUGUGCAUGAUUUAAAUAUUUUGUGUGAUGAAGAUGGAGCAUAGCCAGACUAUAUGAUUUUGUAGGAAUAAGCUUUCUUUGGCCAUGUUAUUUUGAGAAGACAUAAAUGCCUUGUUAGUAUGCUUGAAGUAUUAUUGUUUUUAUGUCAAUAUUAAACUUUUGUUUUGAAUCUUACGGAUCUGAACAUUCAUGCUACAAUAAAAAAAUUACAUGGAUAAAUAUGUUAGGUAGGAUUCGACAUUAAAAUUUCUAUUUUUAUCAUUUACCUACUUGAGGACGAGCAGGAAUUAAGCUUGGGGAUGCUUGAUACGUCUCCAACGUAUCUAUACUUUUUGAUCGUUCCAUGCUAUUAUGUUCUCUAUCUUGGAUGUUUUAUAUGCUAUUUUAUAUGAUUUUUGGGACUAACCUAUUAACCUAGAGCCCAGUGCCAGUUUUUGUUUUUUUCCUUGUUUUUGGCUUUCGCAGAAAAGGAAUAUCAAACGGAGUCCAACUGACGUGAAAUUUUAUGAGGGUUGUUUUUGGACCAAAAGAAGCCCACGGAGUACCGGAGAUGCACCGAAGGAGUCCCGAGGCCACCACAAGGGUGGGGGGCGCACCCACCCCCCUAGGGUGCGCCCUCCAACCUUGUGGGCCCCUCAUGGACUCCCUGACUUGUUCUCGAUGCCAACACCUCUUAUACAUCCCCAAACCUCUAGAAAUGAACCUAGAUCAGGAGUUCCACCGCCGCAAGCCUCUGUAGCCACCAAAAACCAAUCGGGACCCUAUUCCGGCACCCUGCCGGAGGGGGCAAUCAUCACCGGUGGCCAUCUUCAUCAUCAUGGCUCUCUCCAUGACGAGGAGGGAGUAGUUCACCCUCGGGGCUGAGGGUAUGUACCAGUAGCUAUGUGUUUGAUCUCUCUCUCUCUCUCAUGUUCUUGAUUUGGCACGAUCUUGAUGUACCGCGAGCUUUGCUAUUAUAGUUGGAUCUUAUGAUAUUUCACCCCCUCUACCUUCUUGUAAUGGAUUGAGUUUUCCAUUUGAAGUUAUCUUAUCGGAUUGAGUCUUUAAGGAUUUGAGAACACUUGAUGUAUGUAUUGCAUGUGCUUAUCUGUGGUGACAAUGUGAUAUUCACGUGAUCCACUUGAUGUAUGUUUUGGUGAUCAACUUGCGGGUUCAGUGACCUUGUGAACUUAUGCAUACGGGUUGGCACACAUUUUCGUCUUGACUCUCCGGUAGAAACUUUGGGGCACUCUUUGAAGUUCUUUGUGUUGGUUCGAAUAGAUGAAUUUCAGAUUGUGUGAUGCAUAUCGUAUAAUUAAACUCGCGGAUACUUGUGGUGACAUUGGAGUAUCUAGGUGAAAUUAAGGUUUUGGUUGAUGUGUGUCUUAAGGUGUUAUUUUAGUAUGAACUCUAGGGCCGUCUGUGACACUUAUAGGAAUAGCCCAAUAAAUCGAUCAGAAAGAAUAACUUUGAGGUGGUUUCAUACCCUACAAUAAUCUCUUCGUUUGUUCUCCGCUAUUAGUGACUUUCGAGUGACUCUUUGUUGCACGUGGAGGGAUUGUUAUAUGAUCUAAUUAUGUUAACAUUGUUGAGAGAACUUACACUAGUGAAAGUAUGAACCCUAGGCCUUGUUCGCAAGCAUUGCAAUACCGUUUUCGCUCACUUUUACUACUAGCUACCUUGCUGUUUUUAUAAUUUCAGAUUACAAAAACCUAUAUCUACGAUCCAUGUUGCACUUGUAUCACCAUCUCUUCGCCGAACUAGUGCACCUAUACAAUUUACUAUUACAUUGGGUGUGUUGGGGACACAAGAGACUCUUUGUUAUUUGGUUGCAGGGUUGUUUGAGAGAGACCAUCUUCACCCUACGCCUCCCACGGAUUGAUAAACCUUAGGUCAUCCACUUGAGGGAAAUUUUCUACUGUCCUACAAACCUCUGCACUUGGAGGCCCAACAACGUCGACAAGAAGAAUCUUGCAUAGUAGACAUCAGAGACGCAUUAUGAAGUUUCGUUUGCUAAAGGCGUCGUUUGUCUUGGACCCAUUAUCGCAGGCUUCUUGCAAUUCAACCUUCAGCGGUUGCAUGUACACAUUCAUAUUCUUCCCCGGAUAGUUGGGCCCUGGAAUUAUCAAUGUCAGGAAAAUGUUCUUUCUUUGCAUAAUCUGUCCAGGGGGGAGAUUGAGUGGAAUGACAAAUACGGGCCAACAACUGUAUUGGGCUUCCGUCAGACCAAACACACUAAACACAUCCGUGCUGAUGGCGACUCGAGGAUGCCUCAGAUCUGCCGCUUUGUCAUCAUGUAAUGCAUCGAAGCGCUUCCACGCUUCACCGUCCGAUUUGUGCACCAUCAUCAGCUUCCCAUCCACAUCUAGUUGGGUACUUUUGCCCGUUUUGUGCCAUGUCAUCUGUCUGGCCGUCUCUUCAACCAUGAAAAUACGUUGAAGUCUUGGUACGACUGGCAUAUACCGAAGAACAUUAACGGGGAUUUUGGUCUGCGUCUUCUCACCCAUGUUGUUGUCUACCACAACAUACCUGGAUGACUUGCAAAUGGGAGAAUAGUUCAAGUACGCAUACUGAAGCCUAAAUAAGGCACAUCCUUUCUCACAGGCAUGUAUCUUCUCAUAGGGCAUCUUAAGAGCACGGAGGAUUUUGUCUGACUGGUACAGGUUUGCAGGUAGUACAUGGCCUUUGGGUAGAAAACAUCCAAAUACUAUCAUCAUCGCAUCGUAGCAUUCUCUGCCCAAGUUGAAUUGAGCCUUCAGAGCCAUUAUUUGUGAGAUGGGAUCCAGCUGACAAAGCUCAGAGUGCUCAUGGAGAGGACGUUUUGAAGACUCCAACAUUUCAUUGAAGGCCUUUGUAGAUUCCUCCAUCUCAUCGUCCGAGUCUCGAGCAUCAUCAAAGUCUUGCACCAUGUCUUCCAUCCCGGUACCAUGCUCGUCGGUGCGACGACAAAGCACCUCAGCUCUGGCACGUUGGGCAGACUCGCCAUCAAAUGUUCACACUAUAUAACCUGGCAUAAAACCCCUCUUCUAUAGGUGUUUGCCCAUUUCAUCCUCUGUCCUCUUGUGCCAAUUGUUGCACCCGGCACAGGGGCACCAGGUUGUCCUCUGGCCAUUUGCAAAUGCGGCUCUCAGAAACCCCUUGGCUUUUGUUAACCAUUCAAUGGUCAUGUCUUUCUGACUAGUGUGACCGGUGUACAUCCACUCACGAUCACUCAUCUUGCCUAGCUACUGGACACAUAAGAAAUAUAUAUAUAUAUAUAUAUCAGCAUGUAUAUAUUCAUCAGUUAAUGGAGUUUGUCACUUUUAUUACGUCCAUACAACCUAGACGCUAAUAGGUAAAGAUAGGUCCUAAUCCCACCCGAGUAUGUGUAGAUUGGGUUCGUUUUCCCAUGCUCUGCUCCGGACCCGAUGCAAAAUUUCGGCAGCACCUCCCCGCUGCUCUCCUCAUACACGUCUCGUCAAUAAGCAGAGAGGAUGUGUACCCAGAGAACAAUAGGGAGGCACUGACGAAAUUCUGCAUCGGAUCCGGAGCAGAGCAUAUGGGAAAACGAACCCAAUCUACACAUACUCGGGCUGUCCAUGGUUAAUGUUGGACAAUUCGAAAGAAUCACGGUUAUAAAUAUGCAAAUGCAUGCAUAUUUAUAGAAGUAACCCUUUCGAACGGGAGACGCAUAGUGGUCCCACAUACUGAUGAUUGAAGACACCUAUAGCUAGCAAGUUUCAUCGGCACGAAGACCAGAACAGAGCAAAUGAAGGGGGGAGGAGGAGAUGUCAUUUGUGCUCACCCAUGAACGCAGGGGCGGAGCUCGUCGAAAACUAGACCCUCGCAGCGACGAAAAAACAGCACAUUUAAAUCGAAAGAUGAGUAGCAUAGCAAUAUUUUUUUUCCGUCAUCCUAACUAAAUAUUUACAACAGGACGAGCGGGUUAGGGGGUUCCUCGGCGUCGAUGGAACCCUAAAUAGAAAGUAUCAUAGGUGCGAGAUACAUGUGGCGCUCGGUGUUGAACACUAGAUCCACAUCCCACAAGUGACGCCGGCGCCCGGCGUCCCGCGUGCAGCAAUAGUUCUGGGGGCCGAUGACGGUUGAACACCUUGGCGAAUUUGUCUGGCAGCCUCUACGAUGAGGAUUAAAGCCAAGUUUUGAAACUUCAAACAACCAAACCGACUUGAGUCUGUUUGGGUGUUUCAAGUUUCAACACUUGCCUUUUAAUCGUCAUCGCAAAGGCUGCAAGACAAAUUCGCAUAGGUGUUUGACCGCCAUCGACCCCGAGAACUGUUGCUGCGGGACGCCACACGCCGGCGUCACUUGUGGGACGUGGAUGUAGUGUUCGACACCGACGACCACAUGUAUCUCGCACCGACGAUACUUGCUAUUUAGGGUUCCAUCGAUGUCGAGGAACCCCCUAACCCGCUCAUCCCCGGGCGCCCUCUGGUAUGGCGACUGUCGAUUCAAUAUCCGGCGUAUCUCGUAGUAGGGGUCCUAAGCUAGGCGUCUUGGGGCGAUGGUAACAUGGACACGGGGUCUUUACCCAGCUUCGGGCUCUCUUGAUGAGAUAAUACCCUACAUGCUGCUUUUGAUUGUAUUCAUAUGGGGUGUAGUACAGAGUACAUGUAUCUACCACGAGAUUGUAGUAAUGAAUAUGAGAUUGUCUAUUGACUAGCCUGGCCUCGGUUUAUAUAUGCACCGUAGGUCUAGGGUUUAGAGGAGUCCUUGUCUUGGGCGCCAAGUCUUGUAGAAUCCUCCUUGUAUGCGGCAUGGGUUGUCCGAACUGGCCCAAUAGUGAACCGCCAUGGGGGUCCUCGGCCCGAUCCAGCUGGUCGGGAGACGACGUGGUGAGUACCCCCUAGUUUAGGACACCGUCAGUAGCCCCCUGAACCGGUCUUCAAGUUGGGGACACUCCUUGAUUCUUCCGAACUGCUCUUCAUCUCCGGUCGUCGGUCUUGAAAACUGGUUCAGCAAAUCUUCUCAUCUUCGAUCUUGAGGAUCGCUGAAGUGCAUCCGAAGAGUUUACACGUCAAGUAUCCGAGGAUCCCCUUUAAGUUUCCGGCCUUUAUCAAUGCCCUGUUAUUUUUAUGCCACACCACGGGUUUGAAGUUGUUCCCGGACGGCAGUGUCCUCUUGCAUCCGAGCUCCAACGCCGGACUGCAUUCGAGGUAUCUUUUGCAGCCGAGCACCAACGCCGGACCGCUUCCGAGCCCCAAUGCCGGAAUGUAUCCGAGCUCCAAUGCCGGACUGUAUCAGAAGAGUAUUGUUAUACUCGAGCUCCAACGCCGAACUACAUCCGAGCUCCAGCGCCGGACUAUAUCCGGGCUCCAACGCCGGGCUAUGUCCAAGCUCCAACACCGGACUAUGUCCGGGGUAUCAUAGAUCACCUUGGUUCAAAAAAGUUGAGGAGUUUAGCCGAGCUUAAUGCCGGAAAUGCCCUCUAUGGAGCCAACCACUAGCGCCUGAGCUUUAUGCCGGACUGCUUCUGAGGUGGUGCACCGCCCCGACUGCUGGCCAAUUUUUUGUUAAUAUUUUUUAUUGGUGCAAUUUAUUCUCUGUCGAGAUAUAUAGCCAGUAGCCCUCAAGGUGUGUAUCGGUCUAAAACCCGAGAUGCACCUGAAGGAUGACAUAAGACCGCUGAUCCCAGUAGCCCCUGAGACUCAGGUUGGUUCAAAAUCAGCCUGAGGAUCAACUCCUAGCUCGGCAGAAUACUUCGGGACACAAAAAGAGGUGUGCAAAGUCCUCGAGACUCAGAUUGGGUGCGGCCGACCAACCUGAGGAUCAUAAUCUCCUCGAAAACUAUAUUGCACUUAAAUUUUCUGCACUGGAUUGUCAAUGCAGUAGCCCCCGAGACACUGGUCGGGUGGCAACACCAGAUCAGGGGAUCAAUGUGCCCCUUUAAUAUUUGUCAAUAAUAAGCACGAAGCCCAGUAGCCCCCGAGCCUUAAUGUGGGCACGGGUGGCCGAAUUAAGGAUCGAUAUCGAGAGUAAAAUCACAAAGUAUGUGUAAUGAUUCUAUGUAUUCCAAGUACUCUACAUCAUUAAUGCUCGGAUCCGCAUUGUACAGAACUUUGCUGACCGACCAUCGUCUUCAACCUCCUCGGCCAGCAACCGAGGAGUAUUUGUCCUACUUUAUAAAGCCUUUAUGAGGUCAAAGAUUUACGACAAACAAGGCAAUCCAGCCAUACGGUUUUAUAAACAAAGGUACGCGGAGAGAUAUGUUAUAUUACCUUUUAACGUAAGAAACAUCUUCCAAAGAAAAUAGUCCCGUUAUCGGUUCCUUUCUUUGGGUUGUCAUGCUAAGCAUGAUCAUGAAACCUCAGCUCUGAUCAAUGUGGGAGCAAAAUAUUGAAGAUUUAGUUCGGGGAAAGUUCCCGAACUCUAUGGUAUUAAUGAACCAAAAAUUUCACUUCCGUCGUUGCCGACCAAUGUGAUCCUUUAAGGUUGCUAGCUUUCGGCUUCACCCAGUCUGAGGUACUUACUCGGAUGACCCGGUAGUAACAAUCACAGAGGUGCUCCCUUUACCACCUAGCCGAACAAUCGGGAACGUAGGGGUAAGCACAGGAGCCAGGCAACCCAGCUUGGCCAAAAUCUUAAGUCAAAUUGAUGCAUAUUUAUGGCUUUAUAUAACGAUGAAUACGGAAGGCAGCCCUCGUAUAUUAAAUACAAACGCCGAUGAUAUAUGUUUAUUUUAACUCCAUUAUGACCGUUUAUCAAUUGAAAGUGGCCCAUCGUCGGCUUCUACCCCUUUGUAGAUACUAUGCAGGGUGUUUCUGCAAUAACCAGACAACCCUUAGCCGACGUCUCGGUGCCCGGAGGCGGUUGUGUGAGCAGGAACGAGGCAAUCAGAUAUGCGGGCUUUAUAACUUUCACUUAGUCAUAGGAGCUUAAAGUUGGGAGGCCAGCUACUAGCCCCUGGUUAGUGUUCGGCGACAACCGAGGUCAAGCCGUAAACACUUCGGCCAAUGUUAUCAACAACCCGAUAGUACGGGGUGACCUCUAUCGAUCUUUAUAGUUUAAUACAGUUAUCGGAUCGCUGACCAGUUUACGCUUAUUGUGACAGUCAGUUUUCGGCUUUCUCCACUAAGGCGCUUAACCAUGCUAGUUGGAAGCACAAUUGCAGUGGUUCUCCUUUUGCACACCUAGCCAAACAAAGCGGAACAUAGGCGGCAAGAACAGGAGCCGGGCAACCCAACUAUUGACCGAAGACACAAUUCAAACCAAUGCAUAUAUAACAAUAUCCGAGCAUGUUUUUGCCGAAUCUCUAAAGGUGUCCGGCGUUGCACUGCGAGAUUAAUGCUUGAAACACAGAAAUAGUUUAAAAGUGUCGUAAGCUUGGAAAACCAAAAAAUGUCAGUAAAAACUUGACGUCCGAACAAGAUCAAGUGUUUGGUGCCAAUCUGAAAAUUGGUCUUAGAAAAAAAGUGCUUAUGUCGUGCUUUGAUAUGACACAUCCUAUCUUAAGGCUUCAACCUCCUAUCCCUAAGGCGGAGUACUUCUCGUUAGGCCAAUUUAGCGAACUAAACUCUAGCGGCUUUGAGAGAGAAAUUAGGCUCCCCGGCUAUUGACCACACACUCGCGUCGAAAAAGGAGUGAUAGAGAAAGACUUUGCAACGACUAGGAAGAAAUCAUGUAUUAUAAAAUGGCUCAUAUAAAUUUAAGAGCCCCCAAGUGACUUGGGUAAAAAAAUUAUGUAUAAUGAUUGUAUGUACCGAAGUACUUAUAUCAUAUAUGUGUUCACCCGAACUUUAAACGCGUCUUAACCGACUAUUGGCUUCUCCCUCUUCGGUCAAGGACCGAAAAGUGUUAUGUACUCCACCUGUCGAGAAUAUCAACGGUGUUUUCGAUAACCAGGCAAUUAAGCCAUAAGGCCGUAACAGACACAGCGCGCUCCGGGAACUUAUGCUAUAUUAUUGACGAAGUGUAAGAAGCAUCUUCGAAGAAAAUAGUACCUCCACCGAUACCUUUCUUCGGUUGCUCAUUGUCACUAUGAGACUUGUGCAAUAGAUUUUUUGUACUCAUGAGUUCCGUUGUGUGCCGACCAUGAUUGAAAACAAUAAGAGCGCUAGCUUUUGGCUUCACCCAGUCUGAGGUCCGAGCUCGGAUGAUCCGAUCGUGACAAUCGCAGAGGUGCUCCCUUUACUCCCUAGCCGAACAAUCGGGAACGUAGGGGUAAAUACUGGAGCAAGGCAACCCAGCUUGCGGAACACUUAAGUCAAUAUGGUGCAUAUUGUGGCGUAAUACACGAACAAGGAACGAAGCCGUACAAUUAUAAUCAUAUGCAAGAGGAAAGGCUUCAUAAAGGAAGCCCCUAAGUAAGCGGGGUAUUUGAAUUUGUGUGUCACAAACAAAGUUUUGACAAGGAAGUUUUCCACAUACAACUUUUUCCCAAAAAGGUAUAAUGCUUGGUCGAAUCGAACAAAAUUUGAAACUGAAAGUUUUUGAGCAUGAAAGCGACUUAGCUGCUUAAUGUGCUCGGUGUCGAUGCGCGGCCCGAGCUUACCGCGGGACAAGGUCCCAGCCCCAAGCCGGUCCCGAGGUGGCGGAGCGAAGAGCUCGGCACUCCGAAGUGGCGACAUAGCACGGCCAAUGCAGGCCCGCAGUGUGACGCCGAAGUCCCCGUCGUGGGUUAAUGAAGUGAUGACGAAGCCCUCGGUGCAGCCGAGGUGAUGUGGUACGUUGGUACGCAGAGGUGACAGCGCUGCCCGAUCCGGAUCCUUUAUCUGUGCACAGAAAAUAGUGCAAGCCGGAGAUAAUAGUAAUAAUAAUAAAUUAAAAAAAUGUUACAUAAUUAAUAAUUUAUGCAAAGUGAGUAAUAAAAGACAUAUGGCCUGUGUGCCGAACACUCGAUGAGGUAGAGCUCUCUCAAUGAUGCCGAAGUCCCUGAGGCAACCGAACACGUCGGUAUGGCAACACGACCAACAAGGUGAUCACGCGAGCCGAUUUACGCCGAUUGGGACGACGGCGUCGGCUUGCCGAAGAGACCACGUGACGUAGUCGAAGUCCAUUACCGAACCACCAUGCGACCGUCGUUAAUGCGGCCACCAUUUGAUAGACCUGCGUACAGAUGAUGGAACAAACCAGAGUAACAAUUCCUUGGGAGAAAUAAACCCAAACAAGCAAAAAUUACUAGGAUAAAUAGCACCUGGUUUAUUUGUUGUAGCAAUCCGAAGAAAGGUGACUCCCAAAAUUGGGACUCGAUCCGCACACCCAUUGCCUGAUGGGUGAUAAAGUGAUGGCAUGGCGAUGCUGGCAAAGGUUGGCUUACCGAGACAAAGCCCUCGGUCCAGCUAACGUGACGAAGCUGGUCGGCUGGUGACACCGAAGUCACCGGAGUAUGUUGAUGAAGAAAUAGCCAAGUCCCCGGUCCAACCGAGGUGACGGAGCAAGUCGGUGAGGAGACGUUGCAGCUGCCAUGUCAGCAGAGGUGUUGAAGCAGGUCGGCAUGAUGGACAUCGGCUUGAAGAAGCAAUAGUGCGGCCAUGCUGACACAGGUCGUGACUUGUGACGCGGUCAAUGCCGGCUUGAUGAAGUGACCAUGCGGUGAUGCCGGUGUGCCCGCUCCGUGUAAUCCGUGGGCAGCGAUGUUGGUGAUGAUUUAUCUUUCGCGAUGCCGAACUCUUGUUCGGCUUGCCGAGAUGAUGAUCGAAGAAGUUGAGCUCGGCUCAACAAAGCGGCGACGUGUCUAGCGCAGGUCGGCAGCCGUGCAGCAAUAUUGCCGGACUGGUUUGACACCAGUGUGAUGGUGAAGAUUACCUUGGAGGAGGCUUAAAAUUUUACGGGUACGUGUUUAAAAAACAACGCACAAUACCCUAGAAAAAAUCCUUCAAAAGGGUUGUCCAAUAUUCCGUUCAUGAAGAAACAUGAAAUCGGGCCGGAUUCGUAUUCGCGCAGAAAACAGAUCCGAAAAUUGGUCCACUCAUCGGAAGGUUCCCGGAGUUUGAACCGUCGGAUGGAGCUGAAAUUUGGAGGGGUGGUAGAUAUGGGAAUUCCGCAGCAGAUGAACGGUUGGAUCUUCCAAAGGACCUCCGAGCUGGGCUCUGGAGACCACACCCUAAACUCGUCCAGAUUCCCGUCCAGAUUUGACAGGGCUCCGGUAUAUCGUAGAUUGCUAGAGAUUCCUCCAUCGGAACUCGACGAAAUUUGGCAUGGUUUUUGUACACUUAAUUCAGCACAAUUCCACCGAAGGAAUCGUCAAAGCGAUGCUCGAGGAGGUGGUGGCAGCGGAUACAAGUUUGAUGUUUGGAAAAAAACAGCACGGUCGCCCGAGGGCAAUGUUGACGUUGAGCCCCCGAGCUCCAUGGAUGGUUCUUCCAUGAUCAUGAUAGAGAUCGGAGUUGAUGUUGACGGAGGCCCUCGUCCGAACAUGAUGAUUGCAGGUAGGGCACAGUCCUUGGUUAAGCCAAGGUAACCAGUCGAGCCAGCGACAAAAGAUGCCGACAUCAACCAUAAAGCUCGGCUCCGAUGCGUAGAUCGCGCUAAAGACGAUCCGAAUUCCCAUCGCCCCGUGGCGACCGCCAGCAGGCUCUCAAUGAAAGCACCAAUGUCGGUUCAAUAUCCGGCGUAUCUCGUAGUAGGGGUCCUAAGCUAGGUGUCUUGGGGCGAUGGUAACAUGGACACGGGGUUUUUACCCAGCUUCGGGCUCUCUUGAUGAGAUAGUACCCUACAUGCUGCUUUUGAUUGUAUUCAUAUGGGGUGUAGUACAGAGUACAUGUAUAUACCACGAGAUUGUAGUAAUGAAUAUGAGAUUGUCUAUUGACUAGCCUGGCCUCGGUUUAUAUAUGCACCGUAGGUCUAGGGUUUAUAGGAGUCCUUGUCUUGGGUGCCAAGUCUUGUAGAAUUCUCCUUGUAUGCGGCAUGGGUUGUCCGAACUGGCCCAAUAGUGAACCGCCAUGGGGGUCCUCGGCCCGAUCCAGCUGGUCGGGAAACGACGUGGUGAGUACCCCCUAGUCCGUGACACCGUCAGCAACACACGGUCAACGGGUCAGCACUCAGACCGGGGGAUUCUCGGCAUGGGUGUCGGUGUCAAAACCGGCGGAUCUCGGGUAGGGGGUCCCGAACUGUGCGUCUAGGAUCCAUGGUAACAGGAGACGGGGGACACGAUGUUUACCCAGGUUCGGGCCCUCUCUAUGGAGGUAAUACCCUACUUCCUGCUUGAUUGAUAUUGUUGAAUAUGAGUGUUACAAGAGUUGAUCUACCACGAUAUCGUAAUGGCUAAACCCUAAAAGUCUAGCCUGUAUGACUAUGGUAAUGUGUAUCUGUCCUUUUCGGACUAUGCCCUCCGGUUUAUAUAGACACCGGGGCAAUCUAGGGUUUACAUGGAGUCGGUUACAUAAGAAGGAAUCUUCGGUCGCCAAGCUUGCCUUCCACGCCAAGUAGAGACCAAUCCGGACACGGGUACAGUCUCCGGCCUUCAUGUCUUCAUAGCCCAUCAGUCCGGCCCAUGGAUAACAGGUCGGACGCCCGAGGACCCCUUAGUCCAGGACUCCCUCAGUAGCCCCCGAACCAGUCUUCAAUAGCGAGGUGUUCGGCACACAUAUUGUCUUCAGCAUUGCAAGGCAGGUUCCUCCUUCAAUGAUCUCCAAGUGAUGUAUUCGGCCAUUGAUCCAAUGUCGCCUCCUUGGCUUCUGCGCGUUGAAUAAUCUUCGUCUUCCACGUGUCGAGCGAAUGUGGAAGGUCAGGGUAUUUUUGCAAAUAACACCCAUCCAUGCAAGGAAGAGCGCCUAUUUUAAAGAGAUUGGAUCCCAGAUCCAUUCAGCGCCAUGCAGAAGAAAUCCCCGGAGACUUCUUAGGAGAAACCAUUCUAGCAUGGCUAGCGUUCCCAUCUCCUCCGCUCGUUCCAGCCCAGAGAAAGGCGAAUUUGAGAGGUGUUCUAUGUCUCAUAGCCAAUUGACGAAGUUGCAAACGCAGUGAUUUCUUCCCCCUGCAGAUCUAGUCCCUGUUCGAGCGGGGCUAGCUUCCUUCAAUGGUGGGACUUAGGCAGAGGACGUCCCCAAUCCGUCCAGGGGAGAGCGGGUGUGUUUUGUCCCCUACCUGCUAAGAGGCGUUGGAUUUCCAAUCCAUCCGUUCCUCCGAGGGCUUCUGGAGUACUACGGCCUCUAGCUGCACAACUUCACUCCGGCCUCCAUUCUCCACAUUGCGAGCUACGUCGCUUUAUGCAAACUGUUCCUGGGCGUCGAGGCUCAUUUCGAGUUGUGGAGGAAGUUGUUCUGUCUCGUCCCGCGCAAUCACGAAGGGUCAAUAUUUGAAGUGGGUGGAGCCGAAGUAUGGCGCGUCGCCGAUACCGGAUACCCAUCCGGCACACCAAGGAAGGCACCUGAUGAAUGGCCCUCCGAAUGGUUCUAUAUUGAGGACGUCACGCUUCCCGACCCGGAUCGAAAGGGUCUUCCUGAAUUUUCGAGCGUCCCGCUGAAGAAACGCCACAGUUGGCGUCCCCGGAGCCUUGAAGAGGAAGACGAUGCGGAGGUUCGUUAGCUGAUGAGCAAGAUAAAAGAGCUCGCUCAGUCCAGACUCACAGUAAUCGAGGUUAUGGCGAUCUCCAUAGCGCGAGGGGUUCAGCCGCUCCAAUACAGAGGGCUUCCAAUGUGGCACUACAAUGGGGAGGAUGACGCCUCUCGCUACGGACGGAAAGGUCCGGAUACCCCUACCGCUUUGGCUAAGAUAUUAGCCAAACUGUUCAAAUGGGAGGAAAAGGAAUUUCUUCGCAUCAAACUCAGAGACGGGUACUCUAUGUAUAACCCUCCCAGCUGGGUAAGCCCCAACCCCUCUGUUUUUACUCCUUUCAUCCCCGGAUUGUCUUUGAUAAAUUUCAAGUUCGUUUGCUUAUGACAGCACUGGCGAAAGGUCACCGAGGGACUUUAUAGUCCCGCCCCACAGCCGGAGGACCACAACCGGGAGCUUGAUCCCGGGUUUGAAGAGGAUCCGGAUAUAUUCGUGGUCCUCGCGGAGGGGGUGUUUUACCAGACGAGCUAUGAUGGCACAGAAGUGGCCAUCACCGCCGACUACCCUGGCCUUCUUCCUGCUUCACAGGUAAGUAAUCAAGAAACACCUUUUCUGAAAGGGUGCUCUUACUCUGCCUCACCCCCCGCAUUGUCGCGCGUUCAACAGGGGAGGCGUUCGACGAUCCCGAGGAGAUCGGUUCCUGCGCCGGGCAGGCCUUCAAAGAGGAGGGCCGGUGAAGGCACCGCCGGGCCUUCAUCGAGGAGGUACGGAUAAUUAUGUUUUUCAGCGGCCGUAUCCAACUGUGACCUGUGCGUCUGUUUGAUUACAGGAAAAAGGUUCGCCGAACUGUGUCUGGGGGUCUGGUCGGUCAUGCUCCCGACAACCGGGAUUUAGGUCCAGUUGAGGAGACGAGGGCCGAUGUAGGAACAAGGCCAGACUACCCUUCAGCCGAGGGUUCGGACAAUAUGUGUGUCACCAACUCGGAGGUAGAGAGCGCCAUGAAUCAUCGGUGCUGCAGGGCUGUUUUACGAGACCCGAAGUUCUCGGACGAGGCAUUCAAUGCCUUUAGCUCGGGCGACGCAUACAUCCGAGCUGCUCGAGACGGGCUUAGAAAAGCCACUAGGCAAUAUCUAACAGAUGUGCGGGUAAGCUUUCUUUGUCGAAAAAGGAUAGCCGUAUGCAUGUAGCUGUGACGCCCCCGAUUUGACCGUACACUAAUCAUGCACGCAAAUGUGUACGAUCAAGGUCAGGGACUCACGGGAAGAUAUCACAACACAACUCUAAAACAUAAAUAAGUCAUACAAGCAUCAUAAUACAAGCCAGGGGCCUCGAGGGCUCGAAUACAAGUGCUCGAUCACAGACGAGUCAGCGGAAGCAACAAUAUCUGAGGACAGACAUAAGUUAAACAAGUUUGCCUUAAGAAGGCUAGCACAAAAGUAACAACGAUCGAAAAGGCAAGGCCUCCUGCCUGGGACCUCCUAACUACUCCUCGAAGCCGAACUCCAUGUAGAAUCAUCCUCGGGAUCUCUAGCUCCUGGACUCCAGCAUAUGGUUGUGACAAUCAGGUAUAGAAAGGGGAAAGAGGGAGAAAAGCAACCGUGAGUACUCAUCCAAAGUACUCGCAAGCAAGGAGCUACACUACAUAUGCAUGGGUAUAUGUGUAAAGGGCCAUAUCAGUGGACUGAACUGCAGAAUGCCAGAAUAAAAAGGGGGAUAGCUAGUCCUGUCGAAGACUACGCUUCUGGUCAUCUCCAUCUUGCAGCAUGUAGAAGAGAGUAGAUUGAAGUCCUCCAAGUAGCAUCGCAUAGCAUAAUCCUACCCGGCGAUCCCCUCCUCGUCGCCCUGUUAGAGAGCGAUCACCGGGUUGUAUCUGGCACUUGUAAGGGUGUAUUUUAUUCAGUAUCCGGUUCUAGUUGUCAUAAGGUCAAGGUACAACUCCGGGUCGUCCUUUUACCGAGGGAAACGGCUAUUCGAAUAGAUAAACUUCCCUGCAGGGGUGCACCACAUAACCCAACACGCUCGAUCCCAUUUGGCCGGACACACUUUUUUGGGUCAUGCCCGGCCUCGUAAGAUCAACACGUCGCAGCCCCACCUAGGCUCAACAGAGAGGUCAGCACGCUGGUCUAAACCUAUGCGCGCAGGGGUCUGGGCCCAUCGCCCUAUGCACACCUGCACGUUGCGUACGCGGCCGGAAGCAGACCUAGCCCCCUUAAUACAAGCGUGAGCUUACGGUCCAAUGCGGCGCGCGCCACUCAGUCGCUGACGUCAAAAGAGCUUCGGCUGAUACCACGACGUCGGGAUACCCAUAACUACUCCCGCGUAGAUGGUUAGUGCGUAUAGACCAACUGGCCAGACUCAGAUAAAAUACCAAGAUCUCGUUAAGCGUGUUAAGUAUCUGCGAACGCCGACCAGGGCCAGGCCCACCUCUCUCCUAGGUGGUCUCAACCUGCCCUGUCGCUCCGCCACAAAGUAACAGUCGGGGGCCGUCAGGAACCCAGGCCCACCUCUACCGGGGUGGAGCCACCUGUCCUUUUAGCCCCCUCAUCAGAAUCACUUGCGGGUACUCCUCGAGCCGACCCGACUUUAGUCACCACAUGUGUCAUGUAUAUAAUGUAUAUAGUAUAUACCCGUGAUCACCUCCCGAAGUGAUCACGACCCAGUAGUAUAGCAUGGCAAACGGACAAGAGUGUAGGGCCACUGAUGGAACACUAGCAUCCUAUACUAAGCAGUAGGAUAGCAGGUAAGGGUAACAACUGUAGCAACAAUGUCAGGCUAUGCAUCAGGAUAGGAUUAAUGGAAAACAGUAACAUGCUACCCUACUCUAAUGCAAGCAGUAUAGAGAAGAAUAGGCGAUGUCUGGUGAUCAAGGGGGGGCUUGCCUGGUUGCCCUGGCUAGAAGGAGGGGUCGUCUUCGAUGUAGUCGAACACACGAACAUCGGCAGCGGUCUCGGAGUCUACCGGAAAGAAGUAACGGAGGGGGAACACAAUAAAUAACAGAGCAAUCAAAUGUAACACAAAGUAAGACACGGCGAUACGUUGUGCUAGGGGUGACCUAACAUUGGGAUAGGUGAUACCGGCGAAAGGGGAAACAUCUGGGAAAGUAUCCCCGGUGUUUCGCGUUUUCGGACAGAUGAACCGGAGGUGAAAUGUUACAGGUUUGCUAUGCUACGGAUGUGUGGCGGGCGAACGAGCUGUGUAUUCGGAUUCGUCUCGUCGUUCUGAGCAACUUUCAUGUACGAAGUAUUUUCAUCCGACUUAUAGAUUAUUUUAUAUUAAUUUUUAAAGAUUUAAUUCAUUUCCAGUAAUUAACAGAAUUAAAUUAAUUAUAAAGUGUAAUUAUGAUGUCAGCGUGAUGUCAGCAUGAUGUCAUCAGACAACCGUCUGUUGACUGGGUCAACAAACGUGUGGGUCCCGCUCGUCAUUGACUGUAUAGUCUAAUUAGGAUUUAACUAAUCUAAUUACUAUUUAAUUAAACUAACUAGUUAAUUAGAUUAAUUAAACAUGAUUAAUUAACUUAAUUAAUUUAAUUAAUUAAUUUAAUUAAUUAAUUAAUUAUUAUUUUUAUUUUUAUUUUUAUUUUCAUCCUUUUUUUCUUUUAACGUUCUGGGGGGGCGGGGCCUACUUGUCAUAGGCGCAUGGCCUUAACGGGCGCUGGGUGCACGGGUGCCGGACAGCGGGCGCACGGGCGCCAGCCCGAACAGAGGCGCACCCGACCGGGCGCUGCGGGGCGGCAGGGGAGCUCCGGCGAGGGGGGUAUGGCGCGCGGGGCGGGCGAGGGCACCGACGGGGCGAACGGAUCCNNNNNNNNNNNNNNNNNNNNNNNNNNNNNNNNNNNNNNNNNNNNNNNNNNNNNNNNNNNNNNNNNNNNNNNNNNNNNNNNNNNNNNNNNNNNNNNNNNNNNNNNNNNNNNNNNNNNNNNNNNNNNNNNNNNNNNNNNNNNNNNNNNNNNNNNNNNNNNNNNNNNNNNNNNNNNNNNNNNNNNNNNNNNNNNNNNNNNNNNNNNNNNNNNNNNNNNNNNNNNNNNNNNNNNNNNNNNNNNNNNNNNNNNNNNNNNNNNNNNNNNNNNNNNNNNNNNNNNNNNNNNNNNNNNNNNNNNNNNNNNNNNNNNNNNNNNNNNNNNNNNNNNNNNNNNNNNNNNNNNNNNNNNNNNNNNNNNNNNNNNNNNNNNNNNNNNNNNNNNNNNNNNNNNNNNNNNNNNNNNNNNNNNNNNNNNNNNNNNNNNNNNNNNNNNNNNNNNNNNNNNNNNNNNNNNNNNNNNNNNNNNNNNNNNNNNNNNNNNNNNNNNNNNNNNNNNNNNNNNNNNNNNNNNNNNNNNNNNNNNNNNNNNNNNNNNNNNNNNNNNNNNNNNNNNNNNNNNNNNNNNNNNNNNNNNNNNNNNNNNNNNNNNNNNNNNNNNNNNNNNNNNNNNNNNNNNNNNNNNNNNNNNNNNNNNNNNNNNNNNNNNNNNNNNNNNNNNNNNNNNNNNNNNNNNNNNNNNNNNNNNNNNNNNNNNNNNNNNNNNNNNNNNNNNNNNNNNNNNNNNNNNNNNNNNNNNNNNNNNNNNNNNNNNNNNNNNNNNNNNNNNNNNNNNNNNNNNNNNNNNNNNNNNNNNNNNNNNNNNNNNNNNNNNNNNNNNNNNNNNNNNNNNNNNNNNNNNNNNNNNNNNNNNNNNNNNNNNNNNNNNNNNNNNNNNNNNNNNNNNNNNNNNNNNNNNNNNNNNNNNNNNNNNNNNNNNNNNNNNNNNNNNNNNNNNNNNNNNNNNNNNNNNNNNNNNNNNNNNNNNNNNNNNNNNNNNNNNNNNNNNNNNNNNNNNNNNNNNNNNNNNGACGAUGGCGUCGAGCGGCACCGGGCGGCGAGGCACGGUCGUCGGGGCGCAGCGGGGUCGAUCCCGAUCUAGCUCGGGUCGCGGUGGGGCGGGCGCCAUGCGGGGGGAGUCGGGGAGGCAGGCGCCGGCGAGGGGGUGGCCGGAGGCGCCGGGCGGCGGCAGCUUGGCUAAGGGGUCGGGGCCCUCUGCCCCGAUCCAGGCGGGGAAAGGGGAGAGGGGCGUGCGGGGAGCGAGUGGGGGAGUGGGGAUCGGGAGGAAGUGGGUUGACCGGCUAGGGUUUUGGGGUAGUGGGUGUAUAGGCGCAGCUGGUGGGCUGGCCUGGUGGUCUGGUGGCCUGCUGGGCCGUGGCCCAGUGGGCCAGGGGGGUUUUCUUGACUUUGUUUUAUUUCCUUUAUUUUUAUUUAUUCUUUCGUAUUUUAUUUUAGUUACAUUUUAUUUUAGUUUUAUAAAAUGCCAAAUGAGCACCUAAAUUAGUAUUACUAAUUAGUCCACUGCCACAAUUAUUUUGGCACAUUAUUAAAUUAGUUAUAUUAUUAUAACUUUAUAAAAGGCAUUAAGUUAAUUGUUUUUGCUACUGUUUUAAUUACUUUAGAGCCCUAAAACAUUUUAUCAAAGUUUGGUCUCUCCACCAAUAUAUCCUAUGAAUUAUUUGCCACAAUAAGAACAUUUUAGUUUUUAUGUUUGAAAACAUUUACUGUUUGCCAAUAUUUUAAAUUUGAAUUUGAAUCAUUUUGAACUAACGCGAGUUUAUCAACAGUAACGUGGUGAUGUGGCAUCUUUAACAGAGGUUUACUGUAGCCUAAUUGUCCGGGCGUUACAAUUCUCCUCCACUACAAGAAAUCUCGUCCCGAGAUUUAAGGGGUAGAGCAAGGGGGAAGGUUUGGUAACGAAUCUAGCGGGUCUUUUCAAUCUGGCUUGCUCUUUUUGAAGAGGUCGAUCCAUUAUGUUGAUGUCUUCAAUUCUCUGCUUCAGGUCAUCGUGAUGAAGUAGGCAUUCUUCCUUCAGGAAUUCCAUCGUACUUACGAAAGAAUAAAGGGUGGGUAUACCGGGAUAACGGACCUCUGCAAGGUUGACUAUCUGGUCAAUAACAUCGGGGAAGGUGGUGGAAAGUAACUCUCGAAUUGAAAGUUAAGAAAAUAUCGAGAGCAAAGUAUGAAGGUGCAAAAUAGAAGUUUUCAAGCGCAUAGGAAAUCGUUCGUUGCCUGAAACGAAGUGUUGAAGGGGUUUAGAGCAAUGUGAAUAAGCAUUGCAUCUGAUAUCAGAAUAGAUCACCAGGCAGGUGGGCGUGAAUUACAUACAAAGUCAAGCGCGAUGAAUAACUUUGACAACAGGGUGUACAGGAGAGUCAGGUUUCGAUCCUGUGGAACUGUGGGUUAUGGGCCCACCAUGUGGGUUAAGGUAGGAAGGAAGGUGACAUCUUGCACGAUCAUGUAAGCAACGCAUGCCAGAGAAUAACCGGUCAGUUAUGUUGGCAGCAUCGUUGGUACCAAGGGCGAGGGACGAAGAGAACCAUUUUCCUGCUCGUUGAAACGAGGCGGACCAUUGGGCAAAGUUCUCGUCCAUCGGUGGCUACCGGGAUGUCAUCAACAAUAGUAGCAGGGUCUUGCUGACAGAAUUGUACACCGAGGUGUUUACAUAAGCAAGAGAAUAUUACUGCUUAGAUCAUAUAGAACUCAAGAAGGGUUAAACAAAACAAUGGAAAGGAAAAUAUCAUCAUCAGAUUAAACAGAACAAUGGAAAGGAAAAUGUAUUUAAACACAUAUUUCAAGGGUAUAUCCUUCCCAAGGACAAGCAGAGCAUGAUAUCCAGGACAGGAUAUAAUGUAGAAAACUCUUUAGGUAAGGUGAGAGAAAUUUCAUGACAUUACCCAUACAAUGGUGUUUGGAUAAUUGAGCGAGAAACAUUUAGCAUUGGGCUUCAAAUGUUCUUGUUGAAAAUUGGAUUACCACAGACAUGCUUCGGGAUAGCAUUGUCAUGGUCUUCAAGCAAAAAUCAGACUUUGGAUACACAAAGGAUCCAUCAGGAUAAACUUAUUAAACAAGGCAUUCAAUUUCCUCAUGGAAAAAUGAUUAACCCUGUUAAGAAGGAAACUAUAACACUAGGUCCUCUGGUCAGGCGUGCUAGGCAUGACAUCACCUUACCGGGGCAUAUAGGGACCAAUGUUAUAACUCUUGAAAAUAUGUUCCAACCAUCAUAUCUGACCGAGAUUCAGAUCUGAUUGGUGUCAAAAUACCUUAGACUCAGGAUGCCUGAGAAGAAAGGUGCAACACAAAUUGUCGAGGUGACAUUGUAUGAUUCUCGGGAAUUAAACCAUGGAAGCGAGUUCCGAAAUAAGAGUUCAUCAUUAAAUCAAGGAGAGGUGAGGAGGUGACUGAUUGACUCAGCGACAAUCCAUUGACAUUUCCAAAAAGGAUGGAUUUCCACAACUAUGUGAACAAGGAGAUAACAUUAGCCAGAUCAAAUGACUUAAUGAUGUAUGCUGGAGGAAAACAUAGACAAUUAAACAUGGUUUGAAAGGUGCAUUCGAAAUAAGGGUUGGGUUGCACGCCCAACGUCGGAAUGGCGAUUGAGCAACCAACACACUAAAUUGGAAUAAUUGUCCAUUAACUCUGAAGCAAUAGGGUUGCUAGAGAUAUUAAAUUUGCAAAACAGAGUUCACUCAACACGGGGACCAAGAAAAGAAUGGUGAUGGUGAGAAGCAUCACUGUAUCACAAAUUCUUAAGAGGUGGUGUAAUUCUCACAACAUUGAUGACAUAAGAGAUGGUAAUGUUCCGAGUAAAGAAGAACAAUUGCUGGAUGGCAGGGAACUCAAGGUAUAACACCAAACACGAACAAGCUGUGUUGGUGGGAAGGCAAUGAAGUGGUCGAUGAUAAUAAAAUUCAUCGAGGGCAAGGAUGGUAUAUCUCAUCAUGAAUUCAAUUGAUAUCCAGGAAGGAGUCAACAUGUUGAUGAUGAUCACGACAAAUUUUGUCGAGAGGCUCCACGAAGAUGUAAUAGAUCGGCGAUGACAUCAAGUCAAGGGAAUGAUGAUGCGAAAGGUUAAUGGAACCAAGGGUACGACACAAACUCCAAAGCAAGCUUGCUGUCCAAAGCGAAAUGAUACGAUGAGGAAAGAUCGACGUAAGCUUAGCUCAUCGUCAAAAAUUGUGCUCUGGGAAGGACCAGGUAGCACAGUUAAAAUCGGCACGACAAGGAUAUAGCCAAACAUGCUAGGAAUGACGUGAUUGAGUUCAAACUCGUAAGUAAUGAAGGUUACCAAGAGUUGCUUAAUCGUGAUGCGGACUCGAGUCAGUUAUCGGUGUAUUUGAGUGUUUAAUAACUCAGAGCCCGUGAAAAAUUGGAAUCAAUGAGAAUGUAGCACUUGAUGAAGAACUCAUAAGAAGUUAUGCAGUCCCGUGAUAAUCUUGAGAUACCAGGGGGGUAAUAGUCGACGACAAAUCAAAGUAGAGGUUGGACUGGGGUAUUACUCUGCAGAAGACAAGUGCUUAAACUUGCACGAGAAAUGGUAUUUAAAGGAGAACAUGGUCAGAAACCACGAUCAUAAAUGAUCAAACCACGGAUACAAGAUGAACUUAUAACAAGGGGGGUAAUUAUUUUUACAAGCAGCUUCCAUGAUAAGUUAUACAUCGUGUCCAUGGGCAUGAACGCAAGGUUCAAGGUCGACUCCCACUUCUUCAAUGUAUAACCUUCCAUUCACUCCUCGCUUUGAUAAAGGCAUUAGUGUUGAAAGUUUUACCUGGUGAAAUACCAGAUGAGUAUGAAUCGUGAAAACUUCUGAGUUCACACAUAUUCAGGAAGGCAUAGGUUCAACCCGUCAGGGUAUCGUGGAAACAUAUACCACCAGCUUCAAUAGUAAAUACCACCAGCUCGAAAACAGAGCAUGGUUGAGAAAACAGAGGAUACAAUUUACCCAAGGCUUUAUAUAUCCGUGGAAAGACUCACAAGGUUAUUUGAAUAUGAAGGACACUGUCGGAUAAUAAUCCAACAAGAGGUCCGGUGGUCUACAACGGAGCUGAUGUGAGUAUCGGUACUCUAUCAAAGGAAGAAGGAAUGCAAGUGCAUCGGAUUAUAGAAACAACUGACUAACUCAAAGCUUAAAUGCAAGGAAUUAUGAAUUCCAAGACAAGGGAUCAGAAGCAAUGCUCUGAUUAGGGAUGGAUAAGCUGAAUAGACUUAGGGAUACAACCGAUCAAGGCAUUGAUUGGUCAAGAACCAGCUCAUAUCCAAAUAACGUCCGAGCCGGAAGAAUGAAUUCUAGGAUCUGAUUGAGGAUUGCGAGCAUUCGCAACAAAUUGAAUCAACAGACUCAAAAUGACAAGGAUAUUAACGAAUAUUGCCAGACAUAUGGAAAGCAUCCAUCAUGCAAGCAGACAAGUAUUGCAGAGCAAUAAGCUACUAAGGAUUUUUGGAGGAUCGAAUAGUAUUUCGAAGACCAUUGUGAAACACAUGAACAACUGGGGGAUGAGCGGAUAAUCGAUAAGUGCGAGAAUUAUCCGUAGGGGUAUUCAGGUGUCAAAGAACAGCAAGGCAGUAAGCUCAAAGGAUUAUCGAAACAACGACGAGUAUUUCGGGGUAUCUUGCAAUAACAAGACCAAUUGGGGAUGAAUGUAAGAACAACAACUGCAAGUAGUUAUCCAUAAGGGUUGACGGUGGAAGGGGAAUUGCAAACGCGAUGAACACAAGUUCUCGGGUUAACAGCGGAGAGUAUCAGCAGGGUCUUCACGUGCAGCAGACGAGCAUCAGCAAUAAGGGGCUCUCCGGGUGAAAGUGAUAACGAGAUCCUAAUGUUAGAUUUAGCAAAAUUCAUUUAACCCGAAUAGAAGAGAUGUCAGAGUCCCAGAGUAUAGGUUGAGGAAUAAAAGAUCCUACCACCACCCAAUGGCGACGUGGGCCCGUAAGCCACACAGCCAUGUUAGUAAAACAGUUUUCACUGACUAGACUCAACUUCGGCCAAGGAGUUGGAAAGGGGGAUUCCUACAGGCAGUUGGCUCUGAUACCAACUUGUGACGCCCCCGAUUUGACCGUACACUAAUCAUGCACGCAAAUGUGUACGAUCAAGGUCAGGGACUCACGGGAAGAUAUCACAACACAACUCUAAAACAUAAAUAAGUCAUACAAGCAUCAUAAUACAAGCCAGGGGCCUCGAGGGCUCGAAUACAAGUGCUCGAUCACAGACGAGUCAGCGGAAGCAACAAUAUCUGAGGACAGACAUAAGUUAAACAAGUUUGCCUUAAGAAGGCUAGCACAAAAGUAACAACGAUCGAAAAGGCAAGGCCUCCUGCCUGGGACCUCCUAACUACUCCUCGAAGCCGAACUCCAUGUAGAAUCAUCCUCGGGAUCUCUAGCUCCUGGACUCCAGCAUAUGGUUGUGACAAUCAGGUAUAGAAAGGGGAAAGAGGGAGAAAAGCAACCGUGAGUACUCAUCCAAAGUACUCGCAAGCAAGGAGCUACACUACAUAUGCAUGGGUAUAUGUGUAAAGGGCCAUAUCAGUGGACUGAACUGCAGAAUGCCAGAAUAAAAAGGGGGAUAGCUAGUCCUGUCGAAGACUACGCUUCUGGUCAUCUCCAUCUUGCAGCAUGUAGAAGAGAGUAGGUUGAAGUCCUCCAAGUAGCAUCGCAUAGCAUAAUCCUACCCGGCGAUCCCCUCCUCGUCGCCCUGUUAGAGAGCGAUCACCGGGUUGUAUCUGGCACUUGGAAGGGUGUAUUUUAUUCAGUAUCCGGUUCUAGUUGUCAUAAGGUCAAGGUACAACUCCGGGUCGUCCUUUUACCGAGGGACACGGCUAUUCGAAUAGAUAAACUUCCCUGCAGGGGUGCACCACAUAACCCAACACGCUCGAUCCCAUUUGGCCGGACACACUUUUCUGGGUCAUGCCCGGCCUCGUAAGAUCAACACGUCGCAGCCCCACCUAGGCUCAACAGAGAGGUUAGCACGCCGGUCUAAACCUAUGCGCGCAGGGGUCUGGGCCCAUCGCCCUAUGCACACCUGCACGUUGCGUACGCGGCCGGAAGCAGACCUAGCCCCCUUAAUACAAGCGCGAGCUUACGGUCCAAUGCGGCGCGCGCCACUCAGUCGCUGACGUCAAAAGAGCUUCGGCUGAUACCACGACGUUGGGAUACCCAUAACUACUCCCGCGUAGAUGGUUAGUGCGUAUAGACCAAAUGGCCAGACUCAGAUAAAAUACCAAGAUCUCGUUAAGUGUGUGAAGUAUCUGUGAACGCCGACCAGGGCCAGGCCCACCUCUCUCCUAGGUGGUCUCAACCUGCCCUGUCGCUCCGCCACAAAGUAACAGUUGGGGGCCGUCAGGAACCCAGGCCCACCUCUACCGGGGUGGAGCCACCUGUCCUUUCAGCCCCCUCAUCAGAAUCACUUGCGGGUACUCCUCGAGCCGACCCGACUUUAGUCACCACAUGUGUCAUGUAUAUAAUGUAUAUAGUAUAUACCCGUGAUCACCUCCCGAAGCGAUCACGGCCCAGUAGUAUAGCAUGGCAGACGGACAAGAGUGUAGGGCCACUGAUGGAACACUAGCAUCCUAUACUAAGCAGUAGGAUAGCAGGUAAGGGUAACAACUGUAGCAACAAUGUCAGGCUAUGCAUCAGGAUAGGAUUAACGGAAAACAGUAACAUGCUACCAUACUCUAAUGCAAGCAGUAUAGAGAAGAAUAGGCGAUAUCUGGUGAUCAAGGGGGGGGCUUGCCUGGUUGCCCUGGCAAGAAGGAGGGGCCGUCUUCGAUGUAGUCGAACACACGAACAUCGGCAGCGGUCUCGGAGUCUACCGGAAAGAAGUAACGGAGGGGGAACACAAUAAAUAACAGAGCAAUCAAAUGUAACCCAAAGUAAGACACGGCGAUACGUUGUGCUAGGGGUGACCUAACAUAGGGAUAGGUGAUACCGGCGAAAGGGGAAACAUCCGGGAAAGUAUCCCCGGCGUUUCGCGUUUUCGGACAGAUGAACCGGAGGUGAAAUGUUACAGGUUUGCUAUGCUACGGAUGUGUGGCGGGCGAACGGGUUGUGUAUUCGGAUUCGUCUCGUCGUUUUGAGCAACUUUCAUGUACGAAGUAUUUUCAUCCGACUUAUAGAUUAUUUUAUAUUAAUUUUUAAAGAUUUAAUUCAUUUCUAGUAAUUAACAGAAUUAAAUUAAUUAUAAAGUGUAUUUAUGAUGUCAGCGUGAUGUCAGCAUGAUGUCAUCAGUCAACCGUCUGUUGACUGGGUCAACAGACGUGUGGGUCCCGCUCGUCAUUGACUGUAUAGUCUAAUUAGGAUUUAACUAAUCUAAUUACUAUUUAAUUAAACUAACUAGUUAAUUAGAUUAAUUAAACAUGAUUAAUUAACUUAAUUAAUUUAAUUAAUUAUUAUUAUUAUUUUAUUUUUAUUUUUAUCCUUUUUUUCUUUUAACGUUCUGGGGGGGCGGGGCCUACUUGUCAUAGGCGCAUGGCCUUAACGGGCGCUGGGUGCACGGGUGCCGGACAGCGGGCGCACGGGCGCCAGCCCGAACAGAGGCGCACCCGACCGGGCGCUGCNNNNNNNNNNNNNNNNNNNNNNNNNNNNNNNNNNNNNNNNNNNNNNNNNNNNNNNNNNNNNNNNNNNNNNNNNNNNNNNNNNNNNNNNNNNNNNNNNNNNNNNNNNNNNNNNNNNNNNNNNNNNNNNNNNNNNNNNNNNNNNNNNNNNNNNNNNNNNNNNNNNNNNNNNNNNNNNNNNNNNNNNNNNNNNNNNNNNNNNNNNNNNNNNNNNNNNNNNNNNNNNNNNNNNNNNNNNNNNNNNNNNNNNNNNNNNNNNNNNNNNNNNNNNNNNNNNNNNNNNNNNNNNNNNNNNNNNNNNNNNNNNNNNNNNNNNNNNNNNNNNNNNNNNNNNNNNNNNNNNNNNNNNNNNNNNNNNNNNNNNNNNNNNNNNNNNNNNNNNNNNNNNNNNNNNNNNNNNNNNNNNNNNNNNNNNNNNNNNNNNNNNNNNNNNNNNNNNNNNNNNNNNNNNNNNNNNNNNNNNNNNNNNNNNNNNNNNNNNNNNNNNNNNNNNNNNNNNNNNNNNNNNNNNNNNNNNNNNNNNNNNNNNNNNNNNNNNNNNNNNNNNNNNNNNNNNNNNNNNNNNNNNNNNNNNNNNNNNNNNNNNNNNNNNNNNNNNNNNNNNNNNNNNNNNNNNNNNNNNNNNNNNNNNGGUCCGGUGGGGGCUAGCGAUGGCGCCGUCGUGGACGAUGGCGUCGAGCGGCACCGGGCGGCGAGGCACGGUCGUCGGGGCGCAGCGGGUCGAUCCCGAUCUAGCUCGGGUCGCGGUGGGGCGGGCGCCAUGCGGGGGGAGUCGGGGAGGCAGGCGCCGGCGAGGGGGUGGCCGGAGGCGCCGGGCGGCGGCAGCUUGGCGAAGGGGUCGGGGCCCUCUGCCUCGAUCCAGGCGGGGAAAGGGGAGAGGGGCGUGCGGGGAGCGAGUGGGGGAGUGGGGAUCGGGAGGAAGUGGGUUGACCGGCUAGGGUUUCGGGGUAGUGGGUGUAUAGGCGCAGCUGGUAGGCUGGCCUGGUGUUCUGGUGGCCUGCUGGGCCGUGGCCCAGUGGGCCAGGGUUUUUUUUUACUUUGUUUUAUUUCCUUUAUUUUUAUUUAUUCUUUCGUAUUUUAUUUUAGUUACAUUUUAUUUUAGUUUUAUAAAAUGCCAAAUGAGCACCUAAAUUAGUAUUACUAAUUAGUCCACCGCCACAAUUAUUUUGGCACAUUAUUAAAUUAGUUAUAUUAUUAUAACUUUAUAAAAGGCAUUAAGUUAAUUGUGUUUGCUGCUGUUUUAAUUACUUUAGAGCCCUAAAACAUUUUAUCAAAGUUUGGUCUCUCCACCAAUAUAUCCUAUGAAUUAUUUGCCACAAUAAGAACAUUUUAGUUUUUAUGUUUGAAAACAUUUACUAUUUGCCAAUAUUUUAAAUUUGAAUUUGAAUCGUUUUGAACUAACGCGAGUUUAUCAACAGUAACGUGGUGACGUGGCAUCUUUAACAGAGGUUUACUGUAGCCUAAUUGUCCGGGCGUUACAGUAGCCCCCGAGACUGAAAGCAAUUGGCACAACUAAUUUAAGGAUUGUUGAACAACCAGGUCCUCACAGAGAAGAAUGGCCUGCUCGCCCAAGAGCUGGAGCAGUGUCGGGUGCAGCUAAAUGCUGCCACCGCCGAACUGGAAAACGUCAAGAAGUCGUCUUCUGGUAAUGUUCCCCUCCACCGAGGAACAAUGAUUGUGUACCAACUGUGCUAACGCUGCUGCUGAUCGCGUAAUAGGGUCGUCUGAUCAACUUGAAGAGAAGUUGAAGAUCGCCCAAGAAGGAGAAAAAGAGGCGAAAAGGCAACAUGCCACAGGCGAGCGUGUACUGACCCGCGUCAGAGACGAUAAAAACAAGCUGCAGGAUUCCAACACUACAUUGCUUGAAGAGUUGAAAGAUGUUCGAGCCCAGCUAGCCGAUUCCGUGAAGGAGAACAAGAAGCUGCGGGGCGGUAUCUUCAGUAUGUGUCCGAACUAUUUCUGCCAUAACUUUAUAUUGAAUGGUGGAGCUAUCAGUUGGUGCAGUUCCAAACGGAGCGUCGUGGCGGCAUCUACGUGUGAAGCGGAGUACAUAGCUGCUUCAGAAGCAGCAAAUGAAGGAGUCUGGAUGAAGGAGUUCAUAUCCGAUCUAGGUGUAAUACCUAAUGCAUCGGGUUCAAUGAAAAUCUUUUAUGACAAUACACCUAUGACCAAGUUGACUUCUUUCCGCAGUAACGCCUUCGGAAAAGAAUAAACACCCUUGCACCAUCGUCGUCACGUCAGAACAAGGUCUUGAUUGCCGGAUUUUCAUCUUGACAACCGAAGCCAACCACCUUUAGUACAUCAACAAGAUAAUGCAAGUUGGUCGCCGCGAGGCCCAACCAAUUAAUGCCGAAAAAAGUGUUUUUACCCCAGACAUGAAGUGAUGUUCCAAUCAUUAUCUUGAAGACGGAUCUUCGAAAAGUCACGCCAUCAUGUAAUUCACGUCGGGCCAGAAAGGCACUAGCGAAUGGCGGGACAUCUUUCCACCACAGACCACCAUCCAGCCAUCGGGUGAUCGUCCAUGACGCGGUGUGGAUCUAGCCAUUGCCAAUUCAUACAUGUGCAAACCAGCCUGUAACAUCCGCCAUGACCCCAGGGUGCUACCCCAGCGUCCUCCAUGUAAGUCGCAGCACGUUGCUCGCUCACGCUGCCGUCGUGGCCAAGAACGCCGAUCUGACCCUCUCGGGCAUCCCUGGCAGUGACGAACUGGAGUGCGGGCUGGUCAAGAAGGUGCACAAUCCCUGCCACCGAUGUCAGCGAGAGACGCCUCGCCUGGAUCUUGUUGUCGAUGAAGAGUCAACCAACCGCGGUCGGCGCCAUCAACCCCAUCAUGACUUCUCCCCCUCGCGGCUCCUAUUGCCAUGAAUGUGUCACUGCAUGUCACCAACCGGGCAGGCUAAUUGGGUGGGAUCGAUGUCACCGUAGGUGGCCAGCGAGUUGCAUCAACAACCGCAAGCGCAACAGAGAAGACAUGGAUAGGGAAGAGAAGAGUACAAGUUUUGCGGCAGAACAAAGCUGGAGAUUAAACAUCCGCACUAAGAAUGGACCGGUACUUAAUGAGUUGCAAGCUACAAAGAAGAAAAACCAGUCUACGCUGCAUAUGGAUUUAUUGAGUCUCUGAUUUUUCCAAAAGAUAUUUCAAAAGAAGCACAAUAAAGUUCCAAAUAUUAGGGUCGAGACCUCGGCUGCAUCCCAGAUGAGGUUCAGCCAAGGAGGGAACCUGGUCCAACCACACUUGCGCUGCGGCAGGGCACAUACGGAAAAUGUGGGCAGAAUCCUCCAGAUGAGUACCUUGGAGGACCAAGCUGAUGGUUGAUUCUUUUUUUUCAUAAAUUUUAUUAAUUCAAAAUCAUUACAAACACUUAACAAUGUGCCGAGUUUAGUCAGGAACUAGAUAUAGUUUGGGGGCUAAACCUUGUGCAUCGUCAAUCAAGAUGCAGAUGGCCCUUCAUUCUUUUUCUCCGGCAAUGUAUGUAGUUCUCUUGAUAAAGUUUAUUAUCAAUGCGAUGGUGCCGAAAUCUCCCUUAGUUGAGUGAUGUAUCUAAUCUAGUCGAUGCUAAAGUUUAUUAUUGUGAUGAUGAAACAUUGAUUUACACCACAUGGUUUUUUCAGGACUCGAAUUAGAAAAGCAGUUAGCAUUGUGGGAUAUCACUAGGAUUACAAAACCACGAAAAUUUAGAUUUGACAGCACAGGAAAACAAUUGAUUUGUAAAGAGAUUUUGGUGGAUGGCAAUUUUCUUUUGAAAUAAAAUGCAAAACCUAGGAAUUCGUGGAUCCAGAUCCUCUUAAAAAACCUGUAAAUUUCUUCGAACUGGAAGUGGACAAGAAUCAUAUUCAAGUGAAAAAAACUAAAAAAAAACAUACGAAAUUGCUAUGGGUCGAGCCUCAGAAUAAGGGAACAGGAAAAGAAAAAGGAGAGAUAAUCACUGGACUAAUUUAGUCAACUCAAAAUCCUCAAUAUACAGUUCCUCGAGUUUAAUCCAAGACCUGAACUUGGCGGCAACGACAGAAUAUAACCACAACUAGAAACAUACAGUAGAAACGAUAUAUAGGCCAUCUAGAAGACGACGGUGAUGAUCUACUGCGACUCGACGGACGGCGUCGUGUUAGCGGCUGAGCCGUGGUCCUUGGCGCCUCCGCCGAAUAUUGGCUCGGCGAACAUGGAGCUGACCUUGUUCUUGAUGCACUCCCAGUGCUCGCUCGCCUGCGCCUCCGUGAACUGCCUGUACUGGUCCUUGGCCCGCUCCAUCAGCGACGCCCCCUCCCCCACCGUCCACUUGAAGCACGUCGACGCCGGCGCUUGCGCCUCCUUCUCCGGCGCUGCCGCUCCCGCUGCUGCCCCCUGGUUCUCCAUCAAGCCCGAAAACUGAGAUGGAAACUUGUCUACGUCGAUCGAGAGAAUAAGACGAUGUCGCCGGUUGUGGUUGUGUUGCUUUGGUGGCCGUGGGGCUGCGGGGGCGUGGCUACUUAUGCAGGGGAGGUCGGGGCGUCUUGAGGAGGAAGCCGGGUCCGUCACGGGCUUGGAGUUAGAACACAAGUUGGCCACACGAGAAACUACGUACUGAGUCCGGAUCAUCAUCAUGGAAGAAAACAAGUAAACACGGAUUCUCACGAGUGCAAACGGGAAAGGGAACUACUACUCCUCCCUGUUCCUUCCUUUGUUAAUCCCCUUCGUUAACAUUGUGCGGAGUGUAGUCUAGGAAGUAGAGAAAGAUUUGGGGCGUAAAAGGCCAGAUGGCCCUUCAUUCUUUUUCUCCGUCAGUUCAGUGAUGUAUGUAGAUAAAGCUUAUCGAUGCGAAUGCGAUGAUGCCGAAAUCUCCCUUAGCUGAGUGAUGUAUCUAAUCUAAUCUAUGCUAACGUUUAUUAAUAGGGAAACGAUUACAAUCAGCCAGCCGAUAACGCGCUGAGUUCCGUCGCAUACACAGGCGUCAGAUAAGACUGAUCAGACAACGCACGGCCCCUAAACAACCGAUCAGGACGUUUACAGCUUGACGCGUGCCUUUGUCAUCUUGACAAUUUUUCUGCAACAUCAACCGUGUUGCAGAAGUUCUUCCGCAACAACAUCUAUGUUGCAAAAAAGUUAAGCUGAAAAAAAUUCUGCACAACAUCAUCUGUGUUGCAGAAGUCUUUCCGCAACAACACUCGUGUUUUAAAAAAGUUAAAACAGAGAAAAAAAAACUAUGAAACAGAACAUCUGUUGCAAAUGAUUUUGCAACAAAAGGUCUGUUGCAAAGAGUUCCGCAACACCGUCUCUGUUGCAUUGGUAAGGAAAAAGGACGGGCCGCUAAAAAGAUCCGCCGGCCGACGCGUAGCGUCGCCCUGGGGACCGCCUAUGCGUCAGUUAACUGAAAUAAAACUACGUCAGUCACUUUGAUCUAGAGCCCUUAGAUCUUCAUCCAACGAUGAAAUAGAUUGCGUUACUGUUCAUCUUCUACCUCCCAGCGCAGCCAGGCCGGCGGCCUAAGAGCCUGCCUCCGGCCCCCGCGGUCGGCAGCUAACGCCGCCCCNNNNNNNNNNNNNNNNNNNNNNNNNNNNNNNNNNNNNNNNNNNNNNNNNNNNNNNNNNNNNNNNNNNNNNNNNNNNNNNNNNNNNNNNNNNNNNNNNNNNNNNNNNNNNNNNNNNNNNNNNNNNNNNNNNNNNNNNNNNNNNNNNNNNNNNNNNNNNNNNNNNNNNNNNNNNNNNNNNNNNNNNNNNNNNNNNNNNNNNNNNNNNNNNNNNNNNNNNNNNNNNNNNNNNNNNNNNNNNNNNNNNNNNNNNNNNNNNNNNNNNNNNNNNNNNNNNNNNNNNNNNNNNNNNNNNNNNNNNNNNNNNNNNNNNNNNNNNNNNNNNNNNNNNNNNNNNNNNNNNNNNNNNNNNNNNNNNNNNNNNNNNNNNNNNNNNNNNNNNNNNNNNNNNNNNNNNNNNNNNNNNNNNNCGGCGAGGUCCGGCCAAGAGGGAAAAGGAAGGAAGAAGACAAAAUGUGACUGGUGCGAGGAAGCGCCAAAUCCGUAAGUUUUGUGGUUUCUUUGUGUGUUACAUUUAGUUCAUCAUGUGUUCACAAAUUAUAGUUGACCCAGUCUCUUACAUUUUCAGCCGCUGUCAUUAAACAUACCCCCUCCGAUCCAAAAUAAGUUGUGUGGUUUUAGUUCAAAUUUGGACUAAAACCAUGUCACUUAUUUUGGAUCGGAGGGUGUAGUUGAAUAUGUAAACUUGGUUGUGCAUUGUAAUUUGUCAACGCACAUUUAAAUACCAUUUCUGUCUUACUAUUUCUGGAUCUAUUGACUCAAAACGUGAUGCACUAAUCUGGUCCUAAUAUUCAUGCAAGUUUCUACAUAAUCUACUUUGUCUAUUUGUUAUGGGCAGUAGUGCCUUCUAACAAUAACAAUACACCUUCAGUCAUGAUUAGUAAUUGAAGUAGUUAGCUUAUUUUGAAAUAAGAGUUUUAAAACUGGGGAAAACCACUGUCAAAUGAGUCUAACCUUUUUCUUUGAAUACGGUUGGUUCAAGGUUUAGUUGACUUAUUGGUACUUAAUUUUUUUCAAUUUGAUGUAAAAUUUUCUUUCUUUGAGUUGACUUAUUAUGAGAUUUUAUAAGUUAUUUCACUGUUUCUUUUUUCACAUCUUAUUUAGGUAGGAGUGUCUAAAAAAGGCAGCAGGGUUUCUGCUUAGACAAGGACUCCUGGUGAUGAUCCUGAACGUAAUUACUAUGUAUCUAUUUCAGCAAUGCCAGUAUUCAAGAGCAAAUCUCACGAGGAGCUUCGACAUGAAGAUUAUAAGAAAGGAGACAAAGGUAAGAUAUUGAGUAUUUCCAACACUUUAGACUUUUUGUCCUGUUUAGAUUUUUGAUAAGUUCUAUGAGGUCUCAGCAGGUUGUUGUGAUGGUCAAGAUCUGUAGGAUUUAUGCACAGGAGAAGGAUAACUUGCAACUCAAGACAUAUAAUACAUCUCAUAGUCUUAACUCUCUUAUUGUACUCCAUCCGUUUCUAAAUACAAGCCUUUCUAGAGAUGGACUACAUAUUGCUCCGUACGUAGUCCAUAUUGAAAUCUCUAAAAAAGGCUUAUAUUUAGAAACGGAGGGGGUACUAUUUACUCUGAUACUUAAUUAAUUUUCUUCCUAAUUUAUCUUCAAUCCUCUAGAGACCUAACCUAAUGUGCAAGAACUUGACUAGUUCAAUUAAAGCAACACGGUACUGCUCAUGGUGCCCUGGGCCUAUAUGACAAGUGAUGGUUAAUAACUGUUGAAUCUUGUGUUUUUUUCAUUAUGUACUUGUUUUAUUAGGUUCUUAUUACUAAUCUAGUUUUGUGUGUUCCCCAGGUGGUUUCAACUUACAGGAGAGCAGAGUUCCUUGGGCUUAUCAUUCCUCGCAGCCCCAGCCCCCAGUGAAUGCCUUCACAAAUCCUGUCAAGCCAUCAUUGUUUUCAUACUCUCCUGAGCCAUCCUCAGCACCUGUGGGACUGCAAUCCUCAGCACUACCACCAACCCAUUUUGGUUGCGCCCUCCAGGACCCCAGUCACCAUUAUCUUCAUACACUCCCGAGCCAAUCCACAAGCCAUCAUGGUUUUCAAGCUCCUCUUUUGCACCAUCUACUAUAUGUUGGGCAAAUGUAUCCAAUAACACAGCGGCAUAUACAGCUCCUGCAGAUACAUCUUCUGCUGUAAGUAUUCCUAUAGAAAAUUAUUCUUUCAUGAUGCAUUUCAUUCAUACGAGUUGGUGUGUGUUCUCAUUGAUUAAUUGUUCUGAUGGAAGCAGCAAGGCCAUAUGUUUAGCCCAAAUUUGUUCCCUUCAAAAUCUACUCAAUCUGGAGGAAGUUUACUCAGCUCUUAGGUCACCCAUUCAGCACUAGCUCCAUCGCCAAACGGUCAUUCCACUACUGCAGGUGUCACUGAAUGGCUAUAUUUCCUGGAUUUUUGUUUCUUUAUCUGAUUUAUUAUUGUCGUCCUUUCCAGAUAAAUAUUGGUCAAGCUGAGAAAACUGUGGAGUUGGUACUACCAGUUGACAUUACUACUGUAAGGAUUAGAUUUUCUCCAAGGAAUGAUGAUACUGGCAGUCGUGCUACAGAGGUAUGGCAAUAAAUCUCCAUAGCCAAGAAUUGUGUUGCAAGUAAAAUGAAAUAUUGUGGACCACUUCAAACAUGUUUCAAGACAUAUAUGCUCACAUGUUUGGGCUCAUGAAUAUUCAUAUAAAAUGCUCCCAGCUGCUUUUUAUUGCAUCAAAAAAAUUGAAUCUGUCCAUUUGGAUUACCCCAUAAAUGAAAUUUGCAUAUCCUUUUGCAUAGGUUCAUCAUAAUGUUAAAGCUUCAGCAACACCAGUGUCUUUCUGUAUCUAUCCUGGAGAGAACCAAGAGCUAACUAUCCGAUCGGUUGAAAGGAUCGAGAAGAGGUGUCUAGAGGGGGGUGAUUAUACCCUCAACAAGCAAAAGUAUCCGUUUUUAAGUUCUUCAAGUUGAUGUGGAGUUUUAGCACAAGUUUAAGCAUUCACAAUACAUUUCAAGCAAGCAUGGCAAGAGUAUAAGCAACGGAAAGAGUAAAGCAUGCAAGUUGCAAGAAAGUAAAGGGAUGGGAUUGGAGUGUGCAAACGCAAUGAAGACACAGAUAUUUUUGGCGUGGUUCUGAUAGGUGGUGCUAUUGUACGUCCACGUUGAUGGAGACUUCAACCCACGAAGGGUAAUGGUUGCGCGAGUCCACGGAGGCUCCACCCACGAACGGUCCACGAAGAAGCAACCUUGUCUAUCCCACCAUGGCCAUCGCCCACGAAGGACUUGCCUCACUCAGGUAGAUCUUCACGAAGUAGGCGAUUUCCUUGCCCUUACAAACUCCUUGGUUCAACUCCACAAUCUUGUCGGAGGCUCCCAAGUGACACCUAACCAAUCUACGAGACACCACUCUCCAAAAGGUAAUAGAUGGUGUGAUGAUGAUGAACUCCUUGCUCUUGUGCUUCAAAUGAUAGUCUCCCCAACACUCAACUCUCUCUCACAGAUUUGGCUAUGGUGGAAAGAUGAUUUGAGUGGAAAGCAACUUGGGGAAGGCUAGAGAUCAAGAUUCUUGUCGUUGGAUGGAAUGUCUUGGUCUCAACACAUGAGUAGGUGGUUCUCUCUAAGAAAAUGAGUAGUGUAAGUGUAGGCACGUUCUGAUGGCUCUCUCUUGAAUGGAGAAGGGGUGGAGGGGUAUAUAUAGCCUCCACAUAAAAUCCAACCGUUACACACAUUUGACCCAACUCGGUCACACCGAAUAGAAGAACUUCGUGACACCGAUUUAGAUCAAAAUGUGAACGUUAGGAAUGUCCGUGGGACCGACAUGAUCAACUCGGUGGGACCGAUGUGCUAGGGUUAGGGCAAAACCUCAUCUCGGUGAGACCGUUUGCAUGAACUCGGUGAGACCGAUUUCAGCAAAGCGCAAACAGAGAGUUGGUCAAGCAAACUCGGUGGGACCGAUUGCACAUGUCGGUGAGACUGAAAUAAUUACAACAUGUAACAGAGAGUUUGCAAAGCCAUUUCGGUGAGACCGAGAUCCCGAUCGGUGAGACCGAAUUGUCUAGGGUUUCUCGCAGUGGCUAGGUCAAAUGAACUCGGUGGCGCCGGAUAGAUCAAAUCGGUGGGGCCGAGUUUGACUUUAGGUUUUUGAUGUGGAAAUGAGAAAGUGGCUGAGGAUUUUGGAGCUAUAUCAUUAAGCACUUUGAGCAAGUAGACCAUUAAGCAACACCUCAUCCCCUUUUAAUAGUAUUGGCUUUCCUAUGGACUCAAUGUGAUCUUGGAUCACUAAAAUGAAAAUGAAGAGUCUUGAGCCUUUGCCAAUCUUUGUCCUUAGCAUUUUGAAGGGGUUCCACAUCGUCUUGUCCUUGCCACCCUAUUGUUGAACUCAUCUGAAAUAUACUAGAUAAAAGUAUUAGUCCAACAAGAGAUAUGUUGACAUUAAUUACCAAAAUCACCCAGGGAGCACUUGUGCUUUCAAUCUCCCCCUUUUUGGUAAUUGAUGACAACAUACAUCAAGGCUUUAGAUAAAUAUAUGAAGAGUAACAAGUAAAGCUUUGGAAAGACAUGUAACAUGCAUAGGCUCCCCCUACAUGUAUGCAAUCAUGAGAGCAUGUGAAUGCAUAAGCAUGUCAGAGCAAGCAAUGAGUUACAUGUAUCUUGGCUAUAUGCAUCAGAGCAAAUGAUGUAGAUAAAAGGAAGUGUACCUUUUGUUGGAAAUAUGCCCUAGAGGCAAUAAUAAAAUGGUUAUUAUCAUAUUUUCUUGUUCAUGAUAAUUGUCUAUUAUUCAUGUUAUAAUUGUAUUAACCGGAAACCGUAAGACAUGUGUGAAUACAUAGACCACAUAUUGUCCCUAGUAAGCCUCUAGUUGACUAGCUCGUUGAUCAAUAGAUGGUCGUGGUUUCCUGACCAUGGACAUUGGAUGUCGUUGAUAACGGGAUCACAUCAUUAGGAGAAUGAUGUGAUGGAAAAGACCCAAUCCUAAGCAUAGCACAAGAUCGUGUAGUUCAUUUUGCUAGAGCUUUUCUAAUGUCAAGUAUCGUUUCCUUAUACCAUGAGAUUGUGCAACUCCCGGAUACCGUAGGAAUGCUUUGGGUGUAUCAAACAUCACAACGUAACUGGGAGACUAUAAAGGUGCACUACAGGUGUCUCUGAAAGUGUCUGUUGGGUUGGCACGAAUCAAGACUGGGAUUUGUCACUCCGUGUGACGGAGAGGUAUCUCUGGGCCCACUCGGUAAUGCAACAUCAUAAUGAGCUCAAUGUGACUAAGAAGUUAGCCACAGGAUCAUGUGUUACGUAACGAGUAAAGAGACUUGCCGGUAACAAGAUUGAACGAGGUAUGGGGAUACCAACGAUCGAAUCUCGGGCAAGUAACAUACCGAUAGACAAAGGGAAUUGAAUACGGGAUUGAUUGAAUCCCCGACAUCGUGGUUCAUACGAUGAGAUCAUCGUGGAACAUGUGGGAGCCAACAUGGGUAUCCAGAUCCCGCUGUUGGUUAUUGGCCGGAGAACGUCUCGGUCAUGUCUGCAUGGUUCCCAAACCCGUAGGGUCUACACACUUAAGGUUCGGUGACGCUAGAGUUGUUAUGGGAAAUAGUAUGUGGUUACCGAAGGUUGUUCGGAGUCCCGGAUGAGAUCCCGGACAUGACGAGGAACUCCGGAAUGGUAUGGAGGUGAAGAUCGAUAUAUUGGACGAAGGGUAUUGGAGUCCGGAAUUGUUCCGGGGGUACCAGGUGACGACCAGCGUGUCCGAAAGGGGUUUCGGAGGCCCCGGCAAGCGUUGGGGGGCCUUAUGGGCCAAGGGGAGGGGGCACAUCAGCCCACUAAGGGGCUGUGCGCCCCUCCCACCCCAUCUCACGUAACGUGGAGAGGUGGGGGCGCCUCCCCUAGGGCAGUCACCCCUCCCGGCUUGGGGGGCAAGUUUCCUAGGGGUGGGGGCGCCCAAACCCAUCUAGGGUUUCCCCUGUGGCCGCCGCCCCUCCCCUAGGGUGCCUUCUCCUUCCCCCUUCCCCCUAUAUAUAGUGAGGGGGAGAGAGGGCAGCUGCACCCCUUCCCUGGCGCAGCCCUCUCCUCCUCCAACUCCUCCUCCUCCGUAGUGCUUAGCGAAGCUCUGCCGGAGAACCACGAGCUCCAUCGCCACCGCGUCGUCGUGCUGCUGGAGUUCUCCCUGAACUUCUCCUCUCCCCUUGCUGGAGCAAGAAGGAGGAGACGUCCCCGGGCUGUACGUGUGUUGAACGCGGAGGUGCCGUCCGUUCGGCACUUGGAUCGGAUCUUCCGCGAUUUGAAUCGCCGCGAGUACGACUCCAUCAACCGCGUUCUUGUAACGCUUCCGCUUAGCGAUCUUCAAGGGUAUGAAGAUGCACUCCUUCUCUCGCGUUGCUAGCAUCUCCUAGAUUGAUCUUGGUGACAUGUAGGAAAAUUUUGAAUUAUUACUACGUUCCCCAACAGUGGCAUCAUGAGCUAGGUCUAUGCGUAGAUUCUAUGCACGAGUAGAACACAAAGUAGUUGUGGGCGAUGAUUUGUGCAAUUUGCUUACCGUUACUAGUCUUAUCUUGAUUCGGCGGCAUUGUGGGAUGAAGCGGCUCGGACCGACCUUACACGUACUCUUACGUGAGACAGGUUCCACCGACUGACAUGCACUUGAUGCAUAAGGUGGCUAGCGGGGUGUUUGUCUCUCCCACUUUAGUCGGAUCGGAUUCGAUGAAGAGGGUCCUUAUGAAGGUUAAAUAGCAAUUGGCAUAUCAUCGUUGUGGCUUUUGCGUAGGUAAGAAACGUUCUUGCUAGAAACCCAUAGCAGCCACGUAAAACAUGCAACAACAAUUAGAGGACGUCUAACUUGUUUUUGCAGGGUAUGCUAUGUGAUGUGAUAUGGCCAACAGGAUGUGAUGAAUUAUAUAUAUAUAUGUGAUGUAUGAGAUUGAUCAUGUUCUUGUAAUAGGAAUCACGACUUGCAUGUCGAUGAGUAUGACAACCGGCAGGAGCCAUAGGAGUUGUCUUAAUUUAUUGUAUAACCUGCGUGUCAAUGAAAAACGCCACGUAAUUACUUUACUUUAUUGCUAACCGUUAGCCAUAGUAGUAGAAGUAAUAGUUGGCGAGACAACUUCAUGAAGACAUGAUGAUGGAGAUCAUGGUGUCAUGCCGGUGACGAAGGUGAUCAUGUUGUGCCUCGAAGAUGGAGAUCAAAGGCGCAAGAUGAUAUUGGCCAUAUCAUGUCACUUUAUGAUUUGCAUGUGAUGUUUGUCAUGUUUACAUCUUAUUUGCUUAGAACGACGGUAGCAUAAAUAAGAUGACCCCCACUAAAAUUUCAAGAGAUGUGUUCCCCCUAACUGUAACAUCCCAAAUUUUCAAUUUGGAAUGUUAUACAUUAGAUCAUCAUUGCAUAGCAUAUUUUAUUGCAUUUGGCAAAUCCUCGAUAAAUCCUAAGCAACUCAAGGACCCUCGGAGAGAGUUGGGGAUUUUCCCGGUUUUUCAUAUUUGAUUUUUAUCAAAUAAUAAAACGAGGAUUUUUGGUUUUAAUUAUUUUUCUCUCCAAAAAAUAUUUCAUAUUAAAAUAAAUGAGGGAGAAAAUAUGACUUCUCCAAAAUAAUGGAAAUAUUGGAGGAAAAAUAUUAAAAUCAAAUAUUGGAUUUUAUUCGGAUUUUAUUUCCAAUUUUAAUUGCAUUAAAAAAAUUACACGUUUUCAAAACUGCAUUUUUGGGCCAAGAAAAUGUUCAUCUUGUUCUAAUUAUUUUAAUUAGACGGGAAAAUUUUGUUUUAGUAUUUUUGGAUUUUUAUUUAUUUUUCUGUGAUUUUUUUUAGAUUCGGCGAAUAUUUUAAAAAAAAAUCCCGCGCCCGACUGGGCCGAGGCCCAGCCGAGCCAGGCCGGCCCGUCCCGCGUCGUCUCCCUCCCGAGCACGCCUCCCGCGCCGCCGCCGAGUCCGGCUCGAGCACGCCGCCCGCCACCGCCUUGCCCCCUCCUCCACGCCACCCCCUNNNNNNNNNNNNNNNNNNNNNNNNNNNNNNNNNNNNNNNNNNNNNNNNNNNNNNNNNNNNNNNNNNNNNNNNNNNNNNNNNNNNNNNNNNNNNNNNNNNNNNNNNNNNNNNNNNNNNNNNNNNNNNNNNNNNNNNNNNNNNNNNNNNNNNNNNNNNNNNNNNNNNNNNNNNNNNNNNNNNNNNNNNNNNNNNNNNNNNNNNNNNNNNNNNNNNNNNNNNNNNNNNNNNNNNNNNNNNNNNNNNNNNNNNNNNNNNNNNNNNNNNNNNNNNNNNNNNNNNNNNNNNNNNNNNNGCCGCCCCUCGCCCGCCCCGCCGGAGCCCCGCCGGAGCUGCACGCCGAGGUAGCCGAAGCCGCCGCCGCCGAGCCCGGUUUUUAAAAAAAAACCGAUUCGGUUUUUUUUUCUUUUUUCCGAAACCCUAGUUUUUUUUAGAUCGGUUUAUUUUUUUCGGUUUUAUUACUUAGUGAACGUUCACCGACCCGUUCGUUUAAUGAACGUGUUCGUCGGAUUGUCGCUGUUAACGAACGUCCGUUUGUUUAACUGUUCGUCAGUUUUUCUUUUUCGUCGGAUUUUCCGCGAUUAUUCCAAAUCGUGAUUUCCGAUCAGAUCUUCGUUUUUGUUUAACUUUUCGCUCGUUUAUCGGAAUCAGGCGAUUCAAGCGCCUAGAGUUUCGUCUCGAAAUUCUCUUUCCGUUUAACCUACUCAAACAAGUUUUUGCCACUGUAAAAUUUGACCUAGAUCCAGAUUAGUAAACGAAGCUUGUUUCUUUCGCCGUUUGACUUUCGUUGCUUCGUUUGAGUUGAAUCUUUUUGCAAACCGGAGUUCUUAAGUUGAACUUUCUGGUUGGAUCUUUAUUUGAGUUUUACUUGUGCAUUAGAUGAGUACUUAUUGUUUGCUUGUUUGUUUGCGAUAGAGUACCCGGAGUGCGCCGCUUGCUACUUUGAAUCUCUAGGUUUCGCGGAUCAUCAGCAAGGCAAGUAACACUUUGAUCAUACUUUUCACUACCCAGUUUUAUUGCAUUAGAUCAACCCUCAAACAUUGCAUGAUUAGGAUCAAAUUAAAUUGUGGGUAUUGGGAAGUAGUUGAGGUAGUACCUAUUACCUGUUUUAUUAUCAAACCCUUGGGAGUUACUUCUACGUUGCUUAUAUCGCUAUGUUAUGCUUGUAGACGUGGAUUGGGUUUGAGAGAUAUUCAUGACAGAUGUGAGAUUGUUAAUUAAUGGUUUACUUAAGGUGGCAACUAAAACUCACAUCUGGGUGGAUUGAGGCACCUGGAGAACCCAGUGCUGCCUGUAUUUUUGGAUAUCCCGGAGUACCCGUGUGAUCAUCCUAUGGACCGCCACCCAGGCUCAAAGGGAUCAUGAGAUUAUUCACGCUAGAAACUUCCGUGUGCAGCCACAAGCUAUUAUGGGCUCUAGCAUAGUUGAGUAGGUUGUGUGAGCUCUUGAAGAGGUAGACUAGCAGAUGUAGGGGUUGUAGGUGGUACUGUCUACCCGGAGUAGAGAGUUUACGCUUCUGAAAGACUAUGUCUCGGUCAUCCGUUUCUCAAACAUCAUGUAGUGCGAGAAUCAAGCGGAGGUGAUCGAGUCUUGUGGGGAAAAGUGCACAAACCUCUGCAGAGUGUAUAAACUAAUCAUGGUUAGCCGUGUCCCCGGUUAUGGACAACUUGAGUAUCUAGUACUUGGAUUAUCAUAUGAAUCUCAUCACCAUGUUACUUUUAAUUAAUUUUGUUGGGUUAAUGAUGAUACUUAAUUGGGAUUGAGUUGGAGGUACCUUCUCAAUGUUUCACAACCACCAUGAUAGUUAAAUAAAAUUUAUUCCUUUGCAGUAGGGAAAAUUUGGCUUUUCGCAAAACUGUAACCAUAGAGCUUUCUACCAGCCAUAUAAGCAUGUAGUAUAGCAUUAUUAUGUUCAUUAUUCUCUAUGUGUUACAUUGCCAGCAUAUUCCAUGUGCUGACCCGUUUUCGGGUUGCAACGUUUCAUGUUGCAGACUUUUCAGACGACGAGUAAGGUGCCUUAGGUUGUGGUCUUAUACUCAGUGAUGCCAUUGGAGUUGAUGGACUCACUUAUCUUCCAAGCCUUCCGCUGUUAUCGUAUUAGAUGGCCUUAAGCCAUAUUUAUCAUACUUAUUCUCUCUUGAGAUAUUCGUUGUAAUAAGUGUGUGAUUGCUACUCUGUUAUAAAUCCUCCAUUUGUACUGUGCGUGUCAGCAUUACUGAUCCAGGGAUGACACUGGUGCACAGCAGCACAGACUGUUUGAGGUCUGGUCGCUACACUAACUGUGCACCGUUGCGAAGGUUCGUUGUUUCGAAGCACCACGUGAUGAUCGGGUGUGAUAGAUUCUAACGUUCGCAUACAACGGGUGUAAGCCAGAUUUACACAUGCGAAACACUUAGGUUGACUUGACGAGCCUAGCAUGUACAGACAUGGCCUCGGAACACAAGAGACCGAAAGGUCGAACAUGAGUCGUAUUGUAGAUACAAUCAACAUGGAGAUGUUCACCGUUGAUGACUAGUCCAUCUCAUGUGAUGAUCGGACACGGCCUAGUCGAUUCAGAUCAUGUAUCACUUAGAUGAGUAGAGGGAUGUCUAUCUGAGUGGGAGUCCAUUAAAUAAUUUGAUUAGAUGAACUUAAUUAUCAUGAACAUAGUCUAAAUUGUCUUUGCGAGUUGUGUUGUGGAUUAAUAGCUCACGCUUUAGCUCCUUGUUUUAAUACGUUCCUAGAGAAAUACUAAGUUGAAGGAUAUUGUAAGCAAUUGUGCGGACUAGGGCCGUAGUCUGAGGAUUGUGCUCACUGCUGCACAGAAGGCUUCUGUCCUUAAUGCACCGCUCGGUGUGCCAACCCCUCUGGCAUCGUCUGUGGAUGUUGUGAACAUCUGGCAGACACGUUCUGAUGACUACCUGAUAGUUUAGUGCGCCAUGCUUUACGGCUUAGAGUCAGGGCUCCAAAAGCUUUUUGAACGCCAUGGAACAUAUGAGAUGUUCUAAGAGCUGAAAUUGGUAUUUCAGGCUCAUGCCCGUGUUGAGAGGUGUGAGACCUCUGACAAGACCUUUGCCUACAAGAUGGAGGAAUAUAGCUCAGCUAGUGAGCAUGUGCUCAGAAUGUCUGGGUACUUCAAUCACUUGAAUCAAGUGGGAGUUAAUCUUCCAGAGAGUGAUUGACAAAAGUUCUCCAGUCACUAUCACCAAGCUACUAAAGUUUCGUGAUGAACUAUAACAUGCGAAGGAAGAUGAUCCCGGAGCUGUUCAUCGUGCUUAAGGCUGUAAAGGUAGAAAUCAAGAAGGAGCAUCAAGUGUUGAUGGUUAACAAGACCACUGGUUUCAAAGAAGGGCAAGGGCAAGAAGGGGAAACUUCAUGAAUGGCAAGCCAGUUGCCGCUCCAGUGAAGAAACCCAAGAACCCAAACCCGAGACGAAGUGCUUCUAUUAGGGGAACGGUCAUUGGUAGCGGAACUGCCUCAAAUACUUGGUAGAUAAGAAGGCUGGCAACUUCAACAAAAGUAUAUUUGAUAUAUGUGUUAUUGAUGUGUACCUUACUAGUACUCCUAGUAGCACAUGGGUAUUAGAUACCGGUUCAGUUGCUAAUAUUGGUAACUCGAAACAAAAGCUACGGAAUAAACGGAGACUAGCUAAGGGCGAGGUGACGAUAUGUGUUGGAAGUGUUUCCAAGGUUGAUGUGAUCACCAUCGCACGCUCCCUCUACCUUCGGGAUUAGUGUUGAACCUAGAUAAAUGUUGUUUGCAUUGGUGUCUGCAUUGAGCGUGAACAUGAUUGGAUCAUGUUUAUUGCAAUACGGUUAUUCAUUUAACUCAGAGAAUAAUGGUUAUUCUGUUUACAUGAAUAAUACCUUAUAUGGUCAUGCACCCAAUGUGAAUGGUUUAUUGAAUCUUGGUCGUAGUGAUACACAUGUUCAUAACAUUGAUGCCAAAAGAUGUAGAGUUGAUAAUGAUAGUACCACUUUCUUGUGGCACUGCCUCUUAGGUCAUAUUGGUGUAAAGCGCAUGAAGAACCUCCAUGCCGAUGGACUUUUGGAGUCACUUGAUUUUGAAUCACUUGACACAUGCGAGCCAUGCCUCAUUGGCAAGAUGACUAAAACCCCGUUUUCGAGAACAAUGGAACGGGCAAGUGACUUGUUGGAAAUCAUACAUGCUGAUGUGUGCUAUCCGAUGAGUGUUGACGCGUGCGGUGGAUAUCGUUAUUUUCUCACCUUCACCGAUGAAUUGAGUAGAUAUGGGUAUAUUUACUUAAUGAAGCAUAAGUCUGAAACAUUUGAAAAGUUCAAGCAAUUUCAGAGUGAAGUUGAGAAUCAUCAUAACAAGAAGCUCAAGUUCCUACGAUCUAAUCAAGGGGAGAGUAUCUGAGUUAUGAUUUUGGCAAUCACUAAAUACAAGGUGGAAUUGUUUCACAGUUGACGCCACCUGGAACAUCAUAGCGUAAUGGUGUGUCCGAACGUCGUAAUCACACCCUAUUGGAUAUGGUGCGAUCUAUGAUGUCUCUUACCGAUCUACCGCUAUCAUUUUGGGAUUAUGCAUUAGAGACAAUUACAUUCACUUUAAAUACGGCACCAUCUAAGUCCGUGGAGAUAACACCGUGGUUUGGCAAGAAACCUAAGUUGUUGUUUCUUAAGGUUUGGGGCUACGAUGCUUAUGUCGAUAGGCUUCGGCCAGAAAGCUCAAACCCAAAGCGGAAAAUUGUGUCUUCAUAUAAUACCCAAACAAGACGAUUGGGUAUACCUUCUAUCUCAGAUCUGAGGGCAAAGUGUUUGUCGCUAUGAACAGGUCCUUUCUCAGAUCAAGAAGCUCAAGAGAAAGCUAAUGAUGAUGAUCAUGGAGCUUCAGAUCAAGUUACUACCAAACCUCGUAGGUCGACAAGGGUGUGUACAACUUCUGAGUGGUAACCCUGUCUUAAAGGUCAUGUUGUUGGACAACGAUGAACCUAUGAGCUAUGAAGAAGCGAUGGUGGGCCCGGAUUCCAACAAAUGGCUGGAAGCCCUGAAAUCCGAGAUAGGAUCCAUGUAUGAGAUCAAAUUAUGGACUUUGGUGGACUUGCCCGGUGAUCGGCAAGCCAUUGAGAAUAAUUGGAUCUUUAAGAAGAAGACAGAUGCUGAUGGUAAUGUCACCAUUUAUGAAGCUCGACUUGUCUCAAAGAAGUUUCCGACAAGUUCAAGGAGUUGACUGUGAUGAAUCUUUCUCAAUCAUAGCGAUGCUAAAGUCUGUUAGAAUUAUGUUAGCAGUUGCUGCAUUUUGAUUUACGAAAUCAGGCAGAUGGAUGUCAAAGCAAAGUUUCCUUCAUGGUUUCCGUGAGGAAAGGUCGUAUGUGAUACAACCAGAAGGUUUUUUCAAUCCUGAGGAUGCUAAAAGGUAUGCAAACUCCAGCGAUCCUUCUAUGGACUGGAGCAAGUUCCUCGGAGUUGGAACAUACGCUUUGAUGAGGUGAUCAAAGCAUUUGGGUUUAUACAAAGUUUGCAAGAAACUUGUAUUUGCAAGAAAGUGAGUGGGAGCACUACAACAUUUUGAUAAGUAUAUGUGGAUGACAUAUUGCUGAUCAGAAAUGAUGUAGAAUUUUUGGAAAGCAUAAAGGGUUGUUUGAAUGGAGUUUUUCAAAGGAAGACCUGUGUAAAACUGCUUACAUGUUGGGUAUCAAGAUCUAUAGAGAUAGAUCAAGACACCUGAUAAGACUUUCACAGAGCACAUACCUUGACAUGACCUUGAAGGAGUUCAAGAUGGAUUAGUCAAAGAAGGAGUUCUUGCCUGAGUUGUAAGGUGUGAAGUUAAGACUUUAAGCUCGACCAUGGCAGAAGAAAGGGAGAGGACGAAAGUCGUCCCCUAUGCCUUAGCCAUAGGCUCUAUACGAUAUGCCAUGCUACCGCACCUGAUAUAGAUGUGCCUUGCCACGUGUCUGGCAAGGGGGUACGAGAGUGAUCCAAGAAUGGAUCAUUGGACAGCGGUCAAAAUUGUCCUUAAAGGAAUAAGGAAAUAUUUCUCGGUUAUGGUGGUGAUGAAGAGUUCGGCGUAAAGGGUUACGUCGAUGCAAGCUUUAACACCUAUCCAGAUGACUCUGAGUAGCAAACCGGAUACAUAUAGUGGAGCAACCAUUUGGAAUAGCUCCAAGUGGAGCAUAGUAGCAACAUCUACAAUAUGAAAUAGAUAUUUGCGAAGAACACAUGGAUCUGAAUGUUGCAAACCCGUUGACUAAAACCUCUCUCGUAAGCAUAACAUGAUCAAACCCUAGAACUCAUUGAGUGUUAAUCACAUGGUGAUGUGAACUAGAUUAUUGAAUCUAGUAAACUCUUGGGUAUUAGUCACAUUGCGAUGUGAACUAUGAGUGUUGAUCACAUGGUGAUGUGAACUAGAUUAUUGACUCUAGUGCAAGUGGGAGACUGUUGGAAAUAUGCCCUAGAGACAAUAAUAAAAUGGUUAUUAUUAUAUUUCCUUGUUCAUGAUAAUUGUCUAUUAUUCAUGCUAUAAUUGUAUUAACCGGAAACCGUAAUACAUGUGUGAAUACAUAGACCACAACUUGUCCCUAGUAAGCCUCUAGUUGACUAGCUCGUUGAUCUAUAGAUGGUCGUGGUUUCCUGACCAUGGACAUUGGAUGUCGUUGAUAAUGGGAUCACAUCAUUAGGAGAAUGAUGUGAUGGACAAGACCCAAUCCUAAGCAUAGCACAAGAUCGUGUAGUUCGUUUUGCUAGAGCUUUUCUAAUGUCAAGUAUCGUUUCCUUAGACCAUGAGAUUGUGCAACUCCCGGAUAUCGUAGGAAUGCUUUGGGUGUAUCAAACAUCACAACGUAACUGGGUGACUAUAAAGGUGCACUACAGGUGUCUCUGAAAGUGUCUGUUGGGUUGGCACAAAUCGAGACAGGGAUUUGUCACUCCGUGUGACGGAGAGGUAUCUCUGGGCCCACUCGGUAAUGCAUCAUCAUAAUGAGCUCAAUGUGACUAAGAAGUUAGCCAUGGGAUCAUGUGUUACGUAACGAGUAAAAGACUUGCGGGUAACGAGAUUGAACGAGGUAUGGGGAUACCAACGAUCGAAUCUCGGGCAAGUAACAUACCGAUAGACAAAGGGAAUUGAAUACAGGAUUGAUUGAAUCCCCGACAUCGUGGUUCAUCCGAUGAGAUCAUCGUGGAACAUGUGGGAGCCAACAUGGGUAUCCAGAUCCCGCUGUUGGUUAUUGGCUGGAGAACGUCUCGGUCAUGUCUGCAUGGUUCCCGAACCCGUAGGGUCUACACACUUAAGGUUCGGUGACGCUAGAGUUGUUAUGGGAAAUAGUAUGUGGUUACCGAAGGUUGUUCGGAGUCCCGGAUGAGAUUCCGGACAUGACGAGGAACUCUGGAAUGGUCCGGAGGUGAAGAUCGAUAUAUUGGACGAAGAGUAUUGGAGUCCGGAAUUGUUCCGGGGGUACCAGGUGACGACCAGCGUGUCCGAAAGGGGUUUCGGAGGCCUCGGCAAGCGUUGGGGGGGUCCUUAUGGGCCAAGGGGAGGGGGCACAUCAGCCCACUAAGGGGCUGUGCGCCCCUCCCACCCCAUCUCGCGUAACGUGGAGAGGUUGGGGCGCCUCCCCUAGGGGAGCCACCCUUCCCGGCUUGGGGGGCAAUUUUCCUAGGGGUGGGGGCACCCAAACCCAUCUAGGGUUUCCCCUGUGGCCGCCGCCCCUCCCCUAGGGAAACCCUAGGGCGCCUCCUCCUUCCCCCUUCCCCCUAUAUAAAGUGAGGGGGAGAGAGGGCAGCCGCACCCCUUCCCUGGCGCAACCCUCUCCUCCUCCAACUCCGUAGUGCUUAGCGAAGCUCUGCCGGAGAACCACGAGCUCCAUCGCCACCGCGCUGUCGUGCUACUGGAGUUCUCCCUCAACUUCUCCUCUCCCCUUGCUGGAUCAAGAAGGAGGAGACGUCCCCGAGCUGUACGUGUGUUGAACGCGGAGGUGCCGUCCGUUCGGCACUUGGAUCGGAUCUUCCGUGAUUUGAAUCGCCGCGAGUACGACUCCAUCAACCGCGUUCUUGUAACGCUUCCGCUUAGUGAUCUUCAAGGGUAUGAAGAUGCACUCCUUCUCUCUCGUUGCUAGCAUCUCCUAGAUUGAUCUUGGUGACACGUAGGAAAAUUUUGAAUUAUUACUACGUUCCCCAACACCUUCGUGUUCAUGAGUCAUUCUUGCAAACAAUAUGUACAUCAGCAAGAGAUCAUCAUGCACAUGAGUGUGAUGCAUAUACUUACCUUGUGGUCUAGAGCUGGCUUUGGAAGAGAUGAACUUGGGAAAACAGGGUUAGAGAACACAAGAACAUUCUAAUUAAAGCAAUUUCAAAAAACCACAAGAGUACCAAGACUGGGAUGACAUGUAAUGGGUGAGUACUUAUUACUUCAUUUGGAUAUAGUCAUGUCCCCAAAGAUUAAAUGUAUGCAAUGAAUUCCAGAGAUUUUCUUCCUUAUAUAUGGACUCUUUCUCCCCCUAAAUCUGAUAUUGGAUAAUGGGAGAAGGUAGGGUAAGAGAAAAUCAAAGCAAGAAAUUUAGAGCAUGAAAAGAUGCAGACAAUCAUAUAUUGACGUGUAUUUCCCCUCUUAAAGACAUGUGACUUCUCUCCUCAUGUUUUACUAGCAUCUGGGAGAGCUAAUAUGUGCUCUCUCUCUCUCUCUCUCUCUCUCUCUCCUAUGUGAUAAGCUUUGAUGUGCUCUCUCUCCCCCUUUGACAUCAAUUUCCAAGAAGGGAACUUCUGGAGCAUGAGUCAAAUAGGUCUGCUCCUUGAGACACACUACAAAGCAACAUGUAAAUUAAGAUGUGAGUAGAGGAUAAGAAUCAUUGACUGGAGCUGGAGAAGAAUUGAAAUAUGCAAUGACAAAAAGUUUUCUCAGCAGUGCAAUCGGUAACGUCGACCCAUUUUCAUUGGUGACACCGAGUUGGCAGUGUCACAGAUUAUGCAUAUCAGUCGAACCGGGUUGGUCUACGUUGGUUGUACCGAUGAACUGUCUAUAAGAUAUUCUUGUAGUUCGGUCUAGCCGAUAGGCUUGGAUCGGUGAGUCCGAGUUCAAUGCAGAGGAAAUUUUUUGUCAACUUAGCUCACUUGGCAAUUGAAUCUUACAAGGAAUUGCAAGGAAUUUAUUAAAAGAUUUGCAAUGAAUUUAACAUAGAAGAAGUAGAAAAAACAUACAAAAGGAAAGAGAUCUAGAUGAAGAUUUUUUUUAUAAGGGGAACAAGAUAGCAAGAAACAUAUGAAAAACACAAAGUAAGUGAACAAGGAAACACUAGAGACCUUCAUCUAGAAGGGGUCGGCGACAAAGUCAGCUAUGUUAGAGUAUAUUGACUGAGGAGUCAAGUGAUAACACUUGAUCGUAGGUCAUACUCAUCGUUUAAGCUUAAAAUGGGGUUACCAUUUUUCGUUUAAGCAUUUUGAUGUAUUCAUAUCUCGUUGAGUUUCUUUGACCCAUGACUUGGAGUAAAGCUUCUCUAAGAUGGAAUAACAAACCUUGGGUGGUGUUGAUCUUGAUCAUGUAGUCGAACUUGUGUUAGAUGCUCAAGGUUGAUGUAGUCCAUCAAGAGUUGGAAGCACCACUUAUAGUUUGAGUUCAUCUUCCUACAUGGGUUAGUCUUGCAAGGAAAAGCACUUGUGUAUCCAAAAUUACAAUCAUGAAUUUUGAUAUAUAGAAUUUGUCAAAGGAUAUGUUGAGUGGAUUCAUGCUUCCUUGUAUUCAACAUCCAUAUAGUAGAAACUUGAUGAUGUAGAGAUUGCUCAAGAUGUGAGUGACUUGCAAUCUCAUAGAUUUGGGCUCAUCCAAGUACCUACACGGGUUAGAUAACAUGCAAGGGUACAAGUAUAGAUCCAAGAGAUAUGAUUAUCAUCAUAAGAGAAAUAUCAAGGAUUUGUCAAAAAGGCUCAUGCCUUGCAUGUAUCCAAAUGGAGUUUGUACUCCAAGUUUGAGGCAUCAAUGAUAUUCAAUUCACCUCUCAAACGGCAAAAAAACUUUCACAUCAAGCGGUUUGGUGAAUAUAUCCGCCAAUUGCUUAUCGGUAUGAACAUGUUUAAGAUUAAUUUCUCCUUUAGCAACAUAUAUGAUCUCGAAUGAUAUCAUGGCGAACUUCAAUAUGCUUAGUCCAAGAAUGUUGCAUGGGAUUGUGAGCAAUCUUAAUAGCACUUUCAUUAUCACAAAGCAAUGGAACAUGUUUCACAUAUAUCCCAUAAUCCUUAAGAGUUUGGGUCUUCCAAAGUAAUUGAGCACAACAUGAUCCGGCAGCAAUGUAUUCCGCUUCCUCGGUGGAUAAGGAAUCCGAGUUUUGUUUCUUGGAGGACCAAGAUGCAAGAGAUCUACCAAGCAAUUGACAAGUACCCGAAGUGGACUUUCUAUCAACCUUGUCACCGGCAUAGUCCGAGUCGGAGUAGCCAACAAGAUCAAAGGAAGACCUCUUAGGAUACCAAAUGCCAAAGUUUGGUGUAUGAAUUAAGUAUCUCACUAUCCUUUUCACAGCCUUAAGAUGACAUUCUUUAGGGGCCGCUUGAUAUCGUGCACACAUGCACACACUUAGCAUAAUAUCGGGACGGGAGGCACAUAGAUAUAACAAUGAACCAAUCAUAGAGCAGUAAACCUUUUGGUCAACCGGUUUGACAUCCUUAGUCAAGUCAAGAUGUCCACUAGUUGGCAUGGGUAUUUUCAUACCUUUGCUUUCUUGCAUGUUGAACCUCUUGAAUAAGUCCUUGGUAUACUUUGUUUGGGAAACAAAGGUACCCUCCUUAGUUUGCUUGAUUUUUAAACCAAGAAAGAAUUUGAGUUCACUCAGCAUAGACAUCUCAAACUUCUCCGACAUUAGCCUUCCAAACUUUUCACUAAAAUGAGGGUUAGUCGAACCAAAUAUGAUAUCAUCCACAUAAAUUUGGCACACAAAUAAUUCACCAUUAACCCUUUUAGUAAAAAGUGUAGAAUCAAUUUUUUCCAAUUUCAAAAUUUUCAAUAAGAAACUUAGUCAAGCACUUAUACCAUGCUCUAGGAGCUUGUUUAAGACCAUAAAGAGCUUUGUGAAGUUUGUAAACGUGAUUAGGUUUCUUAGGAUUAACAAAGCCGGGAGGUUGUUUAACAUAGACUUCCUCCUCAAUUUCACCAUUUAAAAAAUCACUUUUAAUGUCCAUUUGGUAUAACGUGAUAUCAUGGUGAUUGGCAUAAGCAAGUAAGAUGUGUAUGGACUCAAGUCUAGCAACGGGGGCAUAUGUCUCACCAUACUCCAUACCUUCGACUUGAGUGUAGCCUUGGGCGACGAGACAGGCCUUGCUGCGUACAACUUGUCCAUCCUCAGCUUGCUUAUUCCAAAACACCCACUUGGUUCCAACGACAUUUUGGUUGUUGUCCAGCUUUUCUACUAAAGUCCACACUUGAUUCCUCUCGAAACUGUGUAGCUCUUCAUGCAUGGCGUUCACCCAAAAUCCGGAUCAUCAAGAGCUUCUUCAACCUUCAUAGGUUCAAUACUAGAAAUGAAUGAGUAAUGUUCACAAAAGUUAGCCAAACGAGUUUUAGAGCGAGUAAUUCUCCCGGUUUGAAUAUCAUCAAAGAUUUGUUCAACGGGAUGGUCUCUUGAGACUCUUGCUCUAACUCGUGAGAGCUUUUUUUUGGGUCGGGGUGGAAUAUCCUCUUCAUUGUCUUCUUCUUCUUGUUGUUCUUCUUCAUUGUUGUUGGCGUUGUUGUUCUCUUGUGGAGGUGGAGAAGGGGGUCGAUGAGGUUCAUCUUGUUGUACUUCCUCAUUUCCUUCGUCUUGACGUGUUCCACUUGUGGAUGCCUCCAAGUCAACUUGUGGUUCACCUUGUCAUGAAGUUGAGGCUUCCACUUGAACGGACGAGGUACUCUCCUUCACCUCCGUUGGGCGAAUCUUGCCAAUAGACAAGUCUUGAAUUGCUUCCGAGGGAUUAUUAUCUCCUACAUCAAUUGGCAAUUGCUCCACUUGCAAGCUGUUAGAUUCAUCAAACUUCACAUCUACCGUCUCUUCAACCUUUCGGUUGAAAUUGUUGUAGACACGGUAAGUGUGAGAGUCUGAGCCAUAACCGAGUAGGAAACCUUCAUGAGAUUUAGGGGCAAAUUUCGAAUGACGAUGCUUAUCAAGAAUAUAACACUUUGAACCAAAUUCUUGAAAGUAUCUAACUUGGGGUUUAUUAUCGGUGAGAAGCUCAUAUGUCGUCUUGCCGAGAAGCUUGUGAAGAUAUAGUCGAUUUGUUGCAUGACAAGCUGUCUCAACCGCUUCCGCCCAAAAGUGUUUUGGCGUCUUGUAUUCAUCAAGCAUCAUUCUCGCCAUCUCAAUAAGUGUUCGUUCUUCCUCUCAGUAACUCCAUUUUGUUGAGGUGUGUCAUAGCCGAGAACUCAUGUGAGAUCCCUUCUUCGUCAAGAAAGGUAUCCACAUUGGCGUUCUUGAACUCCGUUCCAUUGUCGCUAUGAACCUUCUUGAUCUUCACUUCAAAUUGAUUCUGGCCUUCCUAUAGCGAAGUUCUUGAAGAUCUUUUUGACCUGCGAUUUAUGAUCAAGAAAGAACACCCACGUAAAUCUUGAAAAAUCAUCAACAAUGACCAAUACGAACGAGUUACCACCAAGACUCUUGUAGGCGUUGGGACCAAAAAGAUCCAUAUGAAGUAGCUCGAGUGGUCUUCUCGUGGUCAUGAUGUUCUUCACGGGAUGACUUCCCCCAACUUGUUUUCUUGCUUGACAAGCACUGCAAAGUCUAUCCUUGUCAAAUAUGACAUCUCUAACACCAAGGAUAUGAUCACCUUUAAUAAGCUUAUCAAGAUUUCACAUGCCCACGUGUCCUAAGCUUCUAUGCCAUAACCAACCUUUAGAAGAUUUAGCAAUUAGGCAAGUUCUAGGUUGAGCUCUUUUAGUGAAAUCAAUAAUGUAUAGAUCACCUCUACGUAUACCGGUAAAGAUCAUAUUAUGAUUAUCUCUUCGAAACACUUGGCAAUCUACUUCAGUGAAUAGAACAUUGAAACGAAAUCGAAAGUAAAUUGUAGCCAAGAGAUUCAACGAGCAUAACAUUUUGGAUGGAGCUGUCAUGUGAGAUGGCCACCUUACCAAGGCCAACUACCUUACCCUUUGAGUUGUCACCAAAAGUGACAUACUUUCGAGGACCAUUAUUUUCAGCAAGCUCACGAAACAUGUCCUUGUCUCCGGCCAUGUGAUCGAUACAUCCAUUAUCAAGAACCCAUUCCUUUCCUCCAGCCAUGUAACCACGAAGGUUAGACAUAAGACCAAAAUGUCUCAUUAACUCAUCAAGAUCAAAGUCACUAUCAUCAUCCUCGUCAUAAUAUCCAUGUUCAACAUCGUCUUAUGAUUGAUCAUCACCUAGAGAGAGUGAUUCAUUAGAUUUAUGACCAUGACAAUGUGCAUCUUUAUGAAUUCUAAUGAAUUGAGAAAUGAUGAUACUAAUGACUCCAACAUCUCCUUUGGCACGCAUGAGAUCACGAUGCUCAAAUAGACAAUCACCAAAUUUAGGAUCACUAGGAUUCAUUUUAUGAAAAGCAAUGGACUUUUGAAGAAUCUCAUCUAGAUUAUUCAAGGAAUGGUUUGGGAAGCGCUCCUCAAGGUAUCUCCAUAUAGUAUAAGCACAUUUAAAUGUAGGCAAGCAUACAGGCAAAUUUCUAGGCAAUCCUCUAAUGAUAAGAUCAAUAGCUCUAAGAUUGCGAGUCAUGUCAAGAUACUCAUCGGGGGUAGGAUGCAAGGGAUCAAUAGGAGGCGCACAAGAGAUAGUAAUAUACUUGUUCAAAUUAUAUUCAUUGAAAAUCUCAAGCAUCUCAUUUUUUCAAGCACUAUAAAACUCUCAAUCAAGAAUAGGCACUCUACGUCUAAUACUCUCAAUCAUAGACCCAUCCAUCUUUCCCCAAUGGUGAUUAAACCAAAGUAAUGGAGACCAAUGCUCUGAUACCAAUUGAAAGGAUCGAGAAGAGGUGUCUAGAGGGGGGGUGAUUAGACCUUCAACAAGCAAAAGUAGCAUUUUUUAAGUUCUUCAAGUUGAGGUGGAGUUUUAGCACAAGUUUAAGCAUUCACAAUACAUUUCAAGCAAGCAUGGCAAGAGUAUAAGCAGAAGAAAGAGUAAAGCAUGCAAGUUGCAAGAAAGUAAAGGGAUGGGAUUGGAGUGUGCAAAUGCAAUGAAGCCACGGAGAUAUUUGGCGUGGUUCCGAUAGGUCGUGCUAUCGUGCGUCCACGUUGAUGGAGACUUCAACCCACGAAGGGUAACGGUUGUGCGAGUCCAUCGAGGGCCCCACCCAUGAAGGGUCCACGAAGAAGCAACCUUGUCUAUCCCACCAUGUCCAUCGCCCACGAAGGACUUGCCUCACUCAGGUAGAUCUUCACGAAGUAGGCGAUCUCCUUGCCCUUACAAACUCAUUAGUUCAACUCCACAAUCUUGUCGGAGGCUCCCAAGUGAUACCUAACCAAUCCGUGAGACACCACUCUCCAAAAGGUAAUAGAUGGUGUGAUGAUGAUGAACUCCUUGCUCUUGUGCUUCAAAUGAUAGUCUCCCCAACACUCAACUCUCUCUCACAAAUUUGGCUAUGGUGGAAAGAUGAUUUGAGUGGAAAGCAAUUUGGGAAAGGCUAGAGAUCAAGAUUCUUGUGGUUGGAUUGGAAUGUCUUGGUCUCAACACAUGAGUAGGUGGUUCUCUCUAAGAAGAUGAGUAGUGGAAGUGUAGGCACAUUCUGAUGGCUCUCUCUUGAAUGGAGAAGGGGUGGAGGGGUAUAUAUAGCCUCCAUACAAAAUCCAACCAUUACACACAUUUGACCCAACUCGUUGGGACCGAAUAGAAGAACUCGGUGAGACCGAAUUAGUUCAAAAUGUGAAAGUUAGGAAUCUCGGUGGGACCGACAUGAUCAACUCGGUGGGACCGAUGUGCUAGGGUUAGGGAAAUACCUCAUCUCGGUGAGACCGAUUUCACCAAAGAGCAAAUAGAGAGUCAAGCAAACUCGGUGGGACCGAUUGCACAUUUCGGUGAGACCAAAAUAAUUAUAACAGGUACCAGAGAGUUUGCAAGGCCAUCUCGGUGAGACCGAGAUCCCGAUCGGUGAGACCGAAUUGUCUAGGGUUUCUGGCAGUGGCUAGGUCAAAUGAACUCGGUGGCGUCGGAUAGAUCAAAUCGGUGGGCACGAGUUUGACUUUAGGUUUUGGACAUAUGUGGAAAUGAGAAAGUGGCUGAGGGUUUUGGAGCAAUACCAUUAAGCACUAUGAGCAAGUAGACCAUUAAGCAAUACCUCAUCCCCUUUUAAUAGUAUUGGUUUUUCUAUGGACUCAAUGUGAUCUUGGAUCACUAAAAUGAAAAUGAAGAGUCUUGAGCAUUUGCCAAUCUUUGUCCUUAGCAUUUUGAAGGGGUUCCACAUCCUCUUGUCCUUGCCACACCAUUGUUGAACUCAUCCGAAAUAUACUAGAUAAAAGUAUUAGUCCAACAAGAGAUAUGUUGAUAUUAAUUAUCAAAAUCACCCAAGGAGCACUUGUGCUUUCAUUGGUGGAACAGCGUGAGGGGAAACCACUAGUUCAACAGGUAGAUAUUCCAGAAACUAUCGGUGGUAUUGUAUCAGUUUCUUAGCUUCUGGUACUAGUUUGUUCUGUGGACUUCUGAUAGGUUGAUGCUACAUUUUUUUGAGACUUUUGAUACUGCAAUGUUUUUGUGGCAGUAAUUUUCAUUAUAUGGCUCGGAUUUUCUUGAGACUUUUGAUAAGCUUGAUGUGUUUUUGCCUUUUCUAUUUCACAUUGCAUCACAAACUUAAGUAGAUGCAGGUUCAAGCAGAGCAAACAAUAUUUUGUUUUCCACAUUAACUAGAUACAUUUCUUGCUAUAAAAUGGAUACACCGUCAUGUUCUACUUUGCUUCUGUUAGCCCAUGGGAAAACUUAUUGAAAUAAGCUUUUGUUGCUUCAUGCUAAUAAUCUGAGUAAGCAAAAGAAUGGGAGCGGCUAGAUGUCAGGUGACUGAAUCUAAAAUUUUGGGUCAGACACUUUUUUCUUCUUUAACAACUAGCUAACCACAGACGGGAGCUACUCGAGGGAAAAAGCAGCCGUGGUGCCCAACCCAUGUGGAAAAACUUAUACUGUCAAUAUGUGCAGUCGGACACUGCAUUAGUACGUACAACACUGGCUCGCUUCGUCCCUCAUGUCUUCGCAUGCAACACUGAAUAUCCUUCGCUUACACCAAUGAUCUGUCAGGUCGGCUAGUAUUAGCUAGUUAGCUCGAAUCAGCUGAUCAGUCCGACAUGCAACUGCAAGACCCUAUUAUCAGCUAAACUACACUAGCAAGCAACACUCCACAGGCACAGGCAAGACUAUUUUUUCUGUGUUCUCCUCUAGGGUGGCCCGCCCAAUUUUAUUUUCCAUUAUCCACCACUGCGGCUAACUACUCUACAUAAAAUGAAUGAUUAAUGCAUGCGUACAACAGCUCGAAGUGUACGUGUGUAAGCCAUCAAAGAAAUGAAUAAAGCACAACCUACUAUACAGAUACACGCAUGUGCUAAAAAAUCAUAUCUAAAUUGUAUAAUCUCUCAACUUUUUGCCACAUCCUGCAAUCGAAUGCAAUAGAGCAUGAAAAUAACCACCGUCCAACAAAAAAGGGAAGUUUUCCAAGAAUAAUGAGCUAGUGGCAUUGGUAUUACCCUUCAAAAAAAGGAAAGAAAAGGCAAAUAAAAUAAAGAAAAAAAUUGCACAUAGUUUACACAGAAAUUGUGGAUAUUCAUAAUAUGCAAGAAUAAGCAUAUAAUAAUGAAAGUUUCAAAAGAAAGUUUUCUAAGAAGGAAUGAAUUUGUGGCAUGGUGUUACCCUUUAAAAGAAAGAAGAGUGUCAAACAAAGAAUUAAAAAAUGCACACAAUAUACAAAAAAAUUGUGCUUUCAAAUAUAUGCGAGAAUAAGCACAUAAUAGUGGAUUGUUUCUUAGAAAAUUGCACUUUUAAAAAUAAGCACACAAUAGUGGAUUUUUUUGCAGAAACAAUAUUCAUAAGAAGAAUUGAUUAGAGGCAUUGGUAUUACUCUUAAAGAAGAAACAAAAUGAAACAAAGCUAAAAAAAUCAAAUAAUUAAAUAUUCUAAGAAAUAAUGAAUUAGUAGCAUUGGUAUUACCUUUUAAGAAGAAAGAAAAUGAAAUAAGAACUAAAACACAAAAAAUACAAUCUAAAACAAACAACGACAAAAAUUGCACCCAAUAUACACAAAAAUUGCGCUUUUAAAAAAUAUGAAAGAAUAUGCAUAUAAUAGUGGAAUUUUCUUAAAAAAGGAAGAACGAAUUUCUAACAUUGGUAUUAUCUUUGAAGAAGAAAGGAACGGGACAAAAACUAAAAUAAAAUCAAGAUAAUGAAGUUUCAUAAGAAAGAAUGGAUUAGUGGCUUUGGUAAUACCCUUAAAGCAGAAAGCAAAUGAAACAAAAAACUAAAACAAUAAAAUAUGAAAUUUUCUAAGAAAGAAUAAAUUAAUGGCUUUGGUAUUACCCUUUAAAAACAAAUAAAAUCAAAUAAAAACUAAAGCGUAAUAAAAUAAUGAAGUGUUUUAAGGAUGAAUGAACUAGUGGCAUUGGUAUUUACCCUUUAAGUAGAAAGAAAAGUAAAAAAGAAAUGAAAAUCUGCACAAAAUAUACACUAAAAUUGCGCAUAUUGAAAAUAUGCAAGAAUAAGCAUACAAUAGUGCAAUUAUGGCAAACAAGAAGUUUUCUAAGAAGCAAAGAAUUAGUGGCAUUGGUGUUACCCUUAAAGAAGAAAGAAAAAUAAAAUAAAAACUAUAAUAAAAUCAAAACAAUAAAUUUUCAUAAGAAAGAAUUAAUUAGUGGCAUAGUUAUUACCCUUUGGGAGGAAAGAAAAUUAAGAAAAACUUACACACAACUUUACACUAAUUUGCACUUUUUAUAAUAUGCAAAGAAUAAUUAUAUACUAGUGCAGUUUUUGCACAUAUUAUAUAGUAUUUAUGUACAUACAUUUACACCCAACCAACAUCCUAAAAAUACCCACAAAAUAAAAUUUUAAAACCGACUAAUAAAGAAAAAUAAAAAAGAAAAGCAAAAAAACAAAUAGAAAUAGAAAAAAAGAUAGACAAAAACAGAAGAAGAUAGAGGAAGGCUGGGUCGUCAUACGGGCUGAUGGUGUUCAGCCUGCUAAGGUUUGACUCGCCCAAAACACUGGUCAGUUGAAUUCCCAGCCCAAAUCAGACACAACACACAACAGAAUAAAAAAGGAAGCACGGGUCUUGAAGCAGCAAUCAACGGUCAGAAAAAUCGACUGACCCUAAUUCAAUUUUCAGGCAACUUACAUAUAGCUAAAGUGCAAAAGAAUUUACUAGCAUCGUUACAGUGAAGAUUCCUAGGAGUAUUUUUAUUCAAAUAAGCUUUUACUGUUUCAUUCCAGCGAAUACUUUAUUCAAGCAAUUCUUCACUGGCACGUUACAAUGGAGAAUCCUAGGAGUAAACCCAAGUUCUCCAUUAGCACUUGUGGAGCCCAAAUGUCAAAAUAUUUGAAUCUCAGAACCGAAGCUAACUUCAUGCUGUGUGUGUUGCCAUGCGAUAUAUGCAUUGAGUUACUGACAUCUUGAUCUGCUGGGGAACAAAAAGGGUAUAUCAAUGGUGCAGUCCUGGCUAGGAGGAAUCCAUUUGAUCCUGUGAUAACUCCAUUUGGUGGUGCCCCUGUGAGUGAGUGUGCGCUACCUCGGCUCUAUAAGGCAGACUAUUACACCUUGCAGAGCUUGCUGCAGGAGAAAGCAACGAGCCAGAUUGUUGCUCAGAUGUGAAGGACUUCAGGGUCGGCAGGUAUGGCUACGGCAGCGUCAAGUUUGAUGGAGAAACCGAUGUGAGGAAGCUCGACAUCGCAUCCAUCGUGGAGUUCAAGCACCGUGAGGUCCUUGUCUACACAGAUGAGAUCAAGAGACCACCUGUGGCGCAGGAGCUCAACAAGCCUGCAGAGAUCACACUCCUGAAUGUGAAGUGCGUCGAUAAGAAGACCGGGUUGCAGUUGACGGAGGGUUCAGGGUCAAGCACUUUUAGUCGCAAGGCUCUAUGGCUAUGUAAAAAAUACUCUGUUCCUGCAUCUUAUAUUUGUUAGAGUCAGAAACAACAAUUUUAGAUCUGUGGCUGAUUGUUCGUCGUUGAUCCACAAGUUCAUCUUGGUUCGUUUCCUUUGCCAUUCACGGCCUCUAGAACGCACAUAUAUGUACGAACAAGUCCAACAGAAGUCAUUCCUAUGUAGGAUGGCAAUUCCUUUGUCAUCCUAGGGACAAUUCAAAAACGAAUCCAGAAGCGGCCAAACAAGCUAAAGAGCAAAAGCAAGGGAAAACAUAAGUAAAGCAGAUGCAAGCAAUAGCAGCGAAUAUAGAAAUAUAAUAACUAACACAUAUUGUAGAACCAACAAUAACGAACUGUUCCACGAGUACCACAAACAGCUAACCGCGCUUAAUGUUUGGCCAGCCAAAAGACAAAACCGAUACAGCUAAAACGUGCCAAAACCAUCCAACGUCGACACUAAGAUAAAAACAACUAGGCGGUGCAGGGCAUGGACAUCUGACGACGACAGCCGACAGGCAGCCUUGGCGCUUAGUCGACCUCCUCCAUCUUGCUCUCGCCGGCGUCGUCCUCCAGGGGCGGCAUGUCGGUGUCGUUCUCUGGCGCCUCGUCAUCCUCAUCAAUGCUCAGGCCAAGCUUGAGCAUGCGGUGGAUCCUGGUGCCGAAGGUGUUGGGGUCCUCCAGGCUGAAGCCGGAGGUGAGCAGGGAGGUCUCGAAGAGCAGCAUCACGAGGUCCUUGACAGACUUGUCGUUCUUGUCGGCAUCGGCACGCUUACGGAGCUCGUCCAUGAUGGCGUUCUCAGGGUUGAUCUCCAUGGUCUUCUUGCUCGACAUGUAGCCAGCCAUGCUCGAGUCCCUUAAGGCCUGGGCCUUCAUGAUCCUCUCCAUGUUGGCGGUCCACCCAUAUUCGCCAGUCACCAGACAGCAAGGGGAGUCCACCACACGGUCAGAGACGAUAACCUUCUCAACCUUGUCGCCCAGCACCUCCUUGAUGACCUUGCACAGCCCCUCAAACUUCUCCUUGAGCUCCUCCUGCUUCUUCUUCUCGUCCUCGCUCUCAUCAAGCUUCAGACCCUCCUUGGUGGCAGAGACAAGCUUCUUGCCCUCAAACUCCUUGAGCUGACCAAUGGCAUACUCAUCAAUGGCGUCAACCAUGUAGAUGACCUCAUAGCCCUUCUUCUUCAGCUUCUCAAGGAAGGGAGAGUUCUCCACAGCCUUCUUGCUCUCACCAGUGAUGUAGUAGAUCUCGUUCUGUCCCUCCUUCAUCCUGGUCACAUAGUCCUUGAGGCUCGUCAGCUCAUCACCACUCUUGGUGGAGUGGUACCUCAGAAGCUCAGCAAUCUUGGUCCUGUUCUGGGAGUCCUCGUGGAUGCCAAGCUUGAGGUUCUUGGAGAAGGCCUCGUAGAACUUGUUGUAGUCCUCCUUGUUCUCAGCAAUCUCAAAGAAGAGCUCAAUGCACUUCUUGACAAGGUUCUUCCUGAUGACCUUGAGGAUCUUGUUCUGUUGGAGAGUCUCACGGGAGAUGUUCAGGGGAAGGUCCUCUGAAUCAACAAUGCCCUUGACAAAGCUCAGGUACUCAGGGAUCAACUCCUCACAGUUAUCCAUGAUGAAGACACGGCGCACGUACAGCUUGAUGUUGUUGGCCUUCUUCUUGUUGUCGAAGAGGUCGAAGGGGGCCCUCUUGGGCACAAACAGGACAGCCUUGAACUCAAGCUGACCCUCAACAGAGAAGUGCUUGACAGCCAAAUGCUCCUCCCAGUCAUUGGUCAAGCUCUUGUAGAAAGCAGCGUACUCUUCCUUGUUGAUCUCCUCUGGCUUCCUCAUCCAGAUCGGCUUCUGCUUGUUGACCAAGUUCCACUCGUGAGAGACUUCCUUGAUCUUCUUUUUCUUCUUUUCCUUCUCUUCCUUCUCCUCAUCAACAUCCUCAACCUUGCCCUCCUCAGUAUCCUUCUUCUCCUCCUCAUCUUCAUCAUCAGAAAUUUCCUUCUCGGUGGUCUUCUCAGUCCACAGGGAGAUGGGGUAGCUGAUAAACUCAGAGUGCUUCUUAACUAGAUCCUUGAUGCGGCGCUCCUCAAGGUAUUCCAUCUGAAAGCAAAUUGUAACAAAUCAGGCAAUGAACAGAAAGCAUGUGCAAACAAAUACUGUACACAAAAAAGAUAUAAAGAACAGCCAAACAUACAUCAAUACAGAAUCAAAAAUAAACUAGUAGAAAUUCCAUGCAGAUAUGUAAUUCCAUAAUACAGUAUUGCAAUUCAAACUGACAUAAUGUUUUAUUGCAGUAAUUAAAAGAAGGUCAAAUCAAUAAGUACGAGUCAAUCCAUGCAUUGCUUACAUAUGAGAGCAUUAGAAUGCAGACAACAUAAGCUCAUCAUCAAUUUAAUGAUUUCACAGUCAAAUUUAAAGUAAUAAUACUACCAAUCAUGGUUAAAAUGUUGGAAAGUCAAUCAUAUUUAUACAGGCUACAUAUCAACCAGCACAGAUCUUAAUCGAGCUCAGUCCAGGCAUGAUAAAAUUACUGGUAUCAAAUUAACACAGAACUAUCCCAAUUCUAACAGCAAGCUGGUUAAGCAGUGCAGCCUCCCAGAUAAGCAUACACAACUAAUCACAUUACCAUCAAAUUUCCGCAUAGUAGAGGCAACAGAGUUUUCUCAUGCAGUGCAGAACUAUUGGACACAAAAACAUACAGUUUAGAUCAAGAUAAGCCUAUCUACCAGACCGUUGUAAGAACAAAUCACAUCAACACAUGGUCAGUAAGCCAAUCAUCACAGUUUAAAAGGCUUGGACUACAUAGACAAGUAGAUCACAGAACCGACAGGAUUAAGCUUAUGCAGUGCAGACAUAGAUGCCACAAAAUCAUACAGUUCAGAUCGGGAACAAGUCAAACAAGCAACCUACUAAUACAGCUACACUAACCACAGAACCUACAUCAAGACAUGAAGAGUAAAUCAAUCACAGCAUAGGAGGCUUGGACUGCAUACCUGGUCGUCCUUGAGGUAGAGGACCAUCUUGGUACCCCUGCCGAGCUGCUCCCCAGACGUAUCACGAGUGACGGUGAAGGAGCCACCGGCCUGGGACUCCCACACGUACUGCUCGUCGUCGUUGUGCUUGGUGGUGACGACAACCCUCUCGGCGACGAGGUAGGCGGAGUAGAAACCGACACCGAACUGCCCAAUCAUGGACACGUCGGCGCCGGCGGCGAGGGCCUCCAUGAACUCCUUGGUCCCCGACCUGGCGAUGGUCCCGAGGUUGUUGACGAGGUCGGACUUGGUCAUCCCAAUGCCGCUGUCAACGAUCGUGAGCGUGUUGGUCGCCUUGUCGGGGAUGAUGUGGAUGAAGAGCUCGGGCUGCGCGUCUAGCUUGCUCUUGUCCGUGAGGCUCUCGAACCUGAUCUUGUCCAAGGCCUGCCAAAAUCACACCAGUAAACACACCACGUCAGCCCAGGGACACAGAUCUGAAACGCAUCUCGCACGCCACGAAUCAGACCGCGGGUCAACGGAUCUGGCUCGACGGAAUCUAAACCCUAGCGUAGGCCGCAAAUCGACCAUGCGCUCGGACGGAUUCGUACUCGCGGAUCACGGGGUAAAAAUAGAGGGAUGAGAAGGGGAUCCGGGGGGCGCUUACAUCGGAGGAGUUGGAGAUGAGCUCGCGGAGGAAGAUCUCCUUGUUGGAGUAGAAGGUGUUGAUGAUGAGCGAGAGGAGCUGGUUGAUCUCGGCCUGGAAGGCGAAGGUCUCGGUCUCCGUCGCCAUGGCUGUGCGCGUCCCUGAGCUGCUCGAGGCGGGGCGGGGAGCGGAGGAGAAGCGUGCGGGAGGCGGCUAGGGUUAGGAAGGGUUUUGAGAGGACGAGAGGCCGUGGGGGUGGGAGCCUAUUUAUGUGUGGUCUCGCGGUUCUCGAAGGUUCUACAUGGGCCUGGAAGCCGGGCGAGGCCGGCGCGCGCACGUUGACGAGUCGCUGCCGGUGGUUGCUCGUGGGCUUCGCGGUUAGGGUUGCGGUGAGUUUUUGGAAUGGUCGUCGGCCUUUUGGUCCUUCGUGGCCCACCGGGACCGGGGUUUUCCAUUUUAGCCUGUCGAUGACAGAGACCCGUUUGGUAUCUUUGGACUUGGUUUUGGAAGGAAAGACGAGAGUUUAGGUGGAUUCCAAACCAGUUGAUUAUAGGUGUCUUCUGCAGAGGAAAGGAAUUACAAUUCCUUAUUACAAAUCCAUGUGGUUCUCCUCAGGUGCGAGCAAAUACUCCUAGCUUAUAGGUUACUCAGUUUUAAACAACCGGUAAAAGUGUUGUUGUUUUUUAUGAAUUGUUAUUAAAAAUGGAAAAACAAAUUUAAAAUUGUUUUUAAGUCGAACAUGUUGAAACCCUCUUACAUAUACGAUUUAUACAAUAUAGAACACUACUCGUGCGCUUGUGCUAAACCCUUUGUUGUCGAGAGAGCUAUGUUGCACUCAAAAAUACUCUUAUGGUCCCGAGCUCAUUUGAUCUCGGGACGAACAGUAAAAUCCAAGAAUAAUGAAAAUAAAUUCAAAAUCUCUAAAAUUGCGACAAAUGUUGUCAAUGCUUGCAAAGUUUCAUUGUGAAUUGACAUUUGUGGUCGUGGCAAAUAAACAAAAUCUUCGCUCCAAAAUACUUUUGAAAAAUAACAUUUUUGGAGCACCGAUUGUUUGCCACGACUUCUACAAAUGGCAUUUCACUAUGAAACUUGGUAAGCAUAGACAACAUUUGUCAAUCUUUGCCACACAAAAAAACAGAACUUUUUAAAAAAUAAUUAUUUUUGAAUUUACUGUUCACCCGAGCUCAUAUGAGCUCGAGCUAAGAAACUCCAUGUCAUGUUGCACCCUUCUUUUUCUUUAAGAUUUGCAUGGGAACCCGCUACUAUACAAAUAGAAACCCAAAAACUCGUACAUGAUAACCAGGGCUGGCCCUGGGGAGGGGCAGGGGCGUCCGCCCCAGGCCCCCAAAAUCUAGGCGGGGCUCGUUCGCAGGUAGGCCAUGGCCUAGGGACGCAACAGGUAAAUCUCAUAUCAUUAAUGUUCAAAUUCAGCUGGCAGCCCCGCAAGCGGAUACUCAAAAAAACUGACAGCCCCGCACGCAACAGCCGACGAGUAUUCCUCUUUUUCCUUGAGACCGCAAGUACUGAACAUCAAUCACGCCAAGAUAUCAGGCCUUGCCCAGCGGCAUGACCAUCAUUGACAGAUAGUAGCGCACGAUGCCCACGCCUCGUUUUUUCCGUCAUACACACCAGCCGCCAACACCCAAUUCCAGUCCCCAACACGGCAAGACCAUGGCCUUCGAUGCCUCAAUGGCAGCGAUGGAGGAGCACGCCUGUAGAUUCAUGGCCUUCGAUGCCGCAACGGCGGCGAUGGAGGAGCACGCCUGGUAAGUAACAACGUGCUCUUUUUAUCAACGCAACCUUUUUGAUUGAAUCCUUUGGGAUUACAUGUAUUUUGAGAUUUCUACACUUGCCCCAGCUGGAGAAAUUGUAGUCUUCGUAAUCAGGAGGAUUCUUCACUUAGCAUUACAAAAUCAACAGGUAUUAUAGUUUGACUCUGAAAUAUAAAUUCUGGGCACUUUUGACUCUAGUAGCAACUCAAGUGUUGGAAAUAUAACCUAGAGGCUAGAGGCAAUAAUAAAUUGGUUAUUAUCAUAUUUCCCGUCCAUGAAUUUUUUUAUUAUUAAUGCUAGAAUUGUAUUGACCGAAAAUUUAAAUACAUGUGUGAAUACAUAAACUACACCAUGUCCCUAGUAAGUCUCUACUAGACUAGCUCAUUGAUAAAAAAUGGUUAAGGUCUCCUAACCAUGGACGUGAGUUGUCAUUUGAUAACGGGAUCACAUCAUUAGGAGAAUGAUGUGAUGGACAAGACCCAACCGUAAGCUUAACAUAUGAUCGUAUCACUUUAAUUUUUGCUUCAGCUUUCUUCAUGUCAAGUAUCUACUCCUAAGACCAUGAGAUCAUGCAACUCUCAGAUACUGGAGGAAUGCCUUGUGUGCAAUCAAACGUCACUUCGUAAUUGGGUGAUCAUAAAGGUGCUCUACAUGUAUCUCUGAAGGUGUCUGUUGGGUUGGCAUUGAUCGAGACUGGGAUUUGUCACUCUGUAUGAUAGACAGAUAUCUCUGGGCCCUCUUGGUAAUACAACAUCAUUAAGAGUUUGCAAGUAAUGUGGCUAAUGAGUUAGUCACGGGGUCUUGCAUUACGGAACGAGUAAAGAGACUUGUCGGCAACGAGAUUGAACUAGGUAUGGAGAUACCGAUUACCGAAUCUCGGGCAAGUAACAUAUCGCCAAACAAAGGGAAUUGCAUACGGGAUUAACCGAAUCCUCAACAUCGUAGUUCAACCGAUAAAAGAUCUUCGUGGAAUAUGUAGGAACCAAUAUGGGCAUCCAGAUCCCGCUAUUGGUUAUUGACCGGAGAGGUGUCUCGGUCAUGUCUACAUGAUGCUCGAACCCGCAGGGUCCGCAUGCUUAAUGUUCGGUGACGCUAGAGUAGUAUUGGGAUAUGUACGUUUGUGACCAAAUGUUGUUCGGAGUCCCGGAUGAGGUCCCGGACGUCACGAGGAGCUCCAGAAUGGUCAGGCGGUAAAUAUUUAUAGAUAGGAAGUCCUAUUUUGGUCGCUAGAAAAGUUUCGAGCAUUAUCAGUAUUGUACCGGGAGUGCUGAAAGGGGUCCGGGGGUCCACCGGGGGGAUUCCACCUGUCUCGGGGGCCCACAUGGGCUGUAGGGGGUGUGCCUUGGCCUAUAUGGGCCAGGUGCACCAGCCCCAAGAGGCCCAUGCACCGAGAGGGGAGGAGGAAGAGUCCUAAAGGGGAAGGCACCCCUAGGUGCCUAGUGGAGGGAGGAAACUUCCCUAGGCCAUCGCCCCCUCCUUGGAGGAGGGUCUAGGGCUGCACCCCAGCCCUCCCCCUUGCCUCCUAUAUAUAAUGGGGGAGAGGGAGGGGUUGAACACACCAGUUCCCACGCCCUGGCGGCAGCCCUACCUCUCCCAUAACAACGUUUUCUCCUCAGAUUGGUUCCGACAGCGUUUGGCGAAGCCCUGCUGGCACUGCACCACCACCAUCUCCACCACGCCAUCGUGCUGGUUGAGAUCCCAUCUACUUCUCCUUACUUGCUGGAUCAAGGAGGAGGAGACGUCACCGAGCCGCACAUGUGCUGAACGUGGAGGUGUCGUCCGUUCGGCGCUAGAUCAGAUUGGAUCGCGAUCGGAUCGCGAAGAGUACGACUACAUCAACCGCGUUAUACGCUUCCGCUUUCGGUCUACAAGGGUAUGUAGACACACUCCCCUCUUGUUGCUAUGCAUAUCCUAGAUUAGAUCUUGGGUGUUCGUAGGAAUUUUUUUGAUUUUCAUGCUUCGUUCCCCAUCAGUGGCAUCAUGAGCUAGGUCUAUGUGUAGAUGUAUAUGCACGAGUAUAGCACAAAGAAGUUGUGAGCGUUGAUGUUCAGAUUGCAUACUGAUACGUCCAUUUUGCAUCAUGUUUACCUACUGUUAUUUAUGAUGUUUCUAUGCAUAAUAAUGCUUUUUGGAGUAAUUCUAAUGCCUUUUCUCUCAUAAUAUGCAAGGUACACACAAAGAGGGAGAAUUUCGGCAGUUGGAAAUCUGGACCUGGAAAAGCUACAUCAGGCCACCUAUUCUGCACAACUCCAAAUGAGCUGAAACUUCACGGGGAAUUUUUAUGGAAUAAAUAAGAAAUAUUGGAGCAAAUAACUACCGAAGGGGGGCCACCUGGUGAGCACAAGACACCAGGGCGCGCCUGACACCCCAGGCGCGCCCUGGUGGGUUGUGCUCAGCCCAGCCCACCUUUGGUGCCCAUCUUCUGGUAUAUAAGUCAUUUUGACCUAGAAAAAAUAAGGGGAGGACUUUCGGGACGGAGCACCGCCGUCUCGAGGCGGAACUUGGGCAGGAGCACUUUUGCCCUCCGACGGAGCGAUUCCGCCGGGGGAACUUCCCUCCCGAAAGGGAAAUCAUCGUCGUCAUCAUCACCAACAACUCUCCCAUCUUAAGGAGGGAAAUCUCCAUCAACAUCUUCAACAUCACCAUCUCCUCUCAAACCUUAGUUCAUCUCUUGUAUUCAAUCUUCGUACCGGAACUAUAGAUUGGUGCUUGUGGGUGACUAGUAGUGUUGAUUACAUCUUGUAGUUGAUUACUAUAUGGUUUAUUUGGUGGAAGAUUAUAUGUUCAGAUCCAAUAUGCUAUUUAAUACCCCCUCUGAUCUUGAGCAUGUUUAUCACUUGUGAGUAGUUACUUUUGUUCUUAAGGACACAGAAGAAAUCUUGUUGCAAGUAAUCAUGUGAACUUGAUAUGUGUUCGAUAUUUUGAUAGUAUGUAUGUUAUGAUUCCCUUAGUGGUGUCAUGUGAACGUCGACUACAUGACACUUCACCAUAUUUGUGUUGGGGAACGCGGUACUUCAAAAAAUUUACCUACGACCACGCAAGAUCUAUCUAGGAGAUGCAUAGCAACGAGCGGGGAGACGCUACUAGGAAAAUGCUUAUACACAGUAGCUUAGUAGUAGUGCUGUAAAAUAGUAACCGCUGUUGUUAAUUAGCAGUAGCGCUUUUCCUAGAAAGCGCUACUAGUAUCCCCAUAGUAGUAGCGCUGGGAAACAAAAACACGCUACUACUAUGAGGGACCAGACGAGGCCACCGACGGUAGGUGGAGUUGUAGCGCUGUAGAGAAUCCAGGGCUACUACUAAAAGUUUAGUAGUAGCGUUUUUUUACUGCACCGCUACUGCUAAUGGGUCCCACAUAGUAGUAGCGCUUUUCCUCGAAAGCGCUACUACUAGGUCCCUUAGCAGCAGCGCGUUUUGCUAGGCAGCGCUACUAGUAGUUGCGGCUGGUGCCACCUUUCCCACCCCCUCCCCCUCCUCUCUCCCCCACUUUGCCCUCUCUCCCCCUCCUUUCCCCUCUCCCCUCUUCACUCUCCACUCUCCACCAUUGUUGCUCUUCUUCUCUCUUCCUCCUACCUCUCUUCUCUCCUCAUUAAUGGCACCCUCCUCCAUAAAUGGCCUCUAUCUUUCUCCUACACCUCUCUUCUCUCCCCCAUUAAUGCCCCCAUCCACCAUAACCCCUCUCCAUCAGUUAGCUAGCUAGAUUCACCUCUCCUCCCCAACAACUAGAUCUAGCUAGCUAUUUAGCCAACCACACGUGCUCUGUCGAUUGUUCUCUCUCAUCAUCUAAUUAACCGCGUGCUCUCGGUCUCUCUCGGGAGAUAUAUGUAGGUGAGUAAAAAGUUGUUCAUUUCAAGAAUGGGAAUAUGUGUGUGAAUGAGAAUAUGUAUGUUUGGGAUUUGUGCUAGUGACAUGCUCUCGAGUUGCUUAUGUUUUGCCGAAAUGUCGAUUUAUUUCUGUUUCGGUGAAUUUCGAGCAAACUCAUAUGUCCUAUUUUUAGGCAAGGUCAUGCCAAGAUUAUAUAUAUGACUUUGAAGCAUGCAUUAUUUAUUUCAUAACCCUUUUGCUUGUUAUACCGUGCAUUCGGUCAUGAAGGUGAGUGGAUGGAAGGUGGAGCGGUACAUGCAAUCCGCGGUGAUGGACAUGUAUGCAAAUAACCGGACUAGGAUUAGAUGUCCAUGUGCAAGAUGCAAGGAAGGAGUCCUUUUGGACCCUUUUGAUCAUGGCACUUUUGAAGGCGCACCUGCUGAUGAAUGAUUUCAUGGAUGGCUAUACUCAGUGGAUAAGUGAAGAAGAAGAUGAUGAUGAGGACAUCCACAUGGCAGGGAAUAACGACAUGGGCUAGACGAAGAGAUGACCGAUCGACAAGAAGAUGAUGGCGCCGGACAUGUCGGCGGGGAAGAGUCCAGAAAUGACAACGGCGACGGAGAAGAUUCCGGACACAGCGAAGAAGAGUCCGGACAUGGCAGAGAAGAGGCGGCGGUCACGCCGCAGGCUUCGACGCUACUAAGUGCAGUCGUGAAGGACCCUCAUGUUCGAUACCUCCUUCGCAAGAGUACGACUAGCGAGAGAGCUGCUUCUAGAGAGGAGGCCAAGCUGGCGCAACUUGAAGUAGACUCGAGGACUCCAUUGUAUGACGGUUGCGAUCCCGAGGUGACCCGCUUGAGUUUCACGCUUGAACUUCUAAAGACGAAGGCCAAAAACAAAUGGACAGACAAAAGCCUCGAUGAGCAUUUGAAGUUUCUACAUAAUAAAGUUCUUCCCACGGGGAACCUGUGUCCUACUAGUGUCGGGGAGGCCAAGAAAAUCGUUUGCCCUUUUGAUUUGCCGCACAUUAGGUACCACGCAUGCAUCAACGAUUGCAUCAUUUAUCGGGGGGAGCACGCGGAAAAAACCAGUUGUCCAGUGUGCAAUGCUUCUUGAUACAAGAAGGCAGGAAAGAAAGCUCCUCAGAAAGUUGUAUGGUACUUUCCGAUCACUCCCCGUCUGCAGCGGUAUUUCGUAGAUCCUAAGGAAGCAAAGCGCGUGCGCUGGCACGCGGAGAGGAAGAAGCCCGACGAUGGAGAUGAUCUGAGGCUGAGACACCUCGUAGAUGGUAGCCAGUGGAGAGCAUUCAACGCCGUAUAUGGAUUUUCUGCAGAAGAUCCAAGGAACAUCGUGCUUGGUGCGAGUACCGAUGGCAUGAAUCUGUUUGGAAACCAGAACACCAACCACAGCACAUGGCCCGUGUUUGUAUGGAUGUACAACCUUCCCCCAUGGAAGUGCAUGAAGACAAAGUACAUACACAUGAGCAUGCUGAUUCAAGGGCCGAAACAACCGGGAAAUAGUAUUAACCUGUAUAUGGGGCUUCUGCAAGAGGAGCUAGACACGCUAUGGAAAACACCGACAUGGACAUGGGACGCCAGCAAAGGAGAAUAUUUCCAUAUGAGAGCUGCGCUGAUGACGACGGUGCACGACUAUCUCGGUUACGGGUACACCUCAGGCCAGGUGUGCCAUGGAUACUGCGGAUGCACGAGGUGCAUGGAUGAUACAACGUCUCAGCAGCUUACCUCAACGAAAGAUGGCGGGUCUAGGAAACUCGUGUACAUGGGGCAUCGUGGAUGGCUCGAGAAGGAUGUCCCGUGGAGGAAGGGUGGAGAUCUAUUAAAUGGGUUGGCUGAGCUUCGAGGACCUCCACAUAAGAGGAGUGGCGCCGAAAUCGAUGAGCUGUUGAGAAACUGGGAACAAUGCCCCGCGACGGGAAAGAUCAAAAAGGCACCGGAGCCGCUGCUGAAGGUAUGGAAACGAGGUCAGUUUUCUGGGACUUGGAGUACUGGCCCAAUCAUGACACACCUCAUUGCCUUGAUCCAAUGCAUAUCACGAAGAAUGUCUUCGAGAGCUUGCUUGGCACACUGAUGAACAUGCCGGAGAAGACCAAGGAUGGGCCGAAGG